This 113399-nucleotide RNase P RNA is filed under the name Blattabacterium cuenoti STAT. The stretch from base 113101 to 113399 matches the Rfam family "Bacterial RNase P class A". Lineage: Bacteria; Pseudomonadati; Bacteroidota; Flavobacteriia; Flavobacteriales; Blattabacteriaceae. The record is from RNAcentral.
UCCGGAUUCUUUACAGGAGCAAACAAUAUGAAAAUAGAAUGAUCAGGUAAAGAAACAAUUUUAUGAUUUACUUUAAUAAAGUUUUGAGAAGUACCUGUUUUUCCAGCCAUUCUAAUAUCAGAUGAUUUAAAACUUUUUCCAGUUCCAAUAACAAAAACUUUUUCCAUUCCAUUAAUAAUUAAAUCAAAAUAUUUACUUUUAACUUUGGUGUGUUUAGGUAUAGUAUAAUUAGGAUUAUAUACCGGUCGAUGAUUAAUUCGUUUUACUAUAUGUGGAGUAUAAAAAAAUCCGCGAUUUGCUAUAGCACAAGUCAUAUUAGCUAAUUGUAUAGGAGUUACAUUAAUUUCUCCUUGACCUAUACUAUUAGAAAUGAUUGUAAUUGCAUUCCAUUUUGUUGUUCCAUAUUUUUUAUUAUAAUAAUCUCCAGAAGGAAUAACUCCUUUUUCUCCUGUAGCUAAAUCAUUAUAUAAGUAAUCCCCAAAACCAAAGCUUUUUAUAAUAUCACUCCAUUCGUUAACUCCUUUUGUCAAAUUUUUAGGAUAUUUUUCUAUAACACGUUUAUAAACCUGUGCAAAAUAAUUAUUACAAGAGACAGCUACUGCCGUUUCUAGCCCUAUAGGAAAUCCAUGAAAUCCAGAAUGACAAUGAAUUUUCUUUUUUCCAUAUUUAAAUCCCUUAUAGCAUAUAAAAGUAGUAUUUGAAUCUACUACUCCCAUUUGAAGGCCUGCUAAUUCAGUAAGUAAUUUAAAUGAAGAAGCUGGUGGAUAACGAGCCUGUGUAGUUCUAUCAAACAAAGGAUUAUCUAUUUUAUUUUUUAUUAAUUUUUGAAAUUCUUUAGAACGAUUUACACCUACAAAUAAAUUAGGAUUGUUAAUAGGACUAGAGACCAAGGAUAAAAUUUCUCCAUUCUUAGGGUUGAUAGCAACUAUUCCUCCUUUUUUUUGAUACAUGAGUUUUUCUGCAUAAUUUUGUAAAUUCAAAUCUAUAGUUAAAGAAAUAUCAUUUCCACUUACAGCUUUUACAUUAUUUUUACUAUUAUUAUAGCUUUCUAUAAUACAUCCUUUCCUAUUUCUUAACCAAUAUUUUACACCUUUUUUUCCUCUUAAAACUUUUUCAUAAGAUUUUUCUACUCCAGUCCAACCAAUAAAAUCUCCUAUUUGAUAAUAAUUAGAUUCCUUUCUAAUAUCUUUUUGAGUAACUUCCCCUAUAUACCCUAAAACAUUGGAUGAACUUUCUACUUGAUAAUCUCUAAGAGAGCGUUUUGUCCAAUCAAAUCCUUUAUAUUUAUAAAGUUUUUCUUGUAUAGUAGCAAAUUUUUCUUUAGAAAUAAAAGGUAAAAAAACAGAUGGUAAAUAUUUAGAAUAAAUUUUUGCUUUUUCUAAAUUUUUAAAAAAAGUAUUUUUAUCAAUUCCUACAAGAUUACAAAAUUCCAUAAUAUUAAAAUGUUCAUCUAUAAGAAUAGGAAUAACUAUUAAUUCAUAAAUAGAUUUAUUAAAAACUAAUAAAUUUUCAUUUCUAUCAAAAAUAGAACCUCUUUCAGGAAUAAUAAUUUCUUGUUUGAUAGAAGUAUUAAAAGCAUUCAAAAUAUAUUUUUCCGUAUAUAUUUGUAUAUAAAAUAAUCUAACCACAAAAAUUAUUCCGAAAAAACUCAAUAAAAUGUAAAACUUAUAUAAUUUUUUCAAUGUUUAAUUUUUCUGAAAAAAAAAUAUAUAAUACAUAAAAUAGUUGUAAAAAUACUACUUAAUAUCGACCUAAAUAAAACAAUUCUAUUAAAAAUAGAACCUUUUAACAUUUCUAAUAUUAAUAAAGAAAAAUGAUGAGUAAAAACUAACGAAAAUAUAUAAAGUAUUUUUCUAAUCAAAGGUAAUUCAUAAAUUGAAAAAUCAUUUUUGUUUAUAAAAUUUUUUCCAUCAAAAAACUGUAAAAACUUUAAUCUUAAAAAAGCAGAUAAAGUAGAAGAAAAUGCAUGAAUUCCUCCAGAAUUCAUGUAAUGAUCUAUUAUCCAUCCUAUUAAAAAUGAUAUAAAUAAAAAUAAAAAUUUAUUUUUAUUAUAUGGAUAUAUUAAGAUAAGAAGAAUAUAUAUAUAAGAAUAACAUCCUAAAAAAAUAAAUAAAGGGUUUAAUAUCGAUAUUUGAAUUAAACAAAGAAAAAAAAUGUAAAAUAUAGAAAUAAUAAAAUUUUUAAUUAAAUUCAUUAUUUUUUUCAACUUUAUAAAGUUGAACAUCAUUCCAUUCUUCUUUAAAUAAAUUUUUUACGAUAUAAGCAUUUUCUAUAGCAGAAAAAUUAACCAUGAGUUUUACUUUUAUAAUAUAAUUUGCAUGUUCUUCGUCAAAUUUAUAGGAAUGGACUUUUCCAAUUGGAAUACCUUCAGGAAAAGUUGCAGAUUUUCCAUCUGUUUCUACAAUAUCUCCUUUAGAGAUAAUGGAAUGUCUUGGGAUAUCAUAUAAUACUACAUAUUCAUGAUCUAUUCCAUCCCAACUUAAAGUUCCAAAAUAUUUAUUUUUUUUUAAUCUGGCAUUAACUUUAAUUUUUGGAUUUAAAAGAGAAAUCGCUAUACUAAAAUGUGGAGAAGUUUUUAUAAUAAUCCCUGCAAUUCCGUUGUAUAAUAUAAUUCCCAUAUCUGGUUUUAUUCCAUCUAUACUUCCUUUAUUAAUAGUUAUAUAAUUUUCUUGUUUAUGAAUACUAUUAUUUAUAAUUUGUACUGGAGUAAAAGUAUAUUGUUGUAAAUAAAUAAUAUCUUUCUUUUUUAGAUCUUUAGAUAUUUUUCUUAUUUUAGAAAAUACACAUGCUUCAUGUAAACUUUUAUUUUCAUUUAAAAGUUUUUUAUUUUCAAUUUCUAACAGAAAAUAAUUUCGUACUUUAUAGAUGCUUUCAUAAAUUUUUCCAAUUAUAAAGUUGGAAGAAUCAGCAUAAAUAUAUUGGUGUAUCUUUGAAUUUGAAAAAGAAAUAAAAAUAGCUGCAUAUUCUAAUAAAAAAAAGAAAAUAAAAAAACGCCAUUUUAAAAAGAAAUUAAAAAAUUCACGCAUAAAAUUAAUCUAUGAACCCUAUUUCAUUAAAAAUGUAAAUUUAUCGAUAUUUUUUAACGCAACUCCUGUUCCUUUUACUACCGCUCUCAAAGGAUCCUCUACUAAAGAAACAGAAAGUCCAGUCUUUUUGGAAAUCCUUUUAUCUAACCCUCUUAAAAGAGAUCCUCCUCCUGCCAUAUAUAUUCCUGUUUUAUAUAUAUCGGCCGCAAGUUCUGGUGGUGUCCUGGAAAGAGUUUCCAUCACUGCAUCUUCAAUUCGUAAAAUUGAUUUAUCUAGUGCUGGAAUUGUUUCUUUAUAAGAAAGAUUCAUUUCUUUAGGUUUUCCUGUAGGAAGAUCCCUUCCUUGUAUAUGAAUAUCCUUUGGAGGAGUUUCUAUAGAUUCCAUUGCCGCUCCUAUAUCUAUUUUUAUUUUUUCUGCAGUUCGUUCUCCAAUAUAAAGAUUAUAUUUAGAACGAAGAAAAUAGGAAAUAUCAUUUGUAAAAACAUCUCCUGCUAUUUUUAUAGAUUUUUGACAUACAAUUCCACCCAAAGCUAUUACUCCACAUUCUGUAGUUCCACCUCCUAUAUCAAUAAUCAUAUUUCCUUCUGCUUUAGUUACAGAAAUACCUGAUCCAAUAGCAGCAGCCAUGGGUUCUUCAAUCAGAUAAACUUCUUUAGCAUUAAGAUGUUGAGCUGAAUCUUUUACUGCUCUUUUUUCUACUUCUGUUAUUCCGGAUGGAAUACAAAUAACCAUUGUUAAUGAUGGAGUAAAAAAUUUUUUAUUAACACCUGGUACCCUUUUUAUAAACUCUUUUAUCAUUAAUUCAGCCACUUGAUAAUCUGCAAUAACUCCAUCUUUCAAUGGUUUGUAUAUUUUAAUAUUUUCAUGUGUUUUUCCCUGCAUUUGUUUGGCAUCUUCACCUACUGCUAGUACUUUUUUUGUUCUUACAUCUAUAGCUAUUAUUGAAGGCAAAUCAACUAUUACUUUAUUAUUAUGCAUAAUGAGCGUAUUUGCUGUUCCUAAAUCUAUGGCUAUUUCUUGAGUAAAAAGAUUCUUCAUAAAAUCGACUACUAAUCUCAUUAAUAUUUUUUUAUGAAAAAAUUUAUUAUAGUUUAAUUUAAAUAAAAUUAAAGUUUUUCAGUAUAUUAAAUUAGAAUAAAUAAAUUAUUUUUUGAAAAAACAUGAUGUUUUUUUGUUACAAGGAAGUAAUAAAGGAAAUAAAAAAAAAUAUUUGGAUGAAUCUUUAAUUUUGAUGUCGAAUGAACUUGGUAAAGUUGUUCAACUUUCAUCAUAUUUUGAAAGCGAAGCAUGGAAUAUGAAAAAUUACUCUAUUUUUUAUAACAGAGCAUUGCAUUUAAAAACAGAUUUUUCUCCUAUUGAUCUUUUAAAAAAAAUUUGGGAUAUAGAAUUUUUUAUAGGGAGAAAAAAAAAUUCUUCUCGAAAAGAAUAUCAAAAUCGAGAAAUCGAUAUAGAUAUUUUAUUUUAUGAUCGUAUUAUUAUAUACAGUUUUAUUUUGAAAAUUCCACAUCCAUUAUUACAUUUACGUAGAUUUGUUUUAGAACCUAUGUGCGAAAUUUCUCCAAACAAAAAUCAUCCAAUAUUUAAUUUGACUAUCCUAGAAAUUUUAGGAUUAUGCAUAGAUAAAUUAUAUGUAAAAAAAAUAUCAGAAUAAUUUUUACUUAUUAAUUAAAUAAAAAAAUUGCAUCGAAUUCGAUUUUCCAUUUACAUAAUAUUAUUUAUUUUUCCCAUUUCUAUUUUUUAUGGAAAUGAAAAAAAAAAUAAUGAUGAAAUAUAUUAUGAUCAUAAUCAUCAUGAUAUGAAAAAUGAAUUUUUUUUCUUGAAAAAAAAUUUGAAAUAUAAAUCAGAUAUACAAGAACAUGAUAUAAAAGAAGGAAAGACUUAUUUAAAAGGACAAGCCAGUAUAGAAUAUGAUAAUACAAAAGUUAAAGCAGAUUAUAUAGAAUUUGAUUGGAAAAAUGGAGAUUUAUAUGCAAAAUCAAAAGAAAAAUCUAUUUUCUUCCAAAAAGACAACAAACAAUUUCUUUUUAGAAAUAUUCAUUGGAAUUUAAACAAACAAAUAGGAAAAGCAAAAAAUUUUUCUUUCAAAGAAAAAAAUUAUAUUGUGAUAGCUGACGAUCUUUUAAAAGAAAAAGAGGAUUUUUUAAUGAAAAAAGUCACAUAUAUAUCAGAUCCUUUUUUUUUGGAAAAAAAAGAUAGUUUUCCUGAUUUUUAUUUAAAAACAGAUUAUUUAAAAUAUUCUUAUUUAAAAAAAUACAUUUUUUCUGGUCCAGUUUUCUUUUAUUUAUAUAGAGUUCCAAUGCCUAUUUUUCUUCCGUUUUUAUAUAUGCCUAUUAAAUUAAACCAACUAUUUUAUAAUAGUGGAAUUAUAUACCCAAAAUUCGGAAUUCAAAAUAAAAAAAUAUACAUAAAAGAUAUAGGUUUAUUCUUUCCUAUCUCUAAUUUAUUAAAUUUUAAAAUAAAUUCCUCUAUAUAUAAUCUUGAAAAAUGGAAAAUUAAAACAAAAAUAGAAUAUAAAUUAAAAUAUAAUAAUCAUGGAUUUAUAAAUUUUGAUUAUCAAAAUAUGUUAAAUCAUAAAAAUUAUCUAUUUCAAUGGAAACAUCAUUUUGAUUUUAAAUCAAAUUCUAGUAUUGUUAAUUUUAAUUCCAAUUUUAAUUAUGAUAAUAUUUCUCUAUUCAAUAAAAAUGAAGAAAAUUUUUUUUCUGCAAACAUAAGAAGAAAAUUUUCUAAUUCUUUAUGGUUUAUGGAUAUUUAUAUGAUUCAAAACCAAAAUAAAAAAGAAAUAAAAUUUAUAAUUCCAGAAUUAAUUUUACAUACAAAAAAUAUAUUCUUUAAUGAUAAAAAAUAUUAUUUUUUAAGAUAUGUUAGUGUUGAAAAUAAAUUCCAUUUUAAUAAUUCUAUAGAUUUCAUUAAAAAUGAAAAAAAACCCCAUUCUGCUAUAGGAAUAAAUCAUCAUAUGAAUAUGAUAGCUUAUCUUCCUUUUUUUGAUCCUUAUUUAAAGAUUUCAUCUAAAAUUUUAUACCACAAUUUUUAUAAAUGGAAUUAUUCUGAAUUUCAGAUUUCAAAUUUUCAAAAAAUAGAUUUUAUAACAAAUAUAGUGUCUGUUCCAUUUUAUAAAAUUUUGAAUUUUAAAAAUACUUUCUUAUUAAAACAUAAAAUUCAACCAACUUUAUCUUUUCAUAUAAUGUAUUUUCCUCCUGUAUUUUAUAAUAACGUAAAAAAUUCUUUUGAAAAAAGAAUUAAUUUUAUUUUCAAUAAUGAUUGGAUCAUAAAAAAUCCAUGGAAUUUUCUUGAUUCCCAUAAAAAAACAAAAAUUACAAAGGAAAUAAACUCCUCUUUUAUUAUCAAAAAUAAUUUUAUAAAAUGGGAUAAUUUUAAAAUUAUGAUUGAUAGUGAAUUAACAAAAAAUCUGAAGACAAAAUAUAAAGCAGGAAUAAAUUUUGGGAAAGAAGAAAAAGAAAAGAAAAUAUAUUUUGAUUUUUCUUUUUCUUCUAAUCAUAAUAUUAAUUUUUUUCCUAUAAAAAAUAAAUUUCAAAAAAAAGGAAAAAAUCGUUAUGAUUACUUUUUUUUUGAUCAAAAUAAUUAUGCAAAAUAUUCAAUUCCGUUAAAUUUAAAAAUCGAUUUUCAUUCCAAUUAUGAAAAUUAUUUUAAUAAUAAAAUAUUGUUUAAAACUUUGUUAAGUUUAAAUGGAUCUAUAAAUAUUACAAAAUAUUGGAAAAUCAGUUUUCAUACAGACUACGAUUUAUUCAAAAAUAAAAUAAUAUUUUCCAAUAUUAUUUUUGAUAGAGAUUUAAGGAGUUUUGAAUUGAGAUUUAAUUGGACAAAAGACUCUUCCUGGUCUUUUUUUAUAGGAUUAAAAGAUCCUAAUUUCAGGAAAAUUAUACAGUAUAAUGAAAAAAAUUAAUAAUUAUGAUCCCUAAAAAAUUUUCAAUAAAAAAAAUUCCAUCUUAUGGUCCGUAUAAUACAUGUGUUUUUAUCGGAGGUUUUUUAUUUGUUUCCGGGCAAAUAGCUAUAGAUCAAAAUACAGAAAAAUUAGUUUCAUAUAGUAUAGAAAUGGAAACAAAAAAAAUAAUGGAAAAUAUUAAAAUUAUUCUUUCAGAAAAUGGAAUAGGUUUUGAAAACGUUAUAAAAACUUCUGUUUUUGUAACAGAUAUAAAUUUUUUUCCUAAAAUAAAUCAUAUAUAUGCCCAAUUUUUUCAUAAAGGAAGUUAUCCAGCUAGAGAAACUAUAGAAGUUUCUGGUCUUCCUAAAGAUGCAAAUGUUGAAAUCUCUUUAAUUGCAUAUAAAAAUUAAUUUUUAUAAUUAAUUGUGAAAUAUGGAUUUUUUAUUUUUAUUAUUCUUUUAUUAUUUUCAUUAAACAAAACAUUUUCUAUUUCUAACAAAAAAAUAAAAUCUAUACAAAUUAUUCAUGCAGAUCUAAUUCAAAAUAACGUAGAAAAUCAAAUUUUUGUUUUAAUAGGAAACGUUCAUUUAAAAUAUGAUAAUUAUCAUCUUUUUUGUGAUAAAAUUAUAUAUAAUAAAAAAGAUAAUAAAUAUCGUGGAUAUGGAAAUGUAAGAUUAUCAUCAGGAAAAAAUAAAAUAAUAUCUCAAAAUAUAGUAGGAAAUUUUAUUAAUUUUCAAUUAUCAGGUAAAGUUGUUUUAUAUAUACAUCAAGGAAAAAUAAAAUUAACAUCGGAUAUUGUUAAUUUUUUUUUUAAAAAAAAAUUAUUUCAAGCUAUCAAUCAUGUUGUUUUAUUUUUUAAUAAAAUAAAAUUAACAACUAAUAUAUUGGAAUAUGAUUUGGUAUUAAAUCAAAUUUUUUAUAAAAAAAAUAGUGUUAUUUAUUAUAGAGAUUACACUAUAUCUAGUAAAGAAGGUUUUUUUUAUAUAAAUAAAAAAAAAAUAGAAUUAAAAGAUGAAAUCAAAUUGAUUAAUCAAAAUUAUACUGUAUAUACCAAUACGGUAAAAUACCUAUUUGAAAAAGAUCAAAUUUAUUUUGAUAACCCCACUAUCAUAGUACAAAAUACAAAUAUUAAUCAUUUUAUUUAUACUAAAAAAGCACUGUUUUCAAUUCAAAAAAAAAUAUUUUUAUUUAAAAAAUAUGUAAGUAUUCAUUAUAAUGAUCAAAUUAUAAAAGGAGAAUAUUUAUUUUUUGAUCAAAAAAAAAAUUUUGGAUUUAUGAAAAAUAUUUUUUUAGAAAAUGCGAAAAAAAAAUAUUUUUUAAUAAGUGGAUAUGGAGAGUUUGAUUUUCAUUCUGAUUCUUUAAUUUUCCAAAAAAAUCCAAGAGUUAUAAAAAUAUUAAAAAAUAAUUCAAUCUUUAUUUAUUCAAAUAUUUUAAAAGUAAAUCUAAAAAAGAAUGAUACAUUUUCACUUCAGGGUUUUUCUAUUAAAAUUUUUUUUAUGAAUGAAAAUGAAACUAAAACUAUUGUUCAAGGAAUAUGUAAUCUAUUUCAUUAUGAAUCAUCAAACGAUGAUAUGAAAUUUUAUGGAAAUCCAAUAUUUUGGUUGUUUCACAAUCAAAAAAUUACUGGAAAAACAAUAUAUAUUCAAAAUGAUGAAAAAAAUAAUUUUUUAAUUAAAAAUAUAAAAAUUAUAGGAGACACUUCUUACAUAGAAAAAAUUAAUUCGGAAGAAUUUAAUCAAACAGAAGGUGAUAUUAUUACCGGUUUUUUUAAUAAAGAAAAUUUUUUAGAAAAAGUAAUAAUUCAAGGAAACGUUAAUAGUAUUUUUUUUCUUUCUUUUAAUAGUAGUAAAGAAAAAAAAAUAAUUAAUAAAUCAUAUUGUGAAAUAUUAUCAAUUUAUUUAGAUAAAUCAAAAAAAAUAAGAAAAAUUUUUUGUGAAAAAAAAGCAUAUUCAGAACUAAUUCCGGUAGAUCAAAAAACACCUAAAAAAUUUUUUUAUUUAUCUAAUUUUAAUUGGAAAGAAGAAAGUAAACCAAAAAAAAAUCAAAAACUUAUGAUCUAUAAAGAAAUGGAAAAAUAUAAAAAAGAAGGUUUAUUAGAAAAACAAAUAAUAAAAAAUAUGAUAAAUAGAAAAAAAUUUUUAUGAAAAAAAAAGAAUUAGAAAAAGAUUUUUUUCAAUAUCAAACUCAAAUUAAUCCAUAUCCUAUGAAUAUUAUAGUAGAUCAUGCUAAAGGAAGUUAUAUUUAUGGAAUAAAUGGGAAAAAAUAUUUAGAUUUUGUUGCAGGUAUUUCUGUAAAUGUAUUAGGACAUGGAAAUAAAAAGAUUAAAAAAGCUAUAAAAAAACAAGUAGAUCAAUAUUUACAUACUAUGGUAUAUGGAGAAUUUAUACAAUCUCCUUGUGUAAAAUUAUGUAAAAAAAUUUCAGAAAAUACUCCUAACCCGCUUACUACCACUUAUUUAGUGAAUUCUGGAACAGAAGCAGUAGAAGGUUCUUUAAAAUUAGCCAAAUGUUAUACAGGAAGAGAAGAGAUUAUAUCUUGUAAAUGGUCUUAUCAUGGAAGUACACAUGGUUCUAUGAGUAUUAUGGGAAAUGAAAAUUAUAAAAGGGCUUUUAGGCCUCUAUUACCUUUAGUAAAAUUUAUUACGUUUAAUCAUGUGGAAGAGUUAAUAGAAUCCAUUACAGAAAAAACUGCUUGUGUGAUUUUAGAAACUAUUCAAUGCUCUUCUGGAAUUAUAUUACCUAAUAAUUUUUUUUUAAAAGAAGUAAGAAAACAAUGCCAUAAAAAACAGGCAUUAAUGAUACUUGAUGAAAUCCAAACUGGAUUUGGAAGAACAGGAAAACUUUUUGCAUUUGAACAUUACGAAAUCGUUCCAGAUAUCUUAAUCAUGGGAAAAGGAAUGGGAGGUGGAAUGCCUAUUAGCGGUUUUGUUUCAUCUAAAGAAAUUAUGAAAACUUUUAGGGAUAUAGCUCCUUUAGGACAUUUAACUACUUUUGGAGGAAAUGCUGUUUCUGCUUCUGCUUCUCUAGCUACUUUAAAUGAACUUAUCAGUUCAGAUAUCAUGGAACAAGUUCCAAUAAAAGAAAAAUGGAUUCGUGAACAUUUAGUUCAUAAUGAAAUCAAAAAACUUCAUGGAAAAGGUCUUUUUCUCUCUUUGGAAUUAAAGAAUAAAGAUAAAGUAGAAAAAGUUUUGAAUAAUUGCAUAAAAAAAGGAUUAAUAUUAUUUCGUUUUUUAUUUCAUGAAAAUUUUAUUCGUAUAUCUCCUCCAUUAACUAUAACGAAAAAUGAAAUUAAAAAGGGUUGUUCUAUUAUUAUUGAAUGUUUAAAUCUGCUUUAAAAAAAUAAAAUAAUUGAGAUUUUUUAUUGAAUUAGCUUAUAAUGGAAAAAAUUUUUUUGGAUGGCAAGUUCAAAAAAAAGUAAGUACAGUAGAAGAAAAAUUAGAACAUUGUUUAUCACAAUUAUUAAAAAAUUCUAUAAAUGUAAUAGGUGCUAGUAGGACAGAUAAAGGAGUUCAUGCUAGACAAAUGUUUGCUCAUUUUGAUCUUGAAAAAAAAAUAAAAAAACAAAGACUUUUAAUAAAUAGAUUAAAUAUAUUUUUACCUAACUCUAUUAGAGUAUUCAAUAUUUUUCCAGUAAAAGAAAAUACUCAUGCAAGAUUUUCUGCUAUAAAAAGAACAUAUAAAUAUUAUUUAACACAAGAAAAAAAUCCAUUUAAUCAAGAUUUUUCUUGGUAUUGUUUUUAUUAUCCAUUAAAUAUUCAAAAAAUGAAUAUAGCAUCAAAAAAACUUAUGGAAUAUAAAGAUUUUAGUUCUUUUUGUAAAAAAAAAGGAAAUAAUAAUAAAAAUGAAAAAGAAAACAAUAUAUGUAAAAUUUAUCAUGCUAAUUGGUCUUAUGAAAAUAAAGAGGAUAAAAAUAUUUUAUGCUUUACUAUUGAAGCAAAUCGAUUUCUAAGAUCCAUGGUUAGAGCAAUUAUAGGAACACUCAUUAAUGUAGGAAGAGAAAAAAUUAGCAUUAAUGAAUUUUUAAAAAUCAUAGAAUCAAAAAAUUCUAAUUUUUGUAAAUUCAUAGUUCCUGCAUGUGGUUUAUUUCUGACUCGAAUUCUUUAUCCAGAAGAAAUUUUUUUAUGAAAAAAAAUUUUAAUAAAAAAGAAUAUUCUCUAAAACAGCUAAUUCUAAUUUCUCUAGAUUAUAAAAUUACAUUAAUAUCAAUAAUUUUUAUUUCUAUAUUAAUUUCAUUCAUUUCUGCUUAUCGUCCUAAAUUAAUACAAAAAGCUAUAGACGUUCAUAUUCUUUAUAAAGAUUUUUUAGGAUUAAAAAAUAUAUUAAUUUUGAUAAUUAUGCUUCUUUUUUUAGAAAGCAUAUUCCAUUUUAUUUUAUUAUACAUGUCUAAUGUAUUAGCUCAAAAUGUAAUUGAAAAAAUUAGAGUUCUUUUAUUUGAAAAACUAUUACAUUUUAAAAAUUCUUUUUUUAACAAAACUCCAAUAGGAAAAUUAAUUUCUUAUUCUGUUUCAGAUGUAGAAACUAUAGCCGUAAUAUUUAAUGAUGGAAUUUUACUUGUUUCUGGAGAUAUUUUAAGGAUUAUAAUGAUCAUUAUUAUGAUGUUUACAGUUCACAAAAAACUGUCUUUUAUAGUUUCCUUAACUAUUCCUUUUAUGUAUAUCAUUACUCGUUUUUUUCAAAAAAUAUUAAAAAAAACGUUUCAAGAAGAACGUAUUCAAACUUCACGUUUAAAUAGCUUUUUGCAGGAAAACAUCAUAGGAAUGUCUAUUAUUCAACUUUUUCAUAAAGAAAAAGAAGAAUAUUUAAAAUUUAAAUCUAUUAAUCAAAAAUUAAUGGACGCUCAUUUUAAAACUAUUUUUUAUUUUUCUAUUUUUUUUCCUAUAAUAGAAAUAAUUUCCGCAUUUACAAUAAGUAUUGUUAUAUUUUAUGGAGGAUUUCAUACAAUUGAAAAAAUUGGAAAUGUAAAACCUGGACAAAUUAUUGCUUUUAUUUUUUUUAUCUAUCUUCUUUUUCGUCCUAUGCGACAAAUAGCUGAUAGAUUCAAUAUUAUACAAAGAGGAAUAGUUGGAAUAGAACGUAUAUUUUCUAUAUUAAAUUCUAAGGAAUUUAUUCCUAUUAAUAAAGGAAUUUUUCGUUUUGAAAAAUUAAAAGGACAUAUUGUAUUUAAUAAUGUACAUUUUUAUUAUACAAAAAAUGAAAUAGUAUUAAAUGAUAUUUCUUUCGAAAUUCAACCGGGAGAAAAAUUUGCUAUAGUAGGAGCUACAGGUUCUGGAAAAUCUACAAUUACUCAUCUAAUUUCUAGAUUAUAUGAAAUAAAAAAAGGAAAUAUUUGGAUCGAUGGGCGUACUAUACAAGAUAUAGAGGUAAAAAAUUUAAGAUCUCAUAUUAGAGUAAUAACACAAGAUCCUUUUUUAUUUAAUGACUCAAUUGUUAAUAAUAUCACUUUAGGAGAUCCAUCUAUUAGUAUUGUUAAAAUAGAAAAUAUGGCAAAAAAAAUAGGAAUCCAUGAUUUUAUUACAUCUUUACCUUAUGGAUAUAAAUCUAUAGUAAAAGAAAGAGGUGGUUUACUUUCUAUUGGAGAAAAACAAUUAAUUUCCUUUUUAAGGAUUCAAAUGCACCCCUAUUCCGUACUGAUAUUAGAUGAAGCUACUGCAUCAUUAAAUAAAGAACUAGAAAAAAUGAUUUAUCAUGCUACAAAUAUUUUAACAAAAAAUAAAACUUCUAUCAUCAUUACUCAUCGUCUUUCUACAUUAAAAAAUGUAGAUAAAAUAUUAGUUCUUGAUAAAGGACAUAUUGUGGAAAAAGGCCCUCAUCAAAAAUUAAUUCAAUUAAACGGAUAUUAUGCUGGAUUAUAUAGAGAAUCUUUGAAAAAAUGAACUGAACAAUUCAUUUUUAUGUAAUAAGUACUUUUUAAAAUUUUUUUUGCCCAAUUUUUGAUUCUUUCUUUUUUCUUGAUGUCUUUUACUAAAUUUUUUAAAAUAUCAUAAUCCUUUUCAAAAGAAACGGGUUUAGAUGGGAUUUCAUCCAAUAAUUUUAUGAUAAUAAAUGCUUCUUUUCCAUUUAUAAUCUCUUUGUAAGGAUGACUUAUUUUUCCUUUUUUUAAAAAAAGGAAUAUUUUUUUCAUAUUUAUUGAUAAUAAAGGUUCCUCUAUCCAAGAUGGAUUCCGUACUAUUACAUCAACAGUUUUAUUUUGAUUUAAAAAUUUUUGAAUUUUAUAUAAAUCUAUCUUAUUAUGGUAAUGAAUCAUACGUUUUCUAAAAUAUUCUGAAUAUAAUUUUGUUUUGUAUAAUUCCUGUUUUGAAUAUUUAGGUUUAAUUAAAAUAUGUCUAAAAUCAAUUUCAUUUUUUCCUUUUUUUUCUAAUUUUAGAAUAUGAAAACCUAAAUCUGUUUCAAAUGGAUCAGAUAUCUCUCCUUCUUUUAAAGAAAGAACUAAAUCAUAAAAUUCUUUUGAAAGAUCGUUUAAUUUUGUUCCUUGAAUAAGUCCUCCAUUUAAUGCUGAAGAAUCAUCCUCAGAAAAUAAAAUAGCUUUAUUGGAAAAAUCACUAUCAGAAUGAAUUUCUUUCUUUAUCUGAUUUAAAAAACCAACUAUUUUUUUUUUUUUAUUUCGUUUAAUUUAGGAUAAAAUAUGAGAUAAGAAAAAUAUAUUUUUUUUGGAAAAUGAGGAAUCUUAUUUUUUUUUUUAUGAAAAAAAAAUUUUACUUCUCUUGGAGAAACUUCUACGUCAUCUGUUAUUUUAUCGUAAAAUUUUUCUAUGUAUUUUUUAUUUUUAAUUUUUUCAUUUAAUUCUUUCAAAAAUUCUUCAUUUUGAAACUGCAUUAAAAGUUCUUCUUGAUUAACAUAUUUUUUUUUCAUUUCCGAUAAAAUAUCUUGAAUUCUAUAUUUUAAUUCUUGAUCGCUAAUAUCUAUACUCUUAUCUUUUUUUGCAUGAUAAAGCAUUAAUCUUUGAAUAAAAACAUUGUUAUUCAAAACAUCAGUAUUACAAAAAGGGACUCCUUCAUUAUUAUUCUUUUUACUAUUACUAACUUCAGAAUCUAAAAUGAUAUCAUCUCCUACUACAGCAGAAAUUCCACUCAAUUUUUCUAAACAAAAGGAAUUUGAAAAAAAAUUAUGCAUAAAACAUAAUAAAAACACAAUCGAGAAAAAUUUUUUAUUUUUUAAAUUAUUCAUAAUUUUUUAUUAGAUAUGUAAAUAUAAAUAACAAAUAUAUUUAUAUUUUUUUUGAUAAAAAAAAUUUUAAUAUACAUGAAGUAUUAUGAGUUUGAAAGCUAACAACGUAUGUAAAAAAUAUAAAAAUAAGUAUAUAAUUAGAAAUGUUUCGAUUCAAUUAGAAAAAGGAGAAAUUGUUGGAUUAAUAGGUCCUAAUGGAGCAGGAAAAACAACUUCUUUUUACAUAAUUAUAGGAUUAAUUAAGCCAGACAAAGGAAAAAUAUUAUUUUUUAAUCAAGAUAUAACAUUUUAUCCCAUGUACCGACGCUCUAAAAUAGGGAUCGGAUAUUUAGCUCAAGAACCAUCUAUAUUUAGAAAAUUAUCUGUAGAAGAUAAUAUUUUAUGCAUAUUAGAAAUGCAAAAAAUAUCUCGUAAAGAAAGAGAAAAAACAACAGAAAGACUAAUUAAAGAAUUAGGAUUACAAAAAAUUCGAAAUCAUAGAGGAGAUCUAAUUUCUGGAGGAGAAAGAAGACGUACAGAAAUUGCUAGAUGUUUAGCUAUAAAUCCUAAAUUUAUUCUUUUAGAUGAACCUUUUUCUGGAAUUGAUCCAAUUGCUAUAGAGGAAUUACAGAAAAUAAUUCUUUUUCUAAAAAAGAAAAACAUAGGUAUACUAAUUACAGAUCAUAACAUACAAGAAAUUGUUACAAUAACAGAUCGUAUUUAUUUAAUGUUUAAUGGAAAAAUCAUAAAAUAUGGAUCUACCGUAGAAAUUAUGAAAGAUCCUUUAAUAAGGAAAGUUUAUCUGGGAAGUAGGAUCAUAAAUUUUAGAAAUAAAUGAAUCAUCGAUUUGAUAGUCCAGAAGUAGGAUUAUUUUUAAAUGGGACACCUCCUCCUUUUUUAGAAAAAAUUUUUUGUUUUUAUAAAAAAAUAUUUGCAGUAGAUGGUGCUUUUUAUUACUUAAAUGAAUUUGGGGUUUCAGUAGAUUAUAUUAUUGGAGAUUUUGAUUCUAUUUUAUUAAAAAAAAAUAUUCCUUUAAAAACUAAUUUAUUAAAAAUUUAUGAUCAAAAUUAUACUGAUUUCGAUAAAGCAUUGAAUGUUAUUUAUGAUCUAGGAUUUACAAAUAUUAAUGUUUGGGGUGCGAGUGGAAUGGAGCAAGAUCACUUUUUAGGAAAUUUAUCUACAGCCUUAAAAUAUAAAAAAAAAUUAUCUAUAAUAUUCCAUGAUCAAUAUCAUUUUUAUUUUUUUUCUGAUAAGAAUAUUUCUUUUUAUCAGAAAAAAAAUAAAAAAGUUUCUUUAUUUCCGUUUCCUACAGUAGAAGGAUUAUGUACUUAUGGAUUAAAAUAUUCCAUAAAAAAAGGGGUUUUAAAAAUAGGAGAAACAAUAGGAAUUAGAAAUGAAGCUUAUAAACAAAUAAUAAAAAUAAAUUACAAAAAAGGGGAAUUAUUAAUAUUUAUAGAAAAAUAAAAUUAGUAUUCAAUAUUUUUUAAUUUUAUUGAUCAUACUUUUUACAUGAUCAAAUGAUUUUUUCAAAAAAUUAUUUUCUUUUUGAUUCAAUUUCAAUUCUAUAAUUUUUUCUACUCCAGAUUUCCCCAAAACAACUGGAACUCCUAAACAUAUAUCUUUUAAUCCAUAUUCUCCUUUUAAAAAUACAGAACAUGGGAAAACACGCCUAGAAUCUUUUAAAAUAGAUUCCACUAUUUUUACGAUAGAUAUACUAGGAGCCAUCCAAGCAGAUGUUCCUAAUAAAUUUAGGAUCUGUUCUCCUCCUUUUUUAGUUUUUUCAAUUAUUUCAUCAUUUUCUUCUUCUGAUAAAAAUUCAUUAAUAGGAAUUCCUGAUAUAGAUGUGUAUCUAUAUAAAGGGACCAUUGUAUCACCAUGUCCUCCUAAUAAUAAACAUUGUAUAUCAAUAGGAGAUACAUUUAGUUUUUUAGAUAAAAAAAAACGAUAUCUAAUAGAAUCUAAUAUUCCAGCCAUACCAAUUAUACGAGAAGAAUCUACUUUUGCUGUCAUAUAACUUACGUAUGACAUCACAUCCAAUGGGUUCGAUACUAUGAUAAAUUUAGAUUUUGGAGAGAAAAAAAUAGAUUUCUUAGUUACAGUAUAAAUAAUAUCCGCAUUUUUCUUAAGAAGAUCAUCUCUAGUCAUUCCAGGACUUCUUGGGAGUCCACUAGUAAUAAUAAUAAUUUCUGAAUUUUUUGAUUGAGAAUAAUCAUUAGUAACUCCAAUUACUUCAGUAUUUGAUUCCACCAUGGGUAACAUUUGAGAUAUAUCCAAACUUUUUCCUUCCGAAAUUUUUUCUCUGAUAUCUAACAAAACAAUUUUUUUUACGAUAUUUUUUUGCGCUAAUAAACUAGCACAAGAUGCCCCCACAUUUCCUGCCCCAAUAAUAGUUAUUUUCAUUUUUUUUUAUUUAUUAUAUGCGAUGAAAAUAUUGAAUAUUGAAAGUAUUAAUGUUUUUAUUACAAUAAUAAUUGAUCAUCUUUUUUUAUUUAUAAUUAAAUUUACAACAAUCAAGAAACUGUAAAGUUAAAUACAAUUUUAUUUCUAUGAAAAAGAGUUACAUUAGGAAAAAAAAAUUUUAUCAUAGACAUAUAGGUUCAUCUUGUUAUGAAAUUAAUAAUAUGUUGAAAGAAUUAAAGUAUUCUUCUAUUAGAGAUUUUAUUAAUCAAACUGUUCCAAAAAAGAUACGUUUAAAGAAAAAAUUAAAUCUUCCCAAUUCUAUUUCGGAAUAUCAAUAUCUAAAUCAUAUUUAUAAAAUAAGUAAAAGAAAUAAAAUUUAUCGUUCUUAUAUAGGAUUAGGGUAUAAAAAUACCAUAACUCCAAGUGUAAUUCAAAGAAAUAUUUUAGAAAAUCCUAGUUGGUAUACUCCAUAUACUCCUUAUCAAUCAGAAAUAUCUCAAGGACGUCUAGAGGCUUUAAUUAAUUUUCAAACUAUGAUUUCGGAUUUAACCGGGAUGAAAAUUAGUAAUGCUUCUAUGCUAGAUGAAUCAACAGCUGCAUCUGAUGCUAUGUUUAUGAUUUAUCAAGAAAAAAUGAAAAAAAAACAAAUAGAUAAUAAUUAUUAUUUUUUUAUUUCAGACGAAAUUUUUCCACAGACUUUUUUCGUUUUAAAAACAAGAUGUUUUGGAUUAGGUAUUCGUAUUAUAAAUGACUCUCAUAAAAAUUUUAAAAAAAAAUAUAAUAAUAAAAAAAUAUUCGGAAUAAUAAUAUCUUAUCCAUCUAGUCUAGGAGAAAUAUAUGACUAUACUGAAACAGUUAAAUAUGCAAAAAAUCACAAUAUAUCAAUUAUAGUUUCUACAGAUCUUUUGUCUUUAUCUUUAUUAAAACCUCCUGGAGAAUGGGGUGCAGACGUAGUUAUAGGAUCCAGUCAAUCUUUUGGAAUUCCUAUGGGAUAUGGAGGACCUCAUGCGGCUUUUUUUUCUACUCACGAACAAUAUAAACGUUUUUUACCAGGAAGGAUUAUUGGUAUAUCUGUAGAUAAAAAAAAUAAAAAAGCUUUUCGUAUGGCUUUACAAACAAGAGAACAACAUAUUAAAAGAGAAAAAGCAACUUCUAAUAUUUGUACAGCACAAGCACUUCCUGCAGUAAUGGCUUCUAUGUAUGCUUUAUAUCAUGGAAAAAAUGGAUUAAUAGAAAUAGCAAAAUGUAUUCAUGAAUACACUAAAAAAUUAGAAUUUUUAUUGAUUAAUAAUAUCAAUUCUAUUUUUCAAGUAAAUACUUUUUACUUUGAUACUCUAAGAAUUAAAACAGAUUUUGUAAAUGAAAUUAAAAAAAUAUCAGAACGUAAAAAAACUAAUUUUAGAUAUGUUGAUAAAAAUCAUUUAACUAUUACUUUAGAUGAAACGACUUCUAAAAAAGAUAUAAAUCAUAUUCUCUCAAUUUUUUACGAAGCAUAUAAUAAAAAUAAAUAUAAAAAAAUAAAAUAUCGUAUAAAAAACACUUAUGAUGAAUAUAGAUUUCCUAGUUUUUUAAAAAGAACUUCUAAUUUUUUGAAACAUAAAAAUUUUCAUAAAUUUCAUUCAGAAAAUGAAUUAAUGCGUUAUAUCAAGAGAUUAGAAAAAAAAGAUAUUUCCUUAAUUCAUUCUAUGAUUCCACUUGGAUCAUGUACUAUGAAAUUAAAUGCUUCUUCUGAAUUAUUUUCUUUAAGUCAAAAUGAAUGGAAAAAUAUUCAUCCUUUUGUACCUAAAAAACAAGCAAUGGGAUAUUAUUUUGUUAUUCAACAAUUAAAAAAAUAUUUAAAAGAAAUUACUGGAUUUUCCGGAAUUUCUUUACAACCGAAUUCAGGCGCUCAAGGAGAAUACGCAGGUCUCAUGGUCAUAAAACAUUAUUAUCAUUCAUUAAAAGAAUAUAAAAGAAAUAUAGCAUUAAUUCCUUCUUCUUCUCAUGGAACGAAUCCUGCAUCAGCAAAUAUGGCAGGAAUGAAAGUUAUAUCAAUAGAUACUACCAGUAGUGGGGCUAUUGAUAAAAAUGAUUUAUUAAAAAAAGUUAAAGAAAAUAAAGACUUAUUAUCUGUAUUAAUGGUUACUUAUCCUUCUACUUAUGGUAUUUAUGAAAAAGAUAUUCAAGGGAUUAUUGAUAUAAUUCAUGAAAACGGAGGUCAAGUUUAUAUGGAUGGAGCUAAUAUGAAUGCCCAAGUAGGAUUAAUUAAACCUGCACAUUUAGGUAUAGAUGUUUGUCAUCUGAACCUUCAUAAAACUUUUGCAAUUCCUCAUGGAGGAGGGGGACCUGGAAUGGGCCCUAUUUGUGUAGCUUCACAUUUAAAACCUUUUCUUCCUAAUCAUCCUUUUCAAAUUCAAGAAUAUAAUAAAAAAAAUAAAAAAAUAUUAACUAUAUCCUCUUCUCCAUAUGGAUCUCCUUUAAUUUUAACAAUUCCUUAUGCUUAUAUUCGUUUAUUAGGACCAUAUGGUCUUAAAAAGUGUACAGAAAUAUCUGUAUUAAAUGCAAAUUAUAUCAAAAAAAAAUUAGAUAAAUUUUAUAACAUAUUAUAUGUGGGAGAAAAUAAUGCGGUAGCCCAUGAAUUAAUUAUAGAUUGUCGAAUUUUUAAAUAUUCUACAAAUAUAGAAGUUAUAGAUAUAGCCAAAAGAAUGAUGGAUUACGGAUAUCAUGCUCCUACUAUAUCUUUUCCUGUAGAAGGAUGUAUGAUGAUAGAACCUACAGAAAGUGAAUCUAAAGAAGAAUUAGAUCGUUUUAUCGAAACUCUUAUUAGCAUAAGAAAGGAAAUUAAGGAAAUUGAAGAUGGAAAAUUUUCAAAAAAAAAUAAUGUAUUAAAAAACGCUCCUCAUAGUAUAGAGGAUUUGACUCAAAACAAAUGGAUCUAUCCUUAUGAUAGAGAAAAAGCAGCUUAUCCUUUAUAUUGGAUUAAAGACAGAAAGUUUUGGCCAUCAGUAAAUCGUAUUGAUGAUGGAUAUGGAGAUAGAAACUUAAACUGUACAUGUAUCUAAGUAUAGAUGGAUUCUAAUUAAUUUUAGAAAGAAGAAAAUAAUAAAUAAAUAUAUAUAUAAAAGUAAGUUGUAUUUCUAUUUUCUUAAAAUGUUUUAAAUUUUGAAUAUGGUGUAAUAUGAAUAGAAUCAAAUAAAUUUCUUUCAUAUUUUAGUAAUCCUGUUAUGGCUAUCAUAGCUCCAUUAUCGGUUGUAUAUUCUUUUUUUGGUAUAAAAAUUUCGAAUUCUUUAUUUUUUUUUGAAAAAGAAAUAAAUGAAUUCCUAAUUUUAUGAUUAGCAGAUACUCCUCCUGCUAAAACUAUUCUGAAAAUACCAGUUUGUAAAAUAGCUUUUUCUAUUUUAUCUAAAAGAAUUUCUGCUAUAAUAUUUUGUAUAGAAGCGCAAAUAUCAGAUAAAUUUUUUUUUAAAAAAAAAUUAUCUCUUUUUAAUUUUUUUUUUAUAAAUUGUAAAACAUCGCUUUUGAAUCCACUAAAACUAAAAUUUAGUCCAUUUACUUUAGGUUUUGAAAAAACGAAUUUUUUUUCGUUUCCAUUUUUAGAAAAAAAGUCUACCAUAGGUCCACCAGGAUAACAAAAACCUAACAUUCUUGCUAUUUUAUCUAAAGAUUCUCCUAUAGAAUCAUCUAAAGUAGAACCCAAAACCUCCAUUUUAAAAAAAUCAUUUACUUUUAUAAUUUGAGUAUGACCACCACUCAUCACUAAACCUAAAAAUGGAAAUUCUGGAUAAGAGUUAUUGAUGUUAGAAUUUUGUAUAAAAUGGGAAAGAAUAUGAGCUUGUACAUGAUUUACAGUUAAUAAUGGAAUAUCUAACCCCAUAGAAAAAGAUUUUGCAAAAGAAGCUCCUACUAACAAAGGGCCAAUUAAUCCAGGUCCUAAAGUAAAGGAAACAGCAUCAAUUUGAUAUCGAUGAAUUUUUGCUGAAAAAAUAGCUUUUUGGACUGCUCUUGCAAUAUUUUGGUCAUGUAAUCUUGAAGCUAAUUCAGGAACUACUCCUCCAUAUUUAUUAUGAAUUUUUUGAUGAAUUAUAAUAUUAGAUAAUACUUUCCUAUUUUGAAUGAUAGAAACACCUGUAUCAUCACAUGAUGAUUCUAUUCCAAUAAUUAUCGGUUUUUUUUUCAUAAAAAAAUAUCGAUAUCUUUGAAAAUGAGAAAAAUAUUUUUUCAAGAAUUAAAAAAAAAAAAAUCCUUAUUCUACUGUUUUUAGUGUUAGGAUUACUUUUAUUUUCUAUUUAUCAUGAAAAAAAAAUAAAAGAAAAAGUUUCUACAUUUUUAUUAAAAAUUUUUUUGAAAAAAGUAAAAAAUCGUUGGAAUGAAAAAAUUAUUAUCAAACAUGCUUCUAUUAAUUUUUUAGAAAAAGAACUUAUUUUACACGAUGUAAAAAUAUUAGACCAUCAUUAUUUUUCUUUCAUUCGUUUAUCUAAAUGUAAAAUAUCUAUUGAUAAUUUACUUUAUUUUAUUUUUAUAAAUUCAGAUUCUUUAAGAAUAAAGAAUAUUUUCAUUGAAAAUUCCUAUUUUUUUAUAAAAAAAUAUUUUAAAGAAAAAGAAAAUAAUAUUAUUUUUUUCAUUAGAGAUUUUUUGAUUCAUAAAAAAUUAAAUAAAUUUCAUAAUAAUUAUAUUACCUGUUCUAAAUUAAUAAUCAAUAAAUCUUACUUAGAAUACCAAAAUAAAAAUAAAAGUUUUAAUAGAAAAAUUUUUCAAAAAAAUUUUUAUAGUUGUAUAAAAAACAUUCGAAUUGAUAAUCAAAAAAUAAAAGCUUCUAUUUUAUCUUUUCAAUCUGAUAAGUAUUUUAUAAAAGUAAAAGAAAAUAAAAUUCCUUUUAUUAUAAAACAUUUGUCUUGUGAUUUAAUAUAUUAUUUUUUUAUUUCAAAACUAAAAGGAAAAAACAUUUUUAUAAAAACAUCCAAUAGUUUAUUAAAAGGAAAUUUUAUUUUUUUUCAAAAUCCAAAAAAAAAUAAAAAAUUUUCUACAGAAAAAAACAUACAAUGUCAAAUUUUAGAAGGAUCAAAAUUAGGUUCAGAUUUAGGUAUUUUGUUUUAUAAAAAAUGGAAUUCUUAUUCAAGAAUAUUUAUUAAAGGAACUGUUCACGGGGAGUUUAAUCCUGAAAAAAACAAAUUUUUUCUUUACAAUAUUUCGAUAAAAGAAUCAGAAAAAAAUAAAUUAAUCGCAAAUCAAAUUCAUAUUAUUUAUAAUUCAAAAAAAGAAUGGAAAAAAAUCAAAUUUUUUAAAAUUCUUUUUAAAAUUCAUCCUCAUUAUAAUAAAAGAACAAUUUUAUCCAGUUUGAGUUCUAAAUUUAAACUAGAUAAAAUAUUUCUUAGUUUGAAAAAUCCUAUUAUUUAUAAAGGAGAUUUAUUAUUAUCCUCAUUUGAAAAUGAUAAAAAAAAUUUAAAAAUAAAAGGAACCAUUCAAAACCGUUUUUUUGCAGUUAAAAUACUGACUGAUAUUUAUUUUUUUAAUAAACGAUAUACAGGUCAAAUUUUUAUAGAUAAAAAAUACCUUUUUUUAAAAAAAAAAAAUUCUUUAGAAGAAAAUAAAAUACAAUUUUUAAAUAGUUUAUCAAACUUAUCUAUUCUAAAUUUUAAAGAAAAAUUUUAUAAUUAUUUUAUAACUAUACUACUUUCUCAUUCAAAAUAUAAAAUCCUUUUUACAGGAAAAAAAUUUAAAAAUAUUCAAAAAGCAUAUAUAAAUAUAACAUAUAAUAAUAAAAAAAAAACUAAUAGAAAUAUUAAAAUAAUAUUUAUUAAUAAUAAUAAGGAACAUCCUUUUCAAAAAAUAAAAAUAAAUAUUCAUGAUAUGAUCAUUGGUCAUAUUUAUGAGUCUAUGGAUUUAAAAAAUUUAUUCAAUUUUUUUUGUUUAAAAAAUUCAUAUAAAAAAGAAACCAAAUAUUUUAGAUUUAAUUUUUUGAUUAAAAAAUAUUUUUUUGAUUUUAUAAAAAACAAAAAUAAAUUUUCUGAUAUUCAAAUUUCAGGAGAAAAAAAAGAUAAUAUAUUUAGAAUGAUUUUCUAUACAAAAUUUAUACAAUUCAACAAUAUUUUUUUUAAUCAAUUUUUCCUAAGAAUAGAUUCUUCUUUGAAAAAAAAAUUAAAGAUUCAUAUAGAAAAAAUUAUUUAUAAAAAAUUUUUUUCAAAAAAAAUAAAUAUAUCCGUUUUCAAUCCAAAAAACUUGUGGAUAAUAAAUUCUAAGUUCCUUUUCAAAAGAAAAGGACAAGAAUACGAAGAACAAGUAUUAAAUUUUUUUUGUAAAAAAGAAGAAAAAUAUUUGAUAAUAUGUAAACCUUUUUUUUCUAAAUUAAAUAUAAACGGAUAUAAUUGGUUAAUUGAUUCUAAUAACAACCCUAAUAACAACUUAGGAUUUAUUAAAAUUGAUUUAAUCCAUCAAAAAUACAUUAUUAAUAAUAUUGUUUUUUAUUCCGAUAAUCAAAAAAUUAUUAUUAAUGCAAAUUAUUUUAAAAACAAACAGAAAAUAUUUCAAUUUUAUCUAAAGAAUCUACAAUUAAAAAAAAUCAUAUUUAACAAAAAUAUAGAUGGAUUAGCAAAUGGUUUUUUUUAUUGGAAAAAUGUUUAUAACCAAAUUGAACCUAACAUUAAUAUAAAUUUUCAAAAUUUUUCAAUUGGAAAGAAAAUUUUGGGAAAUUUUUCUAUUUUUUCUUCAAAGAAGAACGAAAAAUAUUAUGAAAUAAAUGGAUUUCUUAGGAAGAAUUCUUAUGAUAUUUUAAAAGUAUUUGGAUUUAUUAAAAAUGAAUCAAAAAAUCAAAAUAAACUUAAUUUGAAUAUCAUUAUUCAAAACCUGAAAAUAAAUAAUUUUUCUUUUUAUUUAAAAAAAAUAAAUAGUAAAGUAAGAGGGACUAUAAAAGGAAAAAUACAAAUUUUUGGUCAUUUGAAUGAUCCUCAUUUUUUAGGAAAAUUAGAAAUCCAAAAAUUUGGAAUCAUAGUAAAUUCUGCAAACACAAAUUAUGAAAUCAUUAAUCCCGCGUAUAUUAACAUUUUUUCUGAGUUUUGUACAUUAUCUAAUUCUUGUUUCGUAGAUACUAAAUAUAAUACAAAAGGUUAUAUCAAUGGUUUCUUUUUACAUAAAAACCUUAUUCAAUGGAACUUAAUAAAGUUAUCUAUUAAUACAAAAAGAUUGAUUGUUUUAGAUUUAAAAAAAAAACAAAAUAAUUUUUUAUUCGGGAAAAUAUUUACUCAUGGAAAAAUUCAAAUAACAAAAAAAGAAAAUCAGACUCUGAUUUCUAUGAAAAAUGGAAGAAUUUUAAAUUCUUCUCAUCUAUACAUUAACUAUAAAUCUAAAAUAUUAGAAAAUCGAAAAAAAGAUGUGUCUAAAAUAAAAUUAAACGAUUUUAAAAAAUUCAAAAAAAGAGAAGAAAAUAAUUCUUUAUUAAUAGAUAUAAAUACAACUAUCGAUAAAAAUACAAAACUUUCAAUACUUUUAAAUAAAAUUUAUUCUAUUGAAUUUAUAGGAGAUGGUUUUUUCUUAAUAAAAAAAACAUUAAAAAAAAAUAUAAAAACUAGUGGUAGCUAUUUUGUAAAAAAUGGAUUUUAUAGUUUUCAUUAUAAUAAGAAAAAUAAAAUUCCAAUCAAAUUAAAAAAAACAUUUAAAAUAAAAACAAGAGGUUCUAUUUCUUGGAUAAAUAACUUUGAUCAAUCUAAUAUUGAUCUUAUAGCUAGUAAGACUAAAUAUGCAUAUAAUAUUAUUGAAUAUAUAGGAAAUUUUUUCUUCGAAAAAAAUACAAAAAAUAUGAUUCUUACAGAAUUAAGAAUUUAUAUCUAUGGUAAAAUAAAAAAACCAAAUAUCUAUAUGGAUAUUCUACUUCCUGAUAGUAAGGAAAAUAUACAAAAAAAAUUAUCAGAAAAAUUAAAAAAUGAUGAAGAAAAAACAAUGCAAUUUAUAUCUAUUUUAGUUUUAGGAAAAUUUAUACCAAAAAAAAAUUUUUUUUAUUUUUUUAUAUAUAAAUUUUUUUUGAAUAAAUUGAAAGACUCAUUAUUAAAUAAUGAAUAAAUAGUCCUAUUAAAAUAAAAAAUAAAAAAAUUAUAGAAAAAAUUCUAAUCUUAGAUCAAAAAAUUAUAAUAUUUAUAAUUAACUAAAAAUUCUUCAAAAGAAAGUUUUGUAUCUUGAUAUUUAAAUACCUUUAUUCAAGAAAAUUGAUAGAAAAUAAAAACAUAAAAUAAUGAUUCUAAGAUAUAAUACAGACGAAAUUGACAAUACUAUUGUUAGAAAAUUAAAUAUAAACGCUAGAACCUCCUAUACUGAAAUUAGUAAACAAAUCAGUAAAGAAAUAAAACCAUUAUCAGUUGGAACGAUUCAUGUGAGAGUAAAAAAAUUAGAAGAUGCAGGAAUUAUAAAGGGAAGUACUUUAAUUAUAGGAUACGAAUCAUUAGGGUUUCAUUUAAUAGCUUUUGUAGGAAUUUUAUCGGAUUCUCAUGAAUCUAAAUUAGUAAAAGAAGAAUUAAAAAAAAUACCGAAUAUAGUACAACUUUAUAUCACUUCAGGAAAAUAUAAUUUAUUUUGCAGAAUUAUUGCUAAAAACCCUUUAGAUGCAAGAGAUGUAAUUUCUAAAAUAGGAGAAAUUAAAGGAGUACUCAGAACAGAAUCGACUAUUUGUUUAGAAGAAAGUAUUAAUGAUGAAAAUAGAUUAUUAUCCAAUAUUUUACAAAAUAAUAAAAUACCUUCUUAUUAUAAAAAAAAGACAUUACAAUAAAUAAUAUAAUUGGACCUUUCUAUUCUUUAUCAUUUAUAUAUAUAUAUGUUUCUUUUUUUUACUUUAAAAGGUAAAAUUUUCUAUAUAAAAAAGGGAUAUAAAUCCAAUUUUAUUUAAAAAAUGGUUAAUUUUUUCCAUAAUAAAAAUGUUGUAUAUAAAAUUUUAAUCAUUGUAAUUUUAUCGUUUACAUUUUUUUCUAAAAAAAGAUAAAAAAAUAGAUUCCAAUUUCAUCCAAAAAAAAUUAUCACAUAAUAUAUUUUAGAAUUAAUACUUAAUACUACACCUAGUUUUUUUUGAAAAAAAUUUAAUAUAUAAAAAAAUAAAAUAUUUCCUUUACAAAAGAAAAUAAUAUUAUUAAUAUCAAUAGUAAUGAAAUUAUCAGAAAAAAAUCCAAAUUUCAUUUUAUUUUAAAAAAAAAUAUAAAAGUAGGACAUGAAAUAAAAAAAUAUUAUUGUCUUAUUAUAGGUUAUUUUUUUAUUAUAAUUUUUACUUUAUUUAUUUAAUAUUUAUACUAUGUAUUUUUUAUUUUGAAAUCAAAAUAUUUAAAAGCAAUAAAAAAAUUAAUUUUUUAAUUAUAUAUUAUUUUUUAUUACCACUUUAGUAUUAAAAUAAAAUAUUAUAACUCCAAUUUUGGAACCUUUCCAUCCGGAAAUAAAUGGUCUUUUUUCAAUUCUAAUUUUAGUAUUUUUAUUCAUCAGUUUAUUUACUUUAAUCUAUAAAGGAUAGUUAAAAAAAAUUUCAUGCAUACUUUUUAUUUAUUUUUCUUAGUGGAUUUUUGACUUUAUUUAUUCGUAUAUUAAUAUUUUCUUUUGAAAAAUUAUAAAAUUCAACUUCAGAUAUUUCGUUCUUAAAAUUAUCUAAACCCAAUACUCUUAUCUUUAUUAAGAUUAUUUUCUGAAAAAAAUACCAGGUACUUUACGACAUAUUUUAACAGUUUCAAAUAUAGUAUAAGAACCUUCUGUUACACAAUUGGCGUUAGUUCGUUGUUAACAAAAAAUUAGGAUUAAUUUAUCAUGAUAUAGAAAAAAUAAAAAAUUCUAAUUUUUUCAUUGAAAAUAAAAAAAACAUCAGUUCAAUCCUCAUAAAAAAUUAAGUACAAAAAAAGUGCUAAAAUUAUUUUAAAACAUGUAAUCCAAUAGGAGCUAAACUAUAGCAAAAAAAAAUAUCAUUUACCUGAUCUCCUAUUGCUGAUUUUAUACAUUUCUAUCAUAGAAAUAGUAUUGUUUUUUAUAAAAAAUAAAAAAAGAUAAAUCUAAAUUUAAAAGUAGAUAAAAAAAUUUCAAUAUUUUAGUUCUAAACUAUUUCCAAAAAAAACAAGUAUUGUAAUGAUAACUGAUUCUACAAAAUCAUCUUCAAAAAGUAUAAAAAAUACAUCAACUUAAAAUUUUGAAAAAUUAGUAAAAAAUAUAAUUGAACAAAAAAAAAUAGAAAAUCAAUCUUUAAAUGAAGAUAUUACUAUAAAAAAACAGUAAAAAAUAAAAUAAGUUCUAAAAAAGAAAUUAAAAAAUAUUUAUCAUACUAAAUAAAAUAGUACAUUAUAAUUCUCAAUUCAUAUAUGAUAAUGAAAUAAAUAGAAAAUAAAUUAUUUGGUUAUUUAAUAGAUCUAUUUUAGAUUUGUAUUUUUUUGGAGAAUUGCCGGAGUGGUUAACGGAACAGUUUGCUAAACUGUCGGUGUAUAAACACUGCGUGGGUUCGAAUCCCACAUUCUCCGUUAUAUAAAAAAACGGGUAAAAAAACGGGGUAUAGCGUAGUUUGGUUAUCGCGCCUGGUUUGGGACCAGGAGAUCGUAGGUUCAAAUCCUGCUACCCCGAUAUUUUUAUUUUAUUAUAAUAUUAUUAUAAGAUCACGUAGCUCAAAUGGAUAGAGCUACUGCCUUCUAAGCAGUAGGUUGCAGGUUCGAGUCCUGUCGUGAUCAUUUUUUUCCUUCUAAUACUUCAUCUAUCAUACCGUAUUUUUUUGCUUCUAUAGAGUCCAUCCAAUAGUCUCUAUCUGAAUCUUUUUCUAUUUUUUCAAUAGGUAAACCUGAAUGUUUCGAUAUAAUUUCAUAAAGUUCUUUUUUCAAUUUUAAAAUUUCACGAACUGUUAUUUCAAUAUCUGAAGCUUGUCCUUGUGUUGAUCCUAUAGGUUGAUGAAUCAUUAUUCUAGAAUGUUUCAAUGCAGAUCUUUUAUUUUUUACUCCUGCACAAAGUAAAACAGCAGCCAUAGAUGCAGCCAUUCCAGUGCAAAUAGUUGCUACAUCUGGUUUUAUAAUUUGCAUUGUAUCAUAUAUACCCAAUCCAGCAUAAACAUCUCCUCCUGGAGAAUUAAUAUAUAUUUGUAUAUCCUUUAUAGAAUCAACAGAUUGUAAAAACAAUAACUGAGCUUGCACUAUAUUUGCGACUUGGUCUUCUAUUGAAGUUCCUAAAAAAAUAACGCGAUCCAUCAUUAAACGAGAAAAAACAUCCAUUUGAGCUAUAUUUAAUUUUCUUUCUUCAACAAUAUAGGGAGUCAUAAAUUUAAUGUAAUCGCUCAUUGCUAAACUACUAAUUUUUUUAUGCUUCCUUGCGUAUAGCAUAAACUCUUUUGAGUUUCUAUGAUUAUCCAUUUUUUUUAUAUUGAAAAUUUCAUCAAAGUUACUUUCUUAUAUAUAAAAUUUUAUUAAAAAAAUUUAUACAUGCAUAAAAAAUACAGAAAUUAUAAAUUUUUAAUCUAAAAAAAUAUUGAAUUUGUAUAAAAAAUUAGCAAUACAAACGAUUAUAUAUUCGAUAGGAUUUGCACUUCCUAAAAUUAUAAAUUAUGUUUUUUUGAAAUUUUUUACUAUUGUUUUUAAAAGAGAAGAAUUUUCUCUUUAUACAGAUAUGUAUGCGUUAUCUUUCAUAGUUAUAGGCUUUCUUUCUUUUGGUUUAGAAAAUACCUAUUUUAGAUUUUUAUAUAAGAAAAAUUGUAACAAAGAGAUUGUUUUUUCAACAGGAGUGAUAAUACAAUUGUUAAUUAGUUCUUUCUUUUUGAUAAUUUCUAUAUUUUUAACAAAAAAUUUAUCUUCUAUUGCUGGAUAUUAUCAUCAUCCAGAAUAUUUUUUAAUGUUUUUUUUAAUUAUUUUUUUCGAUACAAUUUGUAUUCUUCCUAUGGCUUGGCUUCGUGUAAAUGAUAAACCUAUACAAUAUUCCAUAAUAAAUAUUGUAAAUGUAUUGGUACAAUCAUUUUUAAUAAUAUUUUUAUUUCUCUAUAGUAAAAACUCUUUAUUUUUUUCUAUUUUUUUUAUGAGAUGGAUUAAUUCUUUUACAGAUAAAAUAGGUUAUAUAUUUUUUGCAAACAUGAUUUCUUCUUUAAUCAAUUUAUUUCUAAUUUUUCCUAUUUUUUUAAAAAAAGUAACUAUAAAAAAAUUUAAUAAAGAUCUUGCUAUAAAAAUGUUAAGUUAUGGUAUUCCUAUUAUGAUAGGAACAAUUUCUUUUUCUAUCAAUGAAAAUUUAGAUAAAAUUUUGAUUAAAAGAUGUAUUUCAGAUGAAAUUAAUGGAGCUUAUUCCGCUUGCUACAAAAUUGCCUCUUUCAUGAGUUUAUAUAUUAAGGUUUUUAGAUUAGGAAUUGAACCCUUUUUUUUUAAAAAAUCCAAAGAUUCCGAUGCAAUAUAUUAUUAUGAAGAAAUCAUUUAUAUAUUUAUUUUAUUUGGAUUAAUUUUUUAUGUAUUAAUAUGCGGAAAUAUUAACAUGUUUAUGAGGUUUUUAAUUGAAAAAAAAUAUCAUAUAGCUAUUCCUAUUAUUCCCAUAAUAAUGAUGGGAAAUCUUUUUUUGGGAAUUUAUACUAAUUUAUCCAUAUUUUAUAAAAUAAUAGAUAAACCCAUUAUUGGAACUUAUAUAUCGUUAAUCGGAAUGUUGAUCACUUUUUUGUUUAAUGUUAUUUUUAUUUUUAUUUCUACUAAUAAUAGUUUUAUGAUUCCGGCUUGGGGGACUUUUACAUCUUAUGGAUCUAUGCUUAUAGUUUUAUACAUUUGGGGAAAAAAAUUUUUUUUACAAUUUUGUAAUAAAAAAAUUACAAAUAUUAUAAUACAUUUUAUAUUUGCACUUUUUAUUGUUUUUAUGAUAAAAAGAGAAAUAAAAUUGAAUUUUUUAUUACAAAUAUUAUAUCUAAUAAUUAUUCUUUUUUUAGAAAGAAAUAGAUUGAAAAAUUUAAUAAAAUAAAAUAAAAUAAAUUUUGCGUAAAAAAAUGUAUCAAUCCACUUUAAUUUCCAAUAUUAAAAAAUCUAUUUCCAUUAAUUUUUUGGAAAGAAAGUUGAUUUCAACUGGUAUUUUUUUUAUUUACGAAAAUACUAAAUACUCUUUUUUUUUAAAGAAAAAAAUGAUAAAAACUGUUUGUAUCAUUCAUAUUACGAAAAAUAAGAAGAAACACUUCUUUUAUGAUGAAAUUCAAAUUAUUAUAAUCAAUGUUUUUCCUGAAAAAAAUAUAAUAAUUGAACCUAAUAAUAAAAUAGGAGUAUUAGGUGUUGUUAAACAUGUAAAAAUAAAAUGGAAAAAGUGUUCUAUUUUAAAUAUAAGUAUGAGAGGAGAUAAUAGUUUUGGAAGUACUGGAAUAUUAUAACAUAAAAUAAAUAAAAUGAUAUGAAAAUUAUAAUUCCUAUGGCUGGAAAAGGAUCGAGACUUUUUCCACAUACUUUAAAUACUCCUAAAUCAUUGAUAUCUAUUGCAGGAAAAACAAUUUUGAAAAGACUUUUGGAAAGUUUAUCAAAAAUUAUUCAAGUUUUUUCUAUACAAGAAAUUAUUUUUAUUUUAAAAAAUUUUGAAAAUGAAAUAGUAGAAAAACAAUUAAUUAAACUCUCUUAUGAGAUGAAUAUUCAUCCUGUUAUAUACUACCAAAUAAAACCUCUUGGAACUGCAGAUGCUUUGUUAAAAGCUAAAAAUUCUUUAACAGGAGAACCAGUACUUAUUGCCUUUUCUGAUUCUUUAUUUUAUCAUAAUUUUUUUGAUAAAGAAAUUACUACUCACCAAGUAGAUAACAUUAUAUGGACCAAAAAAGUUAAAAAUCCUCAUUUAUUUGGUAUUGUAAAACAUGAUUCCUCAGGGAUUAUUACUCAUUUUAUAGAAAAACCAAAUAAUUAUAUAUCAAAUCUUGCUAUUGUUGGUCUUUAUUAUUUUAAAAAUAGUUUUUUUUUAAAAAAAGAAUUACAAUUUUUAUUAGAUCAUAAUAUUAAGAAUGAACAAGAAGAAUAUCAAUUAACGUCGGUUUUAGAAAGUAUGAGAAAAAAAGGAGAAAAAUUCAUUAUUAAACAAAUUAAAGAAUGGAUGGAUUUUGGAAAUCAAAAAGGGAUUAUUUAUUCGAAUUCCAAAAUAUUAUCUAUUGAAUCUAAAAAUUCAGAAUUAAUUCAUAAAAAAGUUAUUAUAAAAAACAGUUUAAUUAUAAAUCCUUGUUCAAUCGAAGAAAAUACAAAUAUUGAAAAUAGCAUUAUAGGUCCUUAUGUUUCAAUAGGAAAAUUCACAAAAAUAAAAAAUAGUAAGAUUAAAAAAUCUAUAAUUCAAAAUUAUACAAUCAUUCAACAUGCUAAUUUAAAUCAUUCAAUAAUAGGGAACCAUUCUAUUUAUAUAGGAGAAAAAGAAAGAAAAGUAAAUUUGAGUGAUUACUCCGUUUUCAAAUAAUAUAAAAUUAAAAAUCCAUAAUUUUUUUUAUAUUUGAAAUAAAAUUCCAUGUACAUGGAUUUUGUUUCUAUUUUUUCUAUACCACUUGGUACUUUUGGAACCACAGAAAUCGUGGUUAUUGUCAUUCUUGCACUUUUACUAUUUGGAGGUAAAAAAAUUCCUGAAUUAAUGAGGGGAUUGGGGACCGGAUUGAAAGAAUUUAAAAAAGCUUCUGAAGAAGAAAAAGAAGAAAAAAAUUCAGAUUCAAUAGUUAAAAAAGAAAAAGAAUAAGAGAUUUACAUUCAUUUUUUUUGAUUAAAUCUAUUCUUUUUUUUUCUAUUUCUUUUCUAAAAAAUUUUUAGAAACUAAUCAAACUCAUCAAAUAAAUAAUGGAAACGAAAAAAAUAAGAAAUAUUAUGUUUUUUGUAUUCAUCUUAAAAAGUUUGUUUAUUCAAACAAUAUCAGAACCAUUUUUAAAACAAAAAAAUACAAUUAACUUUCAUAAAAACACUAAUAAUAAUCCAAAAUUAGAUUUUAUAUAUACAGAAAAAUUAUGGAAUAAAAUGUCAGGAUGGAAAAAAAAAACUUUAUCUGGAAAAAAAAUUUCUCAUAAAAAAAAAAAUAACGUUAAUACUAAUACUGUUAUUAUUAAUAUUAAUAUGGAAGAAUUGAAACGAAGAUUAAAUUUUCUAAAUCAGAGAUCUCAAAUUAAAAUACUAAAAUAUAAUAGUAUUGUACAUGCGUCUGUAGAAAGUUAUCUUCGUAUGAGUAAAUAUAUAGAAAAAAUUAUUUCAUUAUCAGAUUUUUAUUUUCCUAUGUUUGAAGAAAAACUUGAAAAACAUCAUCUUCCAAAAGAAUUAAAAUAUUUAGCUAUUGUAGAAUCUAGUUUAAAUCCUGUUGUAACUUCUAAAGCAGGAGCAAAAGGGAUUUGGCAAUUUAUGCCAGAAACUGGAAAAAUAUAUAAUCUUGAUAUUAAUCAUAUUUAUGAUGAAAGAAAUGACCCUAUUAAAUCUACAGAAGCAGCUUGUCGAUAUUUAAAAUUUUUAUAUAAAAAAAUAGGAAACUGGGAACUCGUCUUAGCUGCUUACAAUGCGGGACCUAAAACAGUCGAUAAAAUACUACAACGUUAUAGUUCUAAAAAUAGAAAUAAAUUUUGGGAAUUAUGGGAAUUUUUUCCAAAAGAAACUCAAAAUUACAUUCCAAAAUUUAUUGCCAUAAAUUAUGUAAUGAAUUAUUAUAAAGAACAUAAUAUUUAUAAACAUUAUUCUUAUUUUAAAUAUAAAUACAAAGAAACAAUGUUAAUUCCUAUUAAGCAUAAAAUUUCAUUGAAAUUUUAUGCUUGUAAUUUAAAUAUUUUUUAUCGAGAUUUAAUUUUUCUUAAUCCAAAAUAUCUUGUAGAUCUUAUUCCUUCAGGAAAUAAAUUAAGAUUACCAAUAAAUAAAAUCUUAUUUCUUAAUAAUAAGAAAAGAUUUCUCUUGAAAAAAAAUCCAUAAAAAUUAAUUGUUUUCAUAAUAUUUAUAUCCAAAUAAUAAAAAACAUAUUUAUAUGUAUUAUGAAUUAAAUUAAUUUCUUAAAUGAAAAAUUUAUUUCAAAACUAUGAACGAAAAAAUUGAACGAAAAAGAAAAUCUUUACAACUUGUAUUGGAAAAAAUGGAUAAAAUAUAUGGAAAGGGAACUGUAAUGCAAAUGGGAGAUUCUCAUAUAAAAAAUUUAGAAGUUAUUUCUUCUGGUUCUUUAAGUUUAGAUAUUGCUUUAGGAAUAAAAGGAUUUCCAAAAGGUCGUAUUAUUGAAAUAUUUGGUCCGGAAUCUUCUGGAAAAACUACUUUAGCUUUACAUGCUAUAAAUCAAUCUCAAAAAUUAGGAGGAUUUGCUAGUUUUAUUGACGCAGAACACGCUUUUGAUCGUAUUUAUGCUAAAAAAAUAGGAGUAAAUAUAAAAGAAUUAAUUAUAUCUCAACCAGAUAAUGGAGAACAAGCACUAGAAAUUGUGGAUAAAUUAAUUAGAUCUGAUGUUAUUGAUAUGAUAGUAGUUGAUUCUGUAGCAGCUUUAACACCUAAAAGUGAAAUAGAAGGAGAAAUGGGUGAUUCUAAAAUCGGAUUACAAGCAAGAUUAAUGUCUCAAGCUUUGAGAAAGCUAACUUCUAGUAUAGGAAAAUCUAAAAGUAUAUUGAUAUUUAUUAAUCAACUAAGAGAAAAAAUAGGAGUUUAUGGAAAUCCAGAAGUCACAACAGGGGGAAAUGCUUUAAAAUUUUAUUCUUCAAUACGAUUAGAUAUCCGAAAAGGGGUUCAAAUUAAAAAUGGAGAAAAAAUAUUAGGAAAUAGAACAAAAGUAAAAGUAGUGAAAAAUAAAUUAUCUCCUCCUUUUAGAACUGCUGAAUUUGAUAUUAUGUACGGAGAAGGUAUUUCAAAAAUUGGAGAAAUUUUAGAUAUAGGAAUAGAUUUAGGAAUCCUUAAAAAAAAUUCUUCUUGGUUUAGUUAUGGAGAUCUUAAAUUAGGUCAAGGAAGAGAUUCUGUAAAAGAAUUUUUAAAAAAAAAAGAAAAUAUUAUAAAUGAAAUACAAAAAAAUAUAUAUAAAAAUAUAUGAAAAUCACUUUUUUAGGAACUGGAACAUCUCAGGGAAUUCCUGUUAUUGGAUCUAAACAUCCGGUAUGUUUAUCGAAAAAUUAUAAAGAUAAAAGAUUAAGAAGUUCUAUUCUCAUUGAAAAAAAUCAAAAAUUUUUUUUAAUUGAUUGUGGACCAGAUUUUCGUUAUCAAAUGAUAAGAAAUAAUUACGAAAAAUUGGAUGCUAUUUUCAUAACACAUGAACAUCAAGAUCAUAUAGGAGGAUUAGACGAUAUAAGACCUAUCAAUAAUAUGAAUCAAUUAACUAUUCCUAUUUAUGGAUUACAUAGAGCAAUAGAAAAUUUAAAAAAAAGAUUUUUUCAUCUUUUUUCGAAAAACAAAAAACCAAAUACUUCAAAAAUUUCUGUCCAUGAAUUAGAUAAUUAUAACAAAUUUUUUUUUGUAGAAAAUUCUAAAAUUAUUCCUUUAUUCAUAUGGCAUGGAGAUCUUCCUAUUUUAGGAUUUCGUAUAGAAAAUUUUGCGUAUAUCACAGAUGCUAGUAGUAUUCCUAUUCAAACAAUAGAAAAAUUAAAAGGAAUUAACAUAUUAGUAUUAAAUAUACUUAGAAAAGUAGUAAAAAAUUCUUUUCCUUUCUUACUUUCUGAAACUUUGAAUGUUAUUCAAAAAAUUCGUCCUAAAAAAACUUAUUUAACGCACAUCAGCCAUACAUUUGGAUUCCAUGAAAAAAUUGAAACACAAUUACCUAAAAAUGUACAUUUAGCUUAUGAUCAAUUAAUUAUACAUGAAUAAAUAAAAAAACCUAUAUAAUAAAGUAAAAUUCUAUAUUAAAAAAUACGGGUAGAUGCAAAAAAUAAAAAAAAUACUUUUUUCCACAAAAGUUACUUCUUUCUUAUUCUUAUCAUUCGCUUUAUCUAUGGCUAUAGCUACUUUUAUAGAAAAAAAAUAUACUACAGAUGUAGCAAAAAUAUUUAUUUACGAAUCUACUUGGUUUGAAAUUCUUUUAUUACUUAUCAUAAUAAAUCUAAUAGGAAAUAUAUGGAAAUAUAAAUUAUGGAAUUACAAUAAAAUCCCUCUAUUCAUCUUUCAUUUUUCAUUUAUAUUCAUUUUUAUUGGAGGUCUUUUUUCUAGAUAUUUUAAUUUUGAAGGUACAAUGUCUAUAAGAGAAGGAGAAAUAAAUGGAAAAAUACUUUCUAACAAAAGUUAUAUAAAAUUAAAAGUAAAUCAAGGAUCUAACAUUAGAUAUUAUCAUGAUCCUUAUAUUUUCUCUUAUUUUCAUCAUAAUAAAUAUAAAGGAGUAUUUUUUUUUAAAAAAAAACCUUUUAAAGUUAAAGUUAUAGAUUAUAUACCAUGUGCAAAGAUUUUUUUAUCAAAAAAAAAUCCAGAAGAAAAAAUUAUAAAAAUAGUUUCAACAAAUCAAAAAGAAAGAACAGAACAUUUUAUUAAAAAUGGAGAAAUUAUAAAUAUAAAUGGAGUUUUAUUUUCUUUUAAUAAAAGAAUUCCUUUUGGAAUUGUAAUUUUGGAAAAAAAUCAUAAGAUUUAUAUAAAAUCAUCUUUUUCAGGUAGAAGCAUCAAUAUGAUAAAUAGAAAGGUUAGUUUUUUUUCAAAAAAAAUUGAUCAUAUAUUAAAAUUUAAUCAUUUAUAUCAAAUUAAAAUCCAUAAAAAUUAUAAAACUAUACAAUGGGUUAUCCCUGAAGGGGUCAUUAAAGGAAAAUUAAAAUAUGUAAAAUCAUGUGAUUAUGAAGAAAAUAAUAAAUUAAGUGCUAUUACGGCAAUAAUAUCAUUUCAAAAUCAAUCCAAAUUAGUUACAUUUUUAGGAGGAAAAAAUGCAACAAACAUGAGUUCUCCUUUAUUUUUUAAGGAUUAUAAAAUAUCCAUUGGAUAUGGCUCAAUUUUUUUUAAUCUUCCUUUUUUCAUAAAAUUAAAAAAAUUCAGAUUGGAAAACUAUCCAGGUUCUGAGUUUCCAUCUACUUUUACAAGUUAUGUUACAUUAAUAGAUAAAAAUAUUAAAAAAAACUAUUUCAUUUAUAUGAAUCAUGUUUUGAAUUAUAAAGGAUUUCGAUUUUUUCAAUCUGGAUACGAUCCAGAUGGAAAAGGGACUCAUUUUUCUGUUAAUAACGAUUAUUUAGGUACUUAUUUUUCCUAUAUUGGUUAUAUUUUUAUGAGUAUAGGUAUGUUUUUAACUUUAUUUUGGAAAGGAACUAGAUUUAAUUAUCUCAGAAAAAAACUAAAAUAUUUAUCUCAUAAAAAUUUUUCAUUAUUAUUGUUCAUUGUAUUUUAUUUUCUAGGGAAUAUACAGAAUUCUGUUUUUUCUCAAAAAAAACAAGAAUUCAAAAAUAUUCCUUUAGAAAAUAUUUUUGAUGCAAUUCAUAUUUCUAAAAAACAUGGAGAUAACUUUGGCCGGUUAUUAGUACAAGAUCAAAAAGGAAGAAUUAAACCUAUUAACACAAUUGCUAUUGAAUUACUUAGAAAAGUACAUAAAAAAGAUUCCAUAGGAAACUUAGAUGCAAAUCAAUGGUUUAUAUCAAUACAUCAAGAUAAUAUUUUUUGGGCAAAAAUUCCUUUUAUUAAAGUUGAUAAAAAAGGCGGACAUAAAUUCUUAAAUAAAAUAAAAGCAAAUCUACAAUAUUAUGUUUCUCUUAUGGACCUAUAUAUCAUAGACCCAAAAACUUCAAAACUAAAAUUUCUUCUUCAAGAAGAUUAUGAACGAGCUUUUUCUAAAAAUCCUUUUCAAAGAGAUGAAUAUGAUAAAGCAGUAUUGAAUCUUAGUGAACGUAUAGGAAUAAUACAUGAAAUUUUUCAAGGAAAAUAUAUUCGUAUUUUUCCUAUUCCUCAUGAUAUCAAUCAAACUUGGUCAAGUUGGAUUUCCAAUUCAAAUAAAUUAAAUCCCUUAGGGUUAUCCAUGUUUAGUAAUUAUCUUAAAUCUUUAUUAUUUUCUCAAAAUGAAAAAAAUUGGAAUCUUGCAGAUAAAGAAAUCCAAAAAAUACGAUUAUACCAAAUUAAGCACGCAAAGUCUAUUUUACCUUCAGAAAAUAAAAUAUCUGUAGAAAUCCUUUAUAAUAAAUUAAAUAUAUUUUAUGUACUAUCUUUUAUAUAUUUUUUCUUUGGGAUCAUUCUUAUUUUCCAUUCUUUCUUAAAUAUUUUUUUUAAAAAAAAAUAUACAUACAUAUCUAAAACAUUUAUUUUUAUUUUAUUUAUUUUAUUUAUCCUAAAUUUUUUUGGAUUAGUCACAAGAUGGUAUAUCUCUGGGCACGCUCCAUGGACUAAUGGAUAUGAAUCUGCUAUUUUCAUUAGUUGGUGUUUGAUCGGAAUCAAUUUUUUAUUUUAUAAAAAUCAAUUUGUUUCAGGAAUCACAACUUUAAUUUCUUCCAUUUUACUGAUGAUUGCACAUCAUGGAAAUGUUAUGGAUCCAGAAAUAACAAAUUUAGUACCUGUAUUAAAAUCUCAUUGGUUGAUUAUACAUGUAGCAACAAUUACAUCAAGUUAUGGUUUUUUUUUAACAGGAUCAUUUUUAGGUUUUUUAGUCUUGAUUUUUUUUAUAUUAAAAGCAUGUUUUCAUAAACAUAGUGAAAUCAUUCAUUUUCACAUUGAAAAACUAACUAUUAUUAAUGAAAUGUGUUUGACGAUAGGGCUUUUUUUAUUAACUAUAGGAACUUUUUUAGGUUCUGUAUGGGCUAAUAAUAGUUGGGGACGUUAUUGGAGUUGGGAUCCUAAAGAAACUUGGGCUUUGAUUAGCAUAAUGAUUUAUGCUUUUGUAUUACAUAUACGAUUAAUUCCGUAUUUUAAAAAAAACAUAUUUAUUUUUAAUUUAUUCAGUAUUUUAUCUAUAAGUUGUAUUUUAAUGACUUAUUUUGGAGUAAAUUAUUAUUUAUCUGGACUACAUUCUUAUGCAAAAGGAGAGCCCAUUUCUAUUCCUAAUUGGGUGUAUUAUAGCUUGUUAGUUUUAUUUAUUAUCACUAUUUUAUCUUAUCAUUCAUUCAAAUUUCAUAAAAUAAAAUACAUCAAUAAACAGUGAGUUUUUAUUCGUUUUUUUUUAAAAAAAACUUUAAAAAAAAAAGCACUUUAUUUAGAGAUGCUUUUGGAAAUUUUCAUUUUAUAAAACGUUUUUUAAUUUUUACUUUUGGUUGUAUUUCUUAUAAUCGUUAUAAUGGAUUUAAUCAAUUACAUUUAGAAGGAACUGAAUAUAUAAGAGAUUUACCUGAUAAAAAAGUUCUUUUUGUAUCUAAUCAUCAAACUUAUUUUGCAGAUGUAUUUGCUAUGUUUCAUGUAUUUUGUAGUGUAAAAAAUGGUUUUGUAAAUAGUAUUAAAAAUCCUAUUUAUCUUUUAAAUCCUAAAGUUAAUUUAUAUUAUGUAGCAGAAAAAAAUACGAUGAAUAAAGGUUUUUUAACUAAAUUAUUUAUUUAUUCAGGAGGAAUUACUGUAAAAAGAAUUUGGAAGGAAGAUAAUGAAAAAAUCAAUCGUUCUAUAAAUAUACUAUCUGAUAUUACUCGCAUGGGAAUUGCGCUUAAUGAUGGUUGGUUGAUUACUUUUCCACAAGGAACAACUCAAGCUUUUGCUCCUGGACGAAGAGGAAUUGUUUAUGUUAUAAAAAAAUAUAGUCCUAUUGUUGUUCCUAUUGUAAUAGAUGGAUUUAAAAAAGCUUAUGAUAAAAAAGGAAUACGUAUUAAAAAAAAAGGAGUUUUACAAAAAAUGAAAUUUAAAGAACCUAUUCAGAUAGAUUUAAAAAAAGAUACAACAGAUUCUAUCAUGGAAAAAAUUAUGGAUGCUAUCGAACAGUCUCCAAAAUAUAAUAAAAAAGAUAAAUCAUAAAUUUCAAAAUAAAUGAAAUAUAAAUUUAUAAAAGAUACUUUUCUUAAUUUUUUUCAAAAAAAGAAACAUAAGAUCCUUCCUUCUUUUCCUAUUUUUUCUAAAGAUGAUUCCACUCUUUUCUUUGUUAAUGCCGGAAUGAAUCCUUUCAAGGAUUAUUUUUUAGGACAUGUAAAGCCUGAAUAUACAAGAAUAGCCAAUGUUCAAAAAUGUCUUAGAAUAACUGGAAAACACAAUGAUUUAGAAAAUGUAGGAUAUGAUGAUUAUCAUCACACCAUGUUCGAAAUGUUAGGAAAUUGGUCUUUUGGAGAUUACUCCAGAAAAGAAACCAUAGAAUGGGCUUGGGAAUUAUUAACUAAAAUAUAUCAUAUUCCUAAUCAAAAUAUUUAUGUUUCUAUUUUUAUUGGAGAUAAAAAAGAUGAAUUGUCCAUGGACAAGGAAGCAUUUAAAUAUUGGAAGACUUUUCUUGAUGAAAGUCAUAUUCUUUUUUUUGGAAAAAAAGAAAAUUUUUGGGAAAUGGGAAUAGAAGGGCCUUGUGGUCCUUGUUCAGAGAUUCAUAUAGAUUUAAGGAAUGAAAAAGAAAAAAAAGUAUUAUCUGGAAAAUACCUUAUUAAUAAAAAACAUCCUCAAGUAAUAGAAAUUUGGAAUCUUGUUUUUAUAGAAUUUAUACGUAAAUCAGAUGGAACGUUAGAAAAACUUCCUAAAAAACAUGUAGAUACAGGAAUGGGACUAGAAAGAUUAUGUAUGAUUUUACAAGGAAAAAAUUCUAGUUAUGAAACUGAUAUUUUUUAUCCUAUUAUUCAAGAUAUAGAAGAAAAAUUAGGAAAUAUUUAUAAUAAAAAAAAUUUUGAUCAAAAUGUAUCUAUAAAAAUUAUAGCAGAUCAUCUAAGAGCUAUUGUUUUUUCUAUUUUAGAUGGACAAUUACCAUCUAAUAAUGAGGCUGGUUAUGUGAUAAGAAAAAUACUUAGAAGAGCUGUAAUUUUAUGUAUCCGUUUUUUACAAAAAAAAGAACCUUUUAUUUAUAAAAUAGUAGAUACUUUAGUAAGAGAAAUGAAAAGUUCUUUUUCGGAGUUAGAAAAUAAAAAAAAUUAUAUUAAAAAUAUCAUUAAAGAAGAAGAAUUAUCAUUUUUCAGUAUUGUUGAAAAAGGAAGUAAAAAAAUUCAACAUAUAAUUACUGAACAUAAAGAAAAAAAUGAAAAAAUCAUUCAUGGAGAAAAAAUUUUCCAAUUAUAUGAUACUUAUGGAUUUCCUAUGGAUCUAUCUAAAAUAAUAGUUGAAAAAAACAACUUAUUCAUUGAUGAAAAAUCAUUUCAAAAAAAAUUAUCGGAACAAAAAGAUAGAUCCAAAAAAGAAAGAAAUUCAAUUUUAAAAAAAGAUUGGAUAAAAGUGCAUAACAAUUUUCAUCAAAAUCAAAAUUUCGUAGGAUAUGAAUUGAUAGAAUGUAAUAUUUUAAUAUUGAAAUAUAGAAAAGUAGAAAAUAAACUCAAAAACAUUCAUUAUUAUGAACUAGUAUUUUCCAAAACUCCCUUUUAUCCUGAAAGAGGUGGUCAGUUAGGAGAUACGGGGAUUAUAAAAAAUGAAAUUGAUAAAAUUGAUAUUUUUGAUACUAAAAUAGAAAAUUCUAUUAUUAUACAUUGUGUUCAAAGAUUACCUUCAAAUGUUUUUUCUUAUUUCAAAGCUAUAGUAGAUCAAAAUAGAAGAAAAAAGAUAGAAAAAAAUCACACUUCAACUCAUUUAUUAAAUUUUGCUCUAAAACAAAUUCUAGGAAAUCAUAUUCAACAAAAAGGUUCUUACGUAGGAGAUGAUUAUCUAAGAUUCGACUUUUCUCAUUAUCAAAAAAUAAAAACUCAAGAAUUGCAUAAAAUCGAAGAUUUUGUUCAAGAAUUAAUUUUUUCUGAUCUUAUAUUAAAAAUAGAAAUAUUUCAUUCUUUAUAUGAGGCUAAAAAAAAUGCUUCUAACGCUUUUUUUAGUGAAAAUUUUGAAAAAAAAUACAAAAAAAAACAAGAAAUACGAAUUGUAAAUUUUGGAAAAUCUUCCGAAUUAUGUAUUGGAACACAUGUUAAAAAUACUAAAGAAAUUCAAGUUUUUGAAAUAUUGUCAGAAUCUUCUAUCUCACAUGGAGUACGUAGAAUUAAAGCUAUAACUUACAAAAAUGCAAUUCAACAUUUAAAAUCUAUUCGUAAUCAAUAUCAAUCUUUAUAAAAAAUAUAGUGAAAUAUUCAGGUUCUUCUAUAAAAAAUUUUUCAAAUUUUAAAAAUUAAAACAAAAAAAUAUGAAAAUAAAUAUUAAAAAACUAUAUAAAGAUAUCCUGUUAAAAUAAUAGACUAUGUAUAUGUAAAAUUGAUUUUAAUUUAAUUAAGAAUAAGAAAAAAAAUAAUAAAAUUUUGAAAAAAAUAAUCGUAAAAUUACGUGAUUUUCAUAAAAUAUUUUAUGAUUAUAAAAUUUGUAAAAAAUGAAAAAAUAGUCUCAGAUAUACAUAUAUAUCUCAUUUUUAAUUUUUUUUUAAAAAAAAAUAAACUUUUAAUGUUUAAAUUUGAAGUAAAAAUAAUCUAUGAAUGAUAGAUUUUCUUUUCUAAAUGCUAUUCACUUUAAAGAUAUAGAAUUUCUAUAUAAUCAAUACAAAAAAAAUCCUAGUUCAAUAGAGUCGAGUUGGAGUGCUUUUUUUUAUGGAUUCGAUUUUGGAACAAAAAACUAUAAAAAUAUUCUAAAACUAGAGGAUAAUGAUAAUAUCAUACAAAAAGAAUUUUUAGUAUUUAAUUUAAUUUACGAUUAUAGAAAAAGAGGCCAUUUUUUUACAAAUACGAAUCCUAUACGAAAAAGAAGAAAGCAUUUUCCUUCUUUAGAUUUAAAAAAUUUUGGAUUAUCUGAAAAGGAAUUAGAUACAUAUUUUGAAGUUGGAAAAUUAAUAGGAAUAGGAAAAACCUCAUUAAGAAAUAUAAUUAAUCAUUUAAAAAAUAUUUAUUGUGGAUCCAUAGGAAUAGAAUACAUAUAUAUUCCUAACCCUGAAAAAAUUCAAUGGAUUGAAGAAUGGUUUUUUCAAAAAAAAAUACAAUUUCUUCCAGAAGAAAAAAAGUUUUUUUUGAAAAAAUUAAAUGAAGCAAUCACAUUUGAAAAAUUUCUUCAUACCAAAUUUGUAGGUCAAAAAAGAUUUUCUAUAGAAGGAAAUGAAUCCACGUUACCUGCUUUGGAAGAAAUGAUCGAAUAUGCAUCCGAUAAAUAUGUUACUGAUGAUUUUAUAAUUGGAAUGUCACAUAGAGGCCGUUUAAAUAUACUUUCUAAUUUUUUUAGAAAAGAUUAUUCUUAUAUAUUUAGCGAAUUUCAAGGAAAAGAAUAUAAAGAAAAAACUUUUUCUGGUGAUGUAAAAUAUCAUUUAGGAUUUUCAAAAAAUAGAAAAACCCGUAAAAAUAAAUAUAUUAAAAUUAAUUUAGUACCUAAUCCUUCUCAUUUAGAAUCUGUAGAUGCUAUCGUAGAAGGAAUUACACGUGCUAAAAUAGAUAUUUUAUAUAAUCAAAAUAGUAAUUCUGAAAAAAUUCUUCCCAUAUUAAUUCAUGGAGAUGCAGCAUUAUCCGGACAAGGAAUUGUAUAUGAAGUACUUCAAUUAUCUCAAUUAAAAGGAUAUAAAACUGGAGGAACCAUUCAUAUUGUAAUGAAUAAUCAAAUAGGAUUUACUACAAAUUAUACUGAAGGUCGUUCUAGUAUAUAUUGUACUGAUAUAGCAAAAAUAACAAUGUCUCCUGUAUUACAUGUUAAUGCAGAUGAUGUCGAAUCUGUUAUUCGAGCUAUCUAUUUUGCGGUAGAUUUUAGAAUGCGUUACCAUGAAGAUAUUUUUAUAGAUUUAUUGGGAUAUAGAAAAUAUGGACAUAAUGAAGGAGACGAACCUAGAUUUACUCAGCCUUCUUUAUAUAAAGCUAUCUCUCAACAUUCUAAUUCCUACAAAUUAUACAGAGAGAAAUUAGAAAAAGAAAAAAUUAUUAAUGAUGAUGAUGUAAGAAAUAUGGAAAAAGAAUAUGAAAAAAUUCUUAAUUUAAAAUAUAUUGAAACAAAUAAUAUUAAAUGGAAUACAUUGAAUUCUUUUUUAGAAGAGGAAUGGAAAAAUUUUCCUAUAGUAUAUAAAAAUGAAGAAAUUUUUAGAAAAGUAGAUACACAAUUUUCCGUAGAAAAAAUUAUAAAAAUAUCUAAUAAAAUUUUCUCUCUUCCUAAAAAAAAGAAUUUUUUUAGGAAAACGGAGUUUAUUUUUAAAAAAAGAUUAGAAAUGAUUAAGAAGAAAAUUGUAGAUUGGAGUAUGGCAGAACUAAUAGCUUAUGGAACUCUUUUAUAUGAAGGAACUCAUAUCCGUUUAUCAGGAGAAGACGUAGCAAGAGGGACAUUUUCUCAACGUCAUGCUAUUGUUAAAACAGAAGAAGAAGAAGAAAUUAUUCUUCUUAAUCAAAUUUCUAAAAAACAAGGAAAAAUACAAAUUUUUAAUUCCCCUCUUUCAGAAUAUGGAGUUUUAGGCUUUGAUUAUGGAUAUGCCAUGUAUUCUCCUCAUGUUUUAACUUUAUGGGAAGCUCAAUUUGGAGAUUUUGUAAAUGGGGGACAAAUCAUAAUAGAUCAAUAUAUUUCUUCUGGUGAAAAUAAAUGGAAAAUUAGAAAUGGAAUUGUAUUGUUAUUACCUCAUGGAUAUGAAGGACAAGGACCAGAACACUCUUCUGCACGUAUUGAACGUUAUUUACAACUUUGCGCUAAUAAUAACUUAUUUGUAGUAAAUUGUACAACUCCAGCUAAUUUUUAUCAUCUUAUAAGAAGGCAAAUGAAAUUAAAAUAUAGAAAGCCUAUGAUUGUCUUCACUCCUAAAAGUUUGCUUAGAAAUACAAAAUGUUUAUCUACAAUAAAAGAUCUUUCUAUAGGUCCUUUCCAGGAAAUAUUGGAUGAUCCUUAUGUAAAAGAUUUCAAAAAAAUUACGAAAUUAAUUUUUUGUUCUGGAAAAAUUUAUUAUGAAUUGCUUAGUAGAAAAGAAUUUAUUCAAGAUGAAAAAACCGCAUUAAUUCGUAUAGAACAAAUUUAUCCAUUAAAAAUAGAAAAAAUUAAGGAACUUUUAGAAAAAUAUAAAAAUAAAAAAGAAAUUUUUUGGGUACAAGAAGAACCAGAAAACAUGGGGUUAUGGAGUUUUAUUUUAAGAAAAUUAGGAAAUAUGAUUUCAUUCAAUUUAAUAGCCCCAUCUGAAAAUUCUAGUCCGUCUACAGGAUCUUAUAUAGAUUUUUUAAAAAUCCAAAAUAAAAUAUUAAAAAAAGCUUUUUUUUGAAAUUUAAAUUAUGAUAAUACAAAUAAAAGUCCCUUCUCCAGGAGAAUCCAUUACAGAGGUAGAAGUAUCUACAUGGCUCGUAAAAAACGGAGAUUAUGUUCAUAAAGGUCAAGCGAUAGCAGAAAUAGAUUCAGAUAAAGCAACUUUAGAAGUUUCUUCAGAAGAAAAUGGAAUAAUAACUUUUAUGGUAGAAAAAGGAAAAAGAGUAAAAGUUGGAGAUGUUUUAUGUAUUAUUAAUUCUUCCGUAAAGAAUAUAAAAAAAAGUAAAGAAAAAACUUCGCAAGAAAAAAAAGACAAUGUUGAAAAAAUUUUUUCUGAGAAUAAAAAUAUUAAAAUUCCUUCUCCAGCAUCAAAAAAAAUUUUGAAGGAAAAAAAUAUUUCUAUAGAAUCUAUUCAAGGUAGUGGAAAACAUGGAAGAAUAACAAAAAAAGAUUGCAUUUUUUAUUUAAAAAAAAAUAAAUCUUCUUUUACUUCGAAUAAUUCUAUUUGUAAUGAAAUAACAAAUAAAAGAUCAAAAAUAAAAACUCCUCUUUCUUCUUUAAGAAGGAAACUUUCCGAGAGGUUAAUUUAUGUAAAAAAUCAAACUGCUUCUCUCACAACAUUUAAUGAAGUAGAUAUGUUAGAAAUUUUUCUUAUUAGAAAAAAAUAUAAAGAUCGUUUUAAAAAAAAACAUGGGGUAAAUUUAGGGUUCAUGUCUUUUUUUACUAUGUCUUGUAUUAGAGGUUUAAAACUUUAUCCAGAUAUCAAUUCUAUGAUUAGUGGAAAAGACAAAAUUAAUUUUGAAUAUUAUGACAUUAGUAUUGCUAUAUCUGGACCUAAAGGAUUAAUGGUCCCCGUAAUUAGAAAUGCAGAACAUUUAUCAUUUCGGAAAAUAGAACAAGAAAUAUAUAAAUUAUCAACACGAGUUCAUAAUGGAAAAAUUUCUAUAGAUGAGAUGAAAGGAGGAACUUUUACUAUUACCAAUGGAGGUGUUUUUGGUUCUAUGUUAUCUACUCCGAUUAUAAAUCCACCACAAAGUGCCAUAUUAGGAAUGCAUAAAAUUAUGGAAAGACCUAUAGUAAUUAAUGGAUCUAUUGAAAUACGUCCUAUUAUGUAUUUAGCUUUGUCUUAUGAUCAUAGAAUAAUUGAUGGAAGAGAAUCUGUAGGAUUUCUAGUAUCUGUGAAAGAAUCUAUAGAAAAUCCUAUAAAAUUUUUAAUGGGAGGAAAUGAAGAAAAUAUUUCUAAUAGCUUAGAAUUAUAAUUUUUUUCUAACAUAAGGAUUAGGUCUAUUUAUAUUUCCUAUAUUUAUUUUUUUUAUUUGGUUUUUUAUGAUAUGAAUUUGAUCAUGUAAUAAACCAGAAACAUCCAUUUUUUUUGCUUCUGAUAGUAAAAAUUCAGAUUUUUUUUUGUUUCCUCUUGACAAAGAGGCUAUAGCUAAAUUUAAUUUGGCUAUAGCUAUAUUUGGUUUAAAUUUUAGUCCUAAAUCUAGGGCUUUAUGCAUAUAACUUUCUGAUUGAAAAAUAUUACUUUCUGAAUAUAAAAUUCCAUUUAAAAAAUAAUAAUAAGCUAUUUGGUUUUUGGUUAACUGUAGUUUAGGUUUUUUAAUAUAUCUUAAAUAUUUUUUUACUCCUUUCAUAUCCUUUUUUUGUAUUUUAAAAAAGGCUAAUAAUAAAAAUUCAUUUCUAAAAAUAAAAAAAAUAGGAAUUAUACUUAACAAAAGUAAAAUAUAUCCAUAUAAAUAAUUUUUUUGAAAAAAUGAAAAAACAGAUCCUAUAAAAAUAAAUAGAAAUAAUCCUAUUUUUGAAUAUUUACUCAUAAUCUAAAUUUUAAUUAAUUUAUUUUAUUAGAAAUGUUUUUCUUUAAUCCAUUUAAUAAGAUCUUUAUAAUUUAAAUGAUUUAAAGUAUGUCCAGAAUCAUAUUCUUUAUAAAAAAAAAGUAUUUGUUUUUCUUUCAAAAAUUUUAAUCCUUUUUUUGUCCAAUUUAUAGGAAUUAUGGAAUCAUAUUUUCCAUGAGAUAUAAAAAAUUCUAAAUCUGAAUAAUAAUUUAUAUUUUUUGGAAAAAUAUUAUUUUCUAAAUAUCCACUUAAAGAAAUUACUCUUUUUAUUUUAUCAGAAUUUUUUAAUGCGAUUGCAUAACUUAAAAUAGCUCCUUGACUAAAUCCACAUAUCCAUACUGGAUUUUUUCUAAGUUUAUAUUCUUCUAUAGAUUCAUGUAUGAAAUAUGAUAUUUUUUCAAUAGUUUCUUUAGCUUGUAUUAUAUUAAUGAAUUUAUUUUUAUUAUCGAAAUCUAUAUCAUACCAAGAAUAUUUAUUUGUUCCAAUAGAAUAGAAACCUUGAAUACUAAUUAUAAAAAAAUCCUCUGGAAUAUCUUUUUGAAAAGAAAAAAGGUCUUUUUCAUUACUACCAUAUCCGUGGAUCAUCAAAAAAAGAGUAUUUUCAUUCCCAUAUACAGGUUUUCUUAUAAUAUGUUUAAUAGAAAGUUUUUUUUUGAAUAAAUACAUAAGAUAUUUUGAUUUAUUUAUCAAUUUUGUACAAUUUUCCGUUUUCUAUUUUUAGUUUUUCGUUAGCCAUAUUUGCUAAUUGCAAAUUAUGAGUAACGAUUAAAAAAGUUUGUUUGAAUUUAAUAUUCAAAAAAUAAAAAAAAUUAUGCAAUUUUUCUGCAUUUUUUUCAUCUAGAUUUCCAGAAGGUUCAUCCGCAAAAAUAAUUUUUGGAUCAUUAAUCAAAGCUCUCGCUAUAGAAACCCUCUGUUUCUGACCUCCAGAUAGUUCUUCUAUUUUUGAAUUUUCAUAUUUAUAUAAAUUUAAUUCUUUUAAUAAGUUUAUAGCUUUUUUCUUUACUUCUUUUUUAUUAACAUUUUUAAUAAAACCUGGUAAACAGAUAUUUUCUAACACAGUAAAUUCAGGAAGAAGUUUAGGAGUUUGAAAUAUAAAACCUAUUUUUUGAUUUCUCAAAAUAGAAAGCUCUUUUUCAGUAAGAGAUAAUAUUUCUUUUUUAUUUAUUUUUAUAAUAGUUUUUUUUUGAUUUAUAGUCGGUUUUUCUAAAGUUCCUAAAAUAUGUAAUAAAGUACUUUUUCCUGCUCCAGAUUCCCCUAAAAUACAUGCUAUACUUCCUUUUUUUACCAUAAUGUUUACUCCAUUUAAAAUUUUUUUUCCUCCAAAAAAUUUAUAAAUAUUUUUAGCCUGAAUCAUUUUUUUGUAAUUUUAGAAAAAUCUUCUUUGUAAGAAAUUAAACUAAUUUUAGUUUAAAUUUAGUUUUAAUUAAAUUUAAUUCAAUGAAUUUACAUGAAUACCAAGGUAGAGAAAUAUUAAAUUCUUUUUCCAUUAAAGUUCCUUAUGGAGAGAUUGCUUCAUCUCCUGAAGAAGCUGUAAAAAUUGCUAAAAUUAUUUUUAAAAAAACUAAAAAAAAUUCUUUAGUUAUUAAAGCUCAAAUCCAUGCUGGAGGAAGAGGAAAAGCUGGAGGUAUUCAAAUAGCAAAAAAUUUGGAAGAAGUUUAUGAAAAAUCUAAAAAUAUUUUAGGAAAAUUUUUAAUAACACCUCAAACUUCUAAAAAAGGAAAAUUAGUUCGAAAAGUUUUGUUAUCUGAAGAUAUUUAUUUUUCUGAACUUAGUUCUCCUAUAGAGUAUUAUUUAUCCAUACUAUUAAAUCGUGAUAUAGAAAAAAAUAUAAUUCUUUAUUCUAAAGAAGGAGGGGUUAAUGUAGAAAAUAUUUCAAAAAAAAAUUCAAUGUAUACAGAAAUUAUAGACCCUAUAUUAGGACUUCAAUUAUUUCAAACAAAAAAAAUUGGUUUUAAUUUAGGAAUUUAUGAUAAUGAAUCUUUAAAAAAUUUUAGUUUUUUUUUAUUUUCACUAUAUAAAGCAUAUGUCUCUUCUGAUAUUUUAUUAUUAGAAAUCAAUCCUUUGAUAAGAACGUUUGAUAAAAAAAUUAUACCAGUUGACAUAAAAGUGAUUUUAGAUGAUAACGCUUUAUUUCGUCAUAAAAAAUAUAACACGAUCUGUUGUAAAGAUAAUGAUGUUAAUAAAAUUGAAAAAGAAGCAUAUAAAACGAAAUUAAAUUUUUUAAAAUUAGAAGGAAAUGUAGGAUGUAUGGUAAAUGGCGCUGGAUUAGCAAUGGCUACUAUGGAUAUGAUUAAAUUUUGUGGAGGGGUUCCUGCUAAUUUUUUAGAUAUAGGAGGUUCUGCAGAUGUAGAACGUGUAGAAAAAGCUUUUUAUCUAAUAUUAAAGGAUAAAUAUGUGAAAACAAUAUUAAUCAAUAUAUUCGGAGGAAUCGUACGUUGUGAUACAGUAGCAAAAGGAAUUAUAAAUUCUUUUUCCAAUCUUCAUAAAGAUUUAAAAAAAAUUCCUAUUGUUGUUCGUUUGCAAGGAACAAAUGAUAAAAUUGCAAAAGAUUUGAUUAAAAAAAGUUUAUUACCUAUCUAUUCUACUGAUACUUUAAAAGAAGCAGCUGAUAAAAUUCAAAAAAUUUUGUAUUUGAAAUAAAAUUUAUUUUUAUAUGAAUAAAGUUUUUUCUGUAUUAUCUGAAAAAUACAAACCUUUAAAAUGGAGUGAAGUAGUAGGACAAGAAGAUGUAAUUUUAAUUUUAAAAAAAGCAAUACAGGAAAAUCGUUUAUCUCAAUUUUUAUUCUUUUUUGGUCCAAAAGGCGUAGGAAAGAAUAUAUGUGCACAAAUUUUAUCCAAUAAAUUAAAUUCCUUUUCAGAUGAAAAAUAUUAUUCUUUGAAUAAAUUUGAAAUCAAUGGAUAUUUUAAUAAUUCAUUAGAAUAUAUUUAUAAAAUUAUUAGUCAAUUUCGUUUCUAUCCCAAAUUAGGAAAAUAUAAUAUAUUUAUAAUCAAUAAUGUACAUAUGUUUUCUCAAUGUUUUUUCAAUGUAUUUCUAGAAUUUAUAGAAGAAGGACAUUCACAUGUUUUAUUUAUUUUUUGUAGUAGAGAAGAAAAAAAAAUUCCAAAAUUUAUUUUAUCACGUUGUCAAGUUUUUGAAUUUAAAAAAAUUCCUACAAAAAAAAUUUUUUUACAUUUAAGAAUGAUUUCUGAAAAAGAAAAUAUAGAAAUAGAAAAUGAAGCCUUAUUGAUUUUAUCAAAACAUGUAAAAGGAUCUAUUAGUGAAGCACUUUAUUUAUUUGAUAGAUUGAUUUUAUAUAAAAAUAAAAAAAUAUCUAAAGAAUUCCUAAUUCAAAAAUUAGGAAUUAUUGACCUUAAAUAUUAUUUUAUAAUAGUAGAUUAUCUUUUAGAUAAAAAAAUACAUAAAAUAUUCAUUUUAUUGGAUAAAAUUUUACAAAAAAAAGUUAAUUCUUACGAAUUAAUUUUAGGACUAAUCAAACAUUUUAGAAAUUUAUUUUUAUCUAAAAAUUAUGAAACAAUUUCGAUUUUGAAAUUUAAAAAAGAAAUAAUAUUUUCUUACAUUGUUCAAUCAAAAAAAAUUUCUAAUUUUUUUUUAAUGAAUGCUUUGACCAUUUGUCUUAAAUUGAAAAAAGAAUAUGAAAAAUUAAGUCAAAAUUAUAGAUUAACAAUCGAAAUUUAUUUAAUGCAGUUAGCAUAUCUAUUUGAUAAUAAAAAAAAUGAGGAUUCUUUUUUAAUAAAAGAAGAUAAAAAAAAUGAGGAUUCUUUUUUAAUAAAAGAAGAUAAAAAAAAUGAAAAAAUUAAAUUUUUACAAAAAAAUUGGAUAGAAUAUUUACAGAAUUAUUCUGGUAAAAUAAACCCUGUUUAUUUAUAUUUUUUGAAAAAUGAAAUCCAAUUUCAAAUUAAAAAAAAUAAAAUAUUUUUCGUUAUUCCAUCUAAAUUAGGAAAUCGCAGUUUUUUUUUAAUUCAAACAUAUUUUUUUAAAUAUUUUAAAAAAAAAUUCAAUUAUCCACAUUUAGAAUUUGAAAUUAUAAAAAAAAAUUCAAGUACAAUAAAAAAAUAUAAUCUUUUAUAUCAGAAAAAUAAAUUAAUAGAAACAUUAAUAGAACGGUUAAAUUUAAAAAUAUCUUGUUAUAAAAUACAAGAAAAAAAAAAUUCUUGUAUAUAAUUUUUUUCUUGUAUAAAAUUUAUUUUUUAUUCAAAUUAUUAUAAUUUAUAAAAAUGGAAUAGAGAUUUUAUUUUUUUUGAUUUAUAAAAUAUUUUAAUGAUUUUAAUUUAUGAUUUAUCAUUAUUCAUCAAACAGUAUAAAAAAAAUUUUUUUCUCUUCUAGUUAUUCCGAUGAAGAUAUUGAAAAUGAAAGUUCUUCCUAUUCUUACGGAUCUGGCGGAACAGGUUCUGGUUACUAUGGAGGGAUAAAAAGUAAAACUCCUGUUUUGGAUAAUUUUGGAAGAGACUUAAAUUCCAUAGCUAUGGAAGGAAAAUUAGAUCCCGUUGUAGGAAGAGAUAAAGAAGUUGAACGUGUUUCUCAAAUAUUGAGUAGAAGAAAAAAAAAUAACCCUCUUCUUAUAGGAGAACCUGGAGUAGGAAAAUCUGCUAUUGCUGAAGGAUUAGCAUUACGUAUUGUACAAAAAAAAGUUUCAAGAGUUUUAUACAAUAAAAGAAUAGUUGUUUUAGAUUUGGCAAGUUUAGUUGCUGGAACUAAAUAUAGAGGUCAAUUUGAAGAAAGAAUAAAAGCCAUUAUAAACGAAUCAGAAAAAAAUGAAGGUCUAAUUCUUUUCAUAGAUGAAAUUCAUACUAUGAUUGGAGCAGGAGGAACUACUGGAUCUUUAGAUGCUUCUAAUAUUUUUAAACCGGCUUUAGCAAGAGGUUAUAUUCAAUGUAUUGGAGCAACAACAUUAAAUGAAUAUAGACAAUAUAUAGAAAAAGAUGGAGCCUUAGAAAGGAGAUUCCAAAAAAUCAUAGUUCAACCUUCUUCUGAAAAAGAAACUAUAGAAAUUUUAGGAAAAAUAAAAGGAAAAUAUGAAAGUCAUCACAAUGUUAUUUAUACAGAAAAAGCAAUAAAGGCUUGUGUAAAACUUACUGUUCGAUAUAUUGUAGAUCGUUUUUUACCAGAUAAAGCGAUUGAUGCUUUAGAUGAAGCUGGAUCUCGUGUUCAUAUUAAAAACAUAAAAGUUCCACAAAAAAUAGUUCUUUUAGAAAAAGAAAUUGAAAGUAUUCGAAAAGAAAAAUCUAGAGUUGUUAAAAGUCAAAAAUACGAAGAAGCAGCACGUUUACGUGAUACAGAAAAACGCAUAGAAAAAGAAUUAAUAAAAGCCCAAAAAGAGUGGGAAGAGUCUUCUAAAAAAAAUAAAGAAAUUGUAUCCGAAGAAAAUGUUGAAGAAGUGGUAUCAAUGAUGAGUGGUGUUCCAAUAAACAAAAUUUCUCAAGCUGAAAUGAAAAAAUUGAGCAAAAUGAUAGAUGUUUUAAAAGAAAAAAUAGUAGGACAGGACGAAGCCAUAGAAAAAAUAGUAAAAGCAGUUCAAAGAAAUAGAGCUGGAUUAAAAGAUCCUAAUUCUCCUAUAGGAUCUUUUAUUUUUUUAGGACAAACAGGAGUAGGAAAAACUUUUUUAGCAAAAAUUUUUUCUAAAGAAUUAUUUGAUUCAGAAGAAUCAUUAAUUCGUAUAGAUAUGAGUGAAUAUAUGGAAAAAUUUUCUGUAUCUAGAUUAAUAGGAGCUCCUCCAGGUUAUGUAGGUUACGAAGAAGGAGGACAAUUAACGGAAAUUAUACGUCGUAACCCUUAUUCUGUAAUAUUAUUAGAUGAAAUAGAAAAAGCACAUCAUGAAGUAUUUAAUGUUUUAUUACAAAUGUUAGAUUAUGGAUGUGUUACAGAUAGUAUUGGAAGAAAAAUAAAUUUUAAAAAUACUGUAAUUAUUUUUACUUCAAAUAUAGGUACAAAACAAUUAAAAGAAUUUGGACAGGGAAUAGGAUUUCAUACUCAAGCAAGAAAAUUAAAUAAUUACAUCAAAAAUGUACUAGAACAAGCUUUAAAACGGACUUUUUCUCCUGAAUUCUUAAAUAGAAUAGAUGAUGUUAUUAUUUUUAAUUCUUUAACAAAAGAAAAUAUAUUAAAAAUAACUCAUAUUGAGUUGAAUAAAAUAAUUCUUCAUCUUUCUAAUCUAGGCUAUGAAUUAGUAUUAUUUCCUGAAGUAAUAGAUUUUAUUCAAAAAAUAGGGUUUGAUCAAGAAUAUGGAGCACGUCCUUUGAAAAGAGGAAUAGAAAAAUUUAUAAAAAAUCCUAUAUCGGAAUAUAUAAUAAAUGAAAAAUUAAAAAAAGGAGAUAAAAUUUUAUUAAAAAUGAACAUAAAUAAUGACAACGUAGAAAUAUUUAUUCAUCAAUAAAAUGAAUUCUAUUUUAAAAAAAAAAUUCAAAUUAUUGAAAAAACAUUGAAUUUUUUAUAUCCCAACCCAAUUCCUACUUUAUAUUAUACUAACGAAUAUACUUUAUUGAUUUCUAUUUUAUUAAGUUCUAGAACUCAAGAAAAAAAAGUAAACGAAAUUACAAAAAUUUUAUUUAAAAAAAUAAAAAAACCCACAGAUACAGUGUGUCUUUCCAUUAAAAAUAUGGAAAAUAUUAUAAAAAAUAUAGGAAUUUACAAAAAAAAAUCUAAAAAUAUUUAUGAUUUAUCUGUUAUUUUAAUUAAAAAAUAUAAUGAACUAAUUCCGAAAAACAUUUCGGAAUUAAAAAGUUUACCUGGAAUAGGACAUAAGACGGCAUCUGUUUUCUUAUCUUAUGUAUCCAAUAUUCCCGUAUUUCCUGUAGAUACCCAUAUUCAUAGAAUGAUGAUUCGUUGGAAAUUAAGUAACGGAAAAAAUGUUCAACAAACAGAAAAAGAUGCAAAACGUUUUUUCAAAAAAGAAAAUUGGAAAAAAUUACAUCUUCAAAUUAUUUUUUAUGCUAAAAAAUAUUCUCCCUCUAGAAAAUGGAAUUUAAAAAAAGAUCUUAUCUAUCAAGAAUUAAUAAAAAUUAAAUAAUAUAUAAUUUUUAAAAAGGUAAAUCAUCAAAAUCAUCAGGAGAUAAAGGAGAAGAUGGAGUAGAAGAAAGUUUAUUUGAAGAUUUUUCUGUUGAAAAAUAUUCAAUUUUCCAUCCUUGAACAGAAUUAAAAUAUCUAAUAAUUCCUUCAGGAUUCUUCCAUUCUCUUCCUCGAAGAUUAAUAAAUAUUUUUACUUUAUCUUUUAAUUUUAUAUUUUCUAAUAAAUCUACUUUAUCUUGAAUAAAUUCAAUCAAUAUAUUUUGAGAAUAUGGUUCUUCAGUAGUAAGAACUAUUUCUCUUUUUUGAAAUCCGCUAUCAAAUUUUUGAGUAUCAAAUAAUUUUUUGACUAUUCCUAUGAUUUCCAUGGAAAUUAAAAUUUAUUUUUUUUUACUGUUAUUCUUUUUUUUAAUAGUUUCUCCAAUUUGACUAGAGAUAUUAAAUGAAGUAAUCAUAUUAUUUAACAUUUCAUUAGCUGAUCCCGGUGAAUUAGGCAAUAAAAUUAAAUUAGUAUUUCCACUUUCUCCCAUAGAUUGAAGAGUAUCAUAAUGUUGUGUUACAACAAUUAAUGCAGAAGCUUCUUGUGAAUUAAUUCCUACAUUAUUUAAAACUUCUACAGAAUCUAAAAUUCCUCUAGCAAUCUCUCUUCGUUGAUCAGCCGUACCUUUUCCUUGUAAUUUUUUACUUUCAGCUUCUGCUUUUGCUUUAGCUACAAUUUUAAUUCUAUCAGCUUCUGCUUUAUAUUCAGCGGCAACUUUUUCUCUUUCAGCUGUAUUAAUACGAUUCAUCGCUUGUUUUACUUGUUCAUCUGGAUCAAGAUCUGUAACUAACGCUUUAAUUAUAGAAUAUCCAUAGUUUAACAUAGAUCCUUGCAAUUCUCCUUUAACAGCAAGGGCUAUAUGAUCUUUUCUUUCAAAAACAUCAUCUAAACGCAUUUUUGGAACUUCCGCUCUAACAACAUCAAAUAUAUAAGAAGUAAUUUGAGCAUGAGAAUUAUCUAAUUUAUAAAAUGCAUCAUAUACUUUAUCUUUAAUUACCUUAAAUUGAACUGAUACUUUUACUUUUACAAAAACAUUAUCUUUUGUUUUUGUAUCUACUAAUACAUCCAAUUGUUGAAUUUUUAAUGUAAGUUUUCCCACUAUAUUAUCCAUAACAGGAAUUUUAAAAUUCAAACCAGCAUAACGGAUACUAUGAAAUUUCCCCAUUCUCUCAAGAAUAGCAGCGGUUUCCUGGUUUAUUGUAAAAAUAAAACUAGAAAAAAUAGAUAAUAUCAAAAGAACUAAUAUUACAUAAAAUAAUAAACUGAAAAUACUCAUAUUCAAAAAAUUUAUAACAAUCCUAAUUCUAAACGCGCUUCAUCACUCAUAAAUUCCCUACUCCAAGGCGGAUCAAAUGUUAAAAUUACAUCUACUUCUUUUAUUUCUUGUAUAGAUUGGACUUUUCUUUUAACUUCUAAUGGUAAACUAUCUGCUACUGGACAAUUAGGUGUUGUUAAAGUCAUUACUAUUUUCACUUUGUCUUUUUCAUAAAUCUUAACAUCAUAAAUCAGCCCUAAUUCAUAAAUAUCUACUGAAAUUUCUGGAUCAAAAAUACUUUUCAAUACAAAAAUAAUACGAUCUUCUAAAGAAGGACUUUUAUUAUUCAUUUUUUUUAUUGAUUAAAGAUCCAAAUCUAUCAAAAUAACGGAUAGGAUAACCUAAUUUUUUUAUAUUAGGUAGUAUAUCAUGAGCUUUUCCGACAAUUAUGAUUCUCCCAUUUUUUUGAAAAAAAAAUUUUUGACAUGAUCGAUAAAUAUCGUCUAUUGUUACUAACUCUAGUUUAUUUAAAAAAUUCUUAUAAAAUCCACUUGGGAGAUUAUUUUUUAAUUCACAUAUAAAAAGAUCAUUGAUUCUAUUAGGAUCUUCAAAAUCAAGAAUAAAUUGGCCACUAAUUUCUUUUUUCUUAAUAUCUAAUUCUUCUAAAGAAAUUUUAUUUUUCGUUAUUUCAAAAAUUUCUUUUAUAAUAUCCUUAAUUGCUUUUUCUGUUACUUCAUUUCUUACUUGAGUAUAAACUGAAAAACAACCAAUAUUUCUAUCAGAUCUUAAAAUAGAAUAUGCUCCAUAUGUAUAAGCUUUUUUUUCUCUAAGAUUCAAAAAUAAACGACUUUGAGGCCCUCCUCCUAAAAUUCCAUUUGCUAACAUAGAAGAAAAAUAUUCAGGAUCAUUUUUUUUCAAACAAAUUGGUCCUCCAAAACAAAUAGUAGAUUGAGUUAAAGAAGGAAUAUCUACUAUAUCUAUUUCUAUUUUAGAUGGAAUUACAUACUCUUUAAUAACCGGAUCUUCUUUAUACGAUUUUCUUUUCCAUUCGGAAAAAUAAAGGUUACAUAAUUUUUCUGCUUCUUUUUGAGAUAUAUCUCCAAUAAAAGAAAGAUAAGAUAUAUUUGGUAUAUAAUAUUUAUCAUAUAAUUUUUUUAAAUCAUGAAGAGUUAUAUUUUUAAUUGUAUCAUGAGUUUCAUAUUCUCCAUAAGGAUGAUUUUUUCCAAAAUAUAAAACAUUUCGUACUAUUUGUAAAAUAGAAUUGGGAUCUUUUUCUGAAAGACUAAUAUCUAUAAUUCUUUGUUUUAUGAUUUUAUUCAACUCUUUUGAGUUAUCAAAUUUACUAUUCAUCAAAAUAUCACUCAUUAUAGAUAUAGAUUUAUCUAAAUAUUUUUUCAUAGUGAAAAUGGAUGUUUCAGAAAAAGAAGUAUAUAAACUACAUCCCAUAUAAUCAAUUAUAUCAUCUAAUUCUUCUUUUGUAUAAUUUUUUGUUCCAGAACGAAGCAUUUGACCAAAAAUUUUUUUGAUUCCAGCUUUGUCUUUUUCCAAAAAAGGUUUAUAAUUCAAUUCUAAUCCAAUUCUAACUAAAGGAAGUUUAUGAUUCUCCACAAUAAGAACCUUUAAUCCGUUUUUCAUCUGAAAAAAAUUAGGAUUUUCAAUAUUUAUAGUAGUUUUUCUUUUGAGAGAUUUAGGGGGUAAAUUUCGAUUAAAUAUAUGAGCAAACAUAAUUGUUGUAUGAAAAAAAAUUAUUCCUAAAAAGAUUGUUUUGAAAAAAAAAUUAUUUAUUAUUUGUAUGAUCGUUAUCCGGAACAUUAUAUAAACGAACUCUAUUAUUUUUAUUUAAAUAUUUAUUAGCAACUUUUUUUAUGUCUUCUGGAGAAAUAUUUUUAUAUUUUUCUAUAUCCGUAUUAAUUAAAUCAGCAUCAUGGUAAUAUAAUGAAUAAUAAGAUAAAUUCGCGGUAAUUCCACUCAUAGAAUAGUUAUCUGAAAUAAAUUUUUUUUCAAAAUAGUUUUUUUGUUUUUCCAAUUCAUAUUUUGUUACACCUUUUUCUUUCAAAAGAUCUAUUUCAUCAUCUAUUAUUUUUGUUAAUUCAUCUAAUGAAACUCCUGGAUUGAUCAAUCCAUAUAUCAUAAAAAUACCAUAAUCUUCCAUUGUAUCUAAAGAUGAACCAGCAUAAGAUGCUGAUUGUUUUGUAUUUACAAUAUUUUUCAUAAUUCUAGAACUUUCUCCAGAAGAAAAUACAUGGUCAAUCAUCUUUAAUACAUAAGAAUCCUUGCUUGUAAGUUUUGGAACUCUAUAUGAUAAAAAAACUCCAGGAACUUUUGUAUUCUUAUCUAUAUAAGUAUAAAAUAUCUCUUUUUUCAUUGGCUCUUCUUCUAUUUUUUUCAUUCUAAAAUUCCUUUUUCCUUUAGGAAUAGAUGAAAAAUAUUUUUUAAUCAGUUUCCUAGCUUCAUCCAUAUCAAAAUCUCCUGAAACAACUAAAAUCGCAUUAUUUGGAACAUAAUAAGUUUUGUAAAAUUCUCUGUAAUCUGCUUCUGUAGCAUUAUCUAAAUCUUGAUAUAAUCCAAUAAUUGGAUAUUUGUAUGGAUGUUUUUUAAAUAAUAAAGAAGGAAUAAUUUCAGAAAUAGCUUUUACAUAUGGUUGAUUUUCUACACGCAUUUUUUUUUCUUCUUUAACCACUUCUCUUUGUAUAUUAAUGCUUUCUUCAUCCACUUUAGCAUGAAGCAUUCUUUCCGAUUCUAACCACAAAGCUAAUGGAAGACGAUCUGAUGGUAGAAUUUCAUAAUAACAAGUUUCAUCAUGGUUUGUAUAAGCAUUAUUUUUUCCUCCAUUAGAAGCAAUAUACUUGAAAUAUUCUCCUUUUUUAACAUUUUUAGAUCCUUCAAACAUAAGAUGUUCAAAAAAAUGAGCAAAACCUGAUUUUCCAGGAAUUUCAUUUUUGCUUCCUACAUGAUAUAAAACAGAAACAGAAACUAAAGGAUUUGUUUUAUCUUGAUGUAAAAUAACAUGCAGUCCAUUUGAUAGUUUUUCUUCGAAAAACUUAAUUUGAUACAAUUUUUUAGAACGAUUAAAAUUUUUAGAAUUCAAAUUAUUAUUCAGUAUCAUAGUUAUAAACAUUAAUAAUAAAAAAAAGUAAAUCCUAUUAUUCAUUUCAUGAAACAAAGUUAAAGAUUCAAAAAAGAAAUUUACAAAUUUUUUUUUCUAAAAAUAAGGGAUUUUUUCUUUUACUUCUGAUUAUUUUUAUUAUAAUAACUGGAAAAUAUAUGAAUUCAUAAUAUAUAUUCAUUAAAAAAGUAUGAGAAAAAUUUUAUUUUUUAUCUUCAUUUUUCUUUCUAUUUUUUUAGAUUUAGAAGGGAGAAAAUUAAAAGCUGAUAAAGAAAAUGUUGAAAAUGGAAUGGAACUUUUUAAAAAGAAUUGCACAGCAUGUCAUUCCAUAGAUUUAGAAAAAAAAAUGAUAGGACCUCCUUUAAGUGGAGUAACUGAAAAAAGAACUCGUAAAUGGUUACAUCAAUGGAUUAAAAAUAAUAAAUCUUUAAGAGAGAGUGGAGAUAAAGAAGCGUUAGAAAUUUAUAAAGAAUAUGGAAAUGUAGAAAUGAAUCCAUUUUUGCAUUUAUCUGAAAAAGAAAUAGAUGAUAUACUGUCUUUUAUAAAAAAUCCAAUUUUAAAAAAAAAAGAAAAUCAUGAAAUAAAUAAUAAUGAAUUUAAUAAUAAUUACGAAAAUGAUAAAGAAGAAAAUAAAUUUUUAGUCAAAUUUAUUAUUUUUUGUUUUGGAAUUUUGUCUUUAAUUCUACUUUGGAUUUUAUAUAGAAUACAAAUUCUAAUCAGGUUAAUUAAUAAAAAAGAAAAAACGGAAGUUUAUACUUUUAAGAAAUGGGAUUUUAUAAUAAAUAUUUUAUACAAAAAAAUAUUAGGAAAUGAUAAAAAAAAGUGGUAUUUACUUUCUUGUUUUACAGGUCUUUUUAUGUUAUUUGGAGUAUAUGAAACUUGGUUUUAUUUAAUGAAAAUAGAUGUAAAUAGAGGAUAUAAACCUAAACAACCUAUUUAUUUUUCUCACAAAAUCCAUUCUGAAAUUAAUAAAAUUGAUUGUCAAUAUUGUCAUUCUUCUGCGAAAUAUAGCAAGGUAUCUGGAAUUCCUUCAGCAAAUGUUUGUAUGAACUGUCAUAUAACUAUUUAUGAAUAUAAUGGAAAUUAUUUGGAAAAAGGAAAAAGUAGAGAUGAAUAUAAUCAAGAAAUUCAAAAAAUAUAUAAGGCUAUUGGAUGGGAUCCGGAAACAAGAAAAUAUUCUAAAAAAAUACAUCCUAUUCAAUGGAUACGAAUUCAUAAUAUGCCGGAUUUUGUCUAUUUUGAUCAUUCUCAACACAUCAUAACGGGAGAGAAAGAAAUUAAAAAAUUAAAAAAAGUAAAUUUAGUUUGUAGUGCUUGUCAUGGAGAAGUUCAAAAAAUGGAUACAGUAGAAAUGUCUAAUGAUUUUACUAUGGAAUGGUGUUUAUCUUGUCAUAAAAAUGUAGGAAUAAACAAAGAAAAUAAAUAUUAUAAAGAAUAUUUUCCGAAUAAAAUAAAAAAUAAAAUCACUAUUGAUAUGACGGGAGGUACAGAAUGUGCUAAAUGUCAUUAUUGAAAUAGAAAUGAAAACGAAAGUGAUUAUUAAUAAAAUUAUUAUGAAAUAAAUAUGAAAUCAGAAAAAACUAAAAAAAUAUAUAAAAAUUAUAAUCCAAUCAAAAAUCUAUUUCAAGGGAAAACAUCUAGACGUGAUUUUCUUAAGUGGAUAGGAUUUAGUACUGCUUCGGUAACUUUAGCUGCUUGUAAAGGUCCAGUUAUAAAAUCUAUUCCUUAUGUAGUUAAACCAGAAGAUAUUACUCCAGGAAUUCCAAAUUAUUAUGCAUCAACUAUGAUUGAUACUUUCGAUAUAGGAAGUGUUUUAGUAAAAACGAGAGAAGGUCGUCCUAUAAAAAUAGAACCUAAUUCUUCUUCCGAUUUUUUUAAUACAACUUCUGCAAGAAUCCAAUCUUCUUUAUUUUCUCUUUACGACGAAGAAAGAUUAAAAAAUCCUAUAUUUAAAGGAAAAAAAAGUUCUUGGAAAGAAAUAGAUAAUUAUAUUAUUCAAAAUUUGAAAUUUUUAUCUAAAAUAAAAAAAAAUAUAGUUUUUCUUUCUUAUUCUUUUCCAAGUUUUUCUACAAAAAAAUUAAUCCAAGAUUUCAAAAAAAAAUAUCCUUGUACAAAAUGGGUUACUUAUGAUCCUAUUUCUUAUUCCAAAGUUUUGGAUGCUUCAGAAGAGAUAUUCGGAAUUCGUGGUUUUCCAUUCUUUGAUUUAAAUAAAUCAAAAUUAAUAAUUUCAUUUGAUGCUGAUUUUUUGGGAGACUGGAGUCCAGAGAAUAUGGCUAAAUCUUACGUUCUUAAUAGAAAUCCCGAAAAAAAAAUGAUGCAACAUAUUCAAAUAGAAAGUAAUAUGACGAUAAGUGGAGCAAAUGCAGAUAUUCGUUUAUCUAAAAAACCUUCUGAUAUAAAAAAAAUGUUGCUUGAAAUUUUUCAAAAUAUUUGUUUAGGAAAGCAGAUAAAAGAUAAAAAUUCUGAAAAAAUAGUUUCAUUAAUAAAAAAAAUAGGAUCUAAAAGUGUAAUUCUUGCAGACGGAGAUCAAGAGUCCUAUGAAUUAUCUUUUUUAAUUAAUAAAAAAAUUAAUAGUAACGCACUUCAAAAUGAUAAAUUUAUUUUUUCAAAAGAAAGUAAUGAUAAGGACUUCAAAAGUUUCUUGAAAGAUUUAGAAAACGAAAAUAUUGGAGGUUUAUUUAUUCAUAAUGUUAAUCCUAUUUAUAGUCUUCCAUUGUCUCUUUCUAAAAAAGUAAAGGAAUUUAUAAAAAAAAUCCCUCUAACAGUUUCGUUUUCUAUGAAUAAAAAUGAAACUAAUGAAAAUAUGGAUAUAAUAGCGCCUAUUCCUCAUUGGUUAGAAAGUUGGGGAGACACUUAUCCUAUUACUAAUAUUUAUACAUUAAUUCAGCCUACAAUUCAAUGUAUUUUUAAUACGAGACAAUUUCAAGAUUCUUUAGUAAUUUGGAGUGGGAUUCAAGAAAAAAAUUAUUACGAGUAUUUGAAAAAAAUUUGGGAAAAAAAUAUUAUUCCAAAAUCCAAUGUUUCUUCUUUUAAUGAAGCUUUAUUUCAUGGUGUAGUAAAGACUAAAAAUCAUAAACCUAUUUUAAAUAAUCUUUCAAAAAAAAUAAACCAAAAAAUAAGGAAAUAUGAAAAAAAAAUAAUUUAUCCAAAAAAAAUAGAAAAAAAUUUUGAACUUAAAUUAUAUACUAAAAUUAGUAUGGGAGAUGGAAAUCAAUAUAAUAAUCCUUGGUUACAAGAACUUCCAGAUCCGAUUACACGUACUACUUGGGAAAAUUAUUUAACUAUAUCAUACUUUGAUGCAAAUAAAAUGGAAUUAAAAAAUUGGAAUUCUGGAGAUGGAUCUUUAAAUGGAAAUUGUGUUGAUUUAAUCAAGAAUAAUCAAACAAUCAUACAUGAUAUUCCUGUUUUUAUUCAACCUGGUCAAGCUAUAGGAUCUUUAGGUUUUUCUUUUGGUUAUGGUCAAGAAAAAGGAAAAUUAACUAAAAUUACUCAAGGAACAAAUGCUUACAGAAGCUAUGAAAAUUUUUUCGUAAUACAAAAUAAUAUACAACUUAGAAAAGUAAAUAAAAUACAUAAGUUUUCUUGCGUGCAAUUACACCACACGAUGGUAGGAAGAAAUUUGGUGAAAGAAACAGAUUUAAAUUUAUUUUUAAAUAAUCCAAAAGAAGUUUGGAAUGAAAAAGAAAAAAUUUCAACUCAUAAAGGAAUGCUUUCUCCAGAUAAAAUUUCUAUUUGGAAUCAAAAUUAUAAAAAAAACGAAAAAAGAAACGGGCAUCAUUUUAAUUUAUCCAUAGAUUUAAAUGCUUGUAUUGGAUGUGGGGCUUGUAUUAUUGCAUGUCAUUCUGAAAAUAAUGUUCCUGUAGUUGGAAAAGAAGAAAUAGAAAAAUAUAGAGAUAUGCAUUGGUUACGUGUAGAUAGAUAUUAUUUUCCAGAUGAUUCAUCUAAAGAAAAAACAAAAAAAAAUGAAGAUAACAUUUAUGAGAAUCCAAAAGUAGUUUUUCAACCUAUUAUGUGUCAACAUUGUGAUAAUGCACCUUGUGAAUCUGUGUGUCCAGUUGGAGCCACUUCUCAUGGAAAACAAGGACAAAAUAUGAUGACUUAUAAUCGUUGUAUAGGAACACGUUAUUGUGCAAACAAUUGUCCUUAUAAAGUAAGACGAUUUAAUUGGUUUAAUUAUGUUAAUAAUCAAAAAUUUGAUUUCAACAUGAAUAAUUCUUUAGGAAAAAUGAUGCUAAAUCCAGAUGUAGUUAUCAGAACUAGAGGGGUUAUGGAGAAGUGUUCUUUAUGCAUACAAAGAACACAAUAUGUCAUAGGAAUUGCAAAAAAAGAAAAUAGAAAAGUUCAAGAUAAAGAAUUUGAAACAGCUUGUAGUAUCUCUUGUCCUACUAAAGCUAUCACUUUUGGUGAUAUAAACGAUCCUACUAGCAUUAUUUCUAAAAAAGUAAAAAAUUCUAGAUCUUAUAAACUAUUAGAGUUUAUAGGAGUAAGACCUAAUGUAUCUUAUCAACUGAAAAUUAGAAAUAAAAAUAAAAAAUGAAAUGGAAAAAAUGAAAAAGAAAAAAUUAUGUUAAAUCAUUAUGAAUCCCCUAUAAGACCUCCCUUAAUUUUAGGAAAAAAAACAUUGAAAAAUAUUACCAAUGAUAUACUUAAUCCUAUAAAAAAUAAAGCAGGAAAUCUAUGGUGGAUUUCUUUAUUAAUUUCUAUUUUAGCUUUUUUGUGGGGGAUAGGAUGUAUUUUUUAUACAAUUGGAACAGGUAUAGGUGUAUGGGGUUUGAAUAAAACAAUUAAUUGGGCAUGGGAUAUUACAAAUUUUGUUUGGUGGGUUGGAAUUGGUCAUGCUGGAACUUUAAUUUCAGCUGUUUUAUUAUUAUUUCGUCAAAAAUGGCGUUUAUCUAUUAAUCGUUCAGCAGAAGCAAUGACAAUUUUUGCCGUAAUCCAAGCUGGAUUGUUUCCUAUUAUUCAUAUGGGAAGACCAUGGAAUGCGCAUUGGGUUUUACCCAUUCCUAAUCAAUUUGGAUCUCUAUGGCCGAAUUUUAAUUCCCCUUUGUUAUGGGAUGUUUUUGCAAUUAGUACUUAUUUUUCUGUUUCUACUGUUUUUUGGUUCAUGGGUUUAAUUCCAGAUUUUGCAAUGAUACGAGAUCGUAUUUCAAAUCCUUUUCAAAAAAAAAUAUAUAAUAUUCUUAGUUUUGGAUGGGGAGGAACAUCAAAAGAUUGGCAAAGAUUUGAAGAAUUAUCUUUAAUUUUAGCUGGUUUAUGUACUCCAUUAGUAUUUUCUGUUCAUACCAUAGUUUCUUUUGAUUUUUCUACUUCUGUAAUUAAGGGGUGGCAUAGCACGAUUUUUCCUCCUUAUUUUGUUGCAGGAGCUAUAUUUUCUGGUUUUGCUAUGGUACAAACUUUACUAGGUGUAGCAAGAAAAGUUCUUUCUUUAGAGGAUUAUAUUACAAGAAAUCAUAUCGAAUAUAUGAAUAUGAUCAUUUUGUUAACAGGAGGGAUUGUUUUAUUAGCUUAUAUUUCAGAAUUUAUUCUUGCCUGGUAUUCAGGAGAUCCUUUCGAAAAAUUUAUUUAUUUUUCUGUAGAAGCAUCUAAAGGCCCAUUUUGGUGGGCUUUUUGGGCAUUAAUUAUUUGUAAUGUCAUUAUUCCUCAAUUUUUAUGGAUUAAAUAUGUACGAAGAAGCUUUUUUUGGUCUUAUCUCAUAGCUAUUUUCAUAAAUAUUGGAAUGUGGUUUGAAAGAUUUGACAUUAUUGUUUUAAAUCUAAGUCAUGAUUAUCUUCCUUCUUCUUGGGCAGGUUUUAUUCCUUCAUUUGUAGAUGUUGGUAUCUUUAUAGGAACCAUUGGUUUGUUUUUUAUUCUUUACUUGUUAUACAUACGUGUUUUUCCUGUUAUUUCACAAUCAGAAUUAAAAACAAUAUUGAAUCCAGAAAAAAAAUAGUAAUAAUGAAGAAUAUAUGUUAUGUACGUGCAUUAUAUGAUAAUGAUCAUACAUUAAUAAAUAAUAUAAAAAUUAUACAAAAUCAUAAUUAUAACAUAUAUGAAGUUUAUUCUCCUUUUCCCAUUCAUAAUUUAACUAAAGUGUUAAAACUAAAGAAUACGAAUUUAUCCUUUUUAUCUUUUAUAUAUGGAUUAUUAGGAUUUUUCAUAGCUUGUGUAUUAACUUGGUAUACUAUGAUUUGGGAUUGGCCUCAAAAUAUUGGAGGAAAACCUUCUUUUUCUUGGAUUAUAAAUCUUCCUUCUUUUAUUCCUGUUAUAUUUGAAUUUUCAAUUUUUUUUUCUGCACAUUUUAUGUGUAUUACUUAUCUCAUUCAAUGUGGAUUAUAUCCAGGUCGUGUAUCAAAAAAUCCAGAUUUAAGAACUACCGAUAAUAUGUUUUUAAUAGAAAUUCAUACUGAAAAACAUAUCAAAAAAUUAGUAAAUCUAUUGAAAAAAAAUGGAGCAAUAGAAGUUUCGAUAAAAAAUUAUAAAUCCAAUUAAAUAUUUUAUGAAAAAAAAAUAUUUCUACGAAUUUAUUAUUAUUUUAAAUAUGAUUUUAUUUCUAUCUAUAGUAGAAUCUUGUUGGUUUGAUAAAAAAAAACCAAAUAUAGUAUACAUGCCAGAUAUGUAUUACUCAGAAGCAUAUGAACCUUAUUCAGAUCCUUAUUCUAAUUACAAUAAUAAAAAAGAAAAAAAUAUUAAAAUUCCUUUAUUUUCAAAAGAAAAAACUUCUUCACUAUCUCCAGUAGAAGGAACAAUUUCUAGAAAUAAUUCGUUUCCUAAUUUUAAAAAUAUCAAAAAUAAAGGAUUGAAUUAUUCAAAAAACAUUAUUCAAAAUCCACUUAUUAACAAUCAUUACGAAAAAAAAGAAAUUAUAAUAAAAAAAGGAAAAAAAUUAUAUCAAAUCAGUUGUUCUAUAUGUCAUGGUAAAAAUGGAGAUGGACAAGGAGAUUUGGUUAAAAACGAAAAAAUUUUUGGAAUCCCUAAUUAUAAAGAUAGAGAUCUAACCGUUGGUAGUAUUUAUUAUGUUAUUACAUAUGGAAAGAAUAAUAUGAAUUCUUAUGCUUCACAAUUAAAUGAAAUAGACAGAUGGAGGGUUUCAGAAUAUGUUAUGUUUUUAAAAAAUAAAUAAAUAUGUAUCAAUUUUAUGCAAUGAAUAAAAAAAAAUUCAUCAUUUUAAUAAUGAUUAUCGUAGGUUUUUUUUUUCUAUUUUUAGAAAGAAUAUUUCUUUAUAAUAAAAAUAUUUCUAUCACAAACAAUCAUAAUCCUUGGAUCGCUUUAUAUAUUUCUAUUUUUUAUUUUACUUCUAUAUCUUUAGGAACAUUAUUUUUUUUAGGAAUACAGAACGUAUCAAAAUCAGGUUGGUCUGUAAUUAUCCAUCCUAUAAUGGAAGAAAUCUCUUCUUUUAUUCCAUAUGGAGGAAUUAUGAUCCUUAUUAUUUUUCUAUUAAAUACAAUGGAUAUUGUUCAUAUAUUUCAUUGGAUGAAUUUAGAUUUGUAUAACCCUAUUUAUUUAAAUAAUGAUAAAAUUGUUUCUAGUAAGAGAUUUUUUUUGAAUACUCCAUUUUUCUUAGUAAGAAGUGUUCUUUAUAUAUUAAUAUGCAGUUUUUUUUAUUCAAAAAUAAAAAAAAUAUCUUGUAGAUUAUAUAUAACACAUUCGUUAAAUGAUUAUAAAAAAUUAUAUUUCGUAUCUAUUAUUUUUAUUAUAUUUUUUUCUGUUAUUUCCAUAUUUAUGAUAUGGGAUUGGGUUAUGUUUUUAAAUCCACAUUGGUUAAGUACUUUAUUGAGUUGGUAUGUUUUGAGUAGUUUCAUAAUAACAGGAAUAAGUACUGUUACAAUAAUCGCUAUCUUUUUGAAUAAAAAAGGAUUAUUUCCUUUAUUUAGAAAAAGUCAUCUACAUGACCUUAGUAAAUAUUUAUUUUCCGGUAGUUUAUUAUGGACUUAUUUAUGGUUUUCACAAUUUUUUUUAUAUUGGUAUGGAAAUAUUCCAGAGGAAAUUACAUAUUUUGUAAAGAGAGAAGAAAUUUAUUAUUCUAUUCAUUUUUGGAUGCUGAUUCCUAAUUUUUUAAUUCCUUUUUUUUGUUUAAUGAGUAGUAAAAAUAAAUCAAAUUACAAAAUAGUUUUUUCAAUUUCUUUAAUAUUAUUAAUAGGUCAUUAUAUUGAUAUAUAUAAUUUAAUUGCACCAGAUAUUUUUAGUAAAAAUGUAAAUAUCUGUAUACUUGAAAUCAUAGGUUCUAUAUUAAUCAUAGGAGCUUUUUUUAUUUAUAUUUUAUUUUCAAAUUUUAGUAAAAGAAAACUUAAUUCUUCUGAAGGAAAUCCUUUUUUUCAGGAAAGCAAAAAUUAUACAUAUCCUUAUAUGUAAAUAUUAUAUAUUUAACUUUCUUUUCAAGAAAAAAUGUCAAUUUAUGUUUUGUAAUAAAGAUAAUUUUUAUAUUGAAAAAUAAAUCUAUUUUUUAUCUUUUAUAAAAUUCAUAAUGGAUUUAUUAGAACCAAAAAGAGUUAAAAUAUCCCCCUGUUGUAAAACAGUAUCUCCUGUAACUAAUCCUAUGACUUUUCUUGUAUGAGUUUCUUUAGAUGAUAAUGGAUGAUGCGUAUCUCGUAUUACAGUAAUUAAAGAAACAGAAUAUUUUUGUGUCAAUUUUAAACUUCUAACAGAUUUUCCACUAAAAGAAGAAGGAGAAAAAACUUCUGCUAUAGAAUGUUUAUUAUCUAUUCUAAAAUAAUCUAAAGCAUAAUUAAAAGAUAUUUGUUUAGUUAAUCGGAACGCAGCAUCUUGUUCUGGAUGAAUUACAUCAUUAAUCCCCAUAGCUUCUAAUAUUGUAUCAUGUAUUUUAGAUAAAGAUCUACUUACAAUUCUCAAAUGUUUAUACUUCUUAAGUAUAGCUGUUGUUACUAUUGAUGAUCCUUCGUUUUCUCCAAUUGCUACAAUCCCUAAAUCCGCUUGUUGAAUAGGCAAUACUUUGUAAGCUGCUUCAUUAUUUGCAUCCAUACAUACUACAUUCGCUAUAUGAUCUUUCAAGAGAUCUAUUUUUUCCAUUUUAUGGUCUAUCCCAAAAACUUCAUGUCCAUUAUCUGUUAAGUUAAGUGCUAAAGAUCUUCCAAAAUUUCCUAAUCCAAUAAUUAUAAUUUUCAUAUUUUCUGUUUACUUAUUCUUUUUUUAAUUAAUAAGAAUAUUCCCUUUAGGAAAUCUGUAAUAAUGAUGGGAACCAAUUUUAUUUCUUCUCAAUAAACCGAUCAUAACAUUCAAAACUCCUAUUCUUCCUAACAACAUUAUAAAAAUUAAAAUUAAUUUGCUUCCAUUUGAUAAAUUAGAAGUUAUCCCUAAAGAUAAUCCUGCUGUAGAAAAGGCAGAAAAAACCUCGAAAAUAAUCGAUAAAAUAUCUUUUUUUGGAUCCAAAAAAAUUAUGAUUAAAACACUUAUGUAUAUAACCAUUAUAGAUAGCAUAAUAAUAGAAAAAGAUAAUCGAAUCAAUUCAGAAGGUAUUUCUUUUCUUUGUAUUUCUAAUCUAUUUUUUCCUAUAGAUAAUGAAAUAAUAUUCAUUAAUGCUAAUGCAAAAGUACUUGUUUUUAUUCCUCCCCCAGUAGAAGCCGGAGAAGCUCCUAUCCACAUCAAAAAAAUAGUAAAAAAAAUAGUAAUUGGAGCUAAAGUGUUCAUAUUUAAUACAUGAAACCCAGCUGUUCUAGUUGUAGCUGAAGAAAAGAAUGAAACAAUCCACUUUCCAUGAAAGGAAGAAUGUUCGGAAAGAGAACCAUAAUAUUCACUAGCAUAAUAAAAAAUAGUUCCAAAAAAAAGUAAAUAAAAAGUUGUUAAAAUAACAAUUUUUGUAUUUAAAGUUACUACAUGUGCAGGGCAUCUAAGAUCCUCAUCUUUAAAAAUUCUGAAAAAAUAUUUCUUGAUAACUAACCAUAUAUAUGCAAAAAAAUUAAAUAAAAUAUUAAAACCUAUUCCUCCCAAUAUUAAUAAAAAAGCAAUAAUUAAUUGAAAUAAAUAAUUAAAUCUAACAGAUUUUGAAUAUAGUCCUUGACUUAAAGUAGAAAAACCACUAUUACAAAAAGCGGAUAUAGAAUGAAAAAUAGAAAAAAAUAAAAGAUUAUCAGAUUCUAUUGUAUUUGCAUUAUUUUCAAUAGAAAAAUAAAUUAACAAAGUUCCUAUAAAUUCUACUGUUAAAGUAAACAUAACUACUUUUACGGCUAAACUAAGAACGUUAUUUGUCGUUUUUGUAUUUAAAAAAUUACUAAUAAAAAUGGCUUCUUUAAAAGAAAAUCCAUCUCUAAAAAAAUAACUAAAAAAGGAAGUAAUAGUUAAAAUACCCAAUCCCCCCAAUUCUAUUAGAAUAAGUAUAAAAAUUUUACCUAAAUAUGUAAAAUCUUUAGCCGUAUCUAAUACGACUAAACCUGUUACACAUACAGCGCUAGUAGAAGUAAAUAAAGCAUCUACAAAUGAUAUUUUUUUUACUGUAGAUGCUGGUAGCAUUAACAAGAUAGAACCUAAAAAGGAUAAAAAAACAAAACUUGUAAUAAAUAUAAAAGCAGGAUUAUGAAUUUUAACAUAUACUAUUCGUAUAAAAUAAGUAAUACGAAUUAGAAUAUAUAAAAUUAAACUAAUGAGUGUAUAAAUUUUAAUAUCUGAAAUAACUCUUUCAUUAUAAUAAGAAAAAAUGAAUAUUUUUAGAAAUGAAAGUAUAAGAGAGAAUAUAAGAACAAAAAAAGAUAAAAAAAUCAUGGAUCUAUAACCUUUUUCAAGAUUUUUAUUAAAAAAAAUAAAAAAGUGUAAUAUACUUGUUAUUGAUACAAUUCCUAAAAGGAUUUCUACAUUAAAAAAUCGAAAACUUUUCCAUCCUAAAGAAAGAAUUAUAUAAAUGAAUAUAAUUGGAGUAAACAUAUCCAAAAAAUUUUUAAAUUUAAUUUGGAUCAUGGUUUUAUAUGAUAAAUUUUUUUCUAUUUUCUUUCUAUGAAUAGACUAUACAAAAAAUAAAAAAUAUUUUGAAACAAAAAAAAUUUCUUUAUUAUAUAAUCACAAAUAUUAAUAAUAUAAGAAAAGGUUUUUUUAUAUAAAAUCUUAUCAACCAUAUAAAAAAUGUAAUACUUUUCCUAAGUUAUGUCGUAGGAUUUUUUUACUAUAUAGUUUUUUUUAAAAAAUUAUGUAUUUCUUUUUUAUAAGUAAAAAGGAAUAAAUUUUUCCAUAUUAGAAAAACUUUUUUUACAAAAUUUUUUAUAAGAAAUAAGAGACAUAUCCAUUGCAGAUGGAUUUUUGUAAAAAAAAUUAUUUUUUUUUGUAGAAAAAAAUUUUUUUUUGAGAGAAAAAGUAUUUCCUAUGAAAUGAACUUUUUUAUAUUUUUUUGAGAUAGAUUUAAAAAAAUCGUCAUCUAGUUUUUUUAUUUUGAUAGGAUUUAUUCUUUUUUUUGAUUCAUUAAAUAAUGAAAUGUAGAAAAAAUCAGAUUUAGCAUGUACCAUAGGUAUCAAAAAUCCUUUUUUUAUAAAAUUAUAACCCAUGACCAUUAUUGUCAACGUAUCUACAGAUAACAAGGGAAUAUUUAAAGCAGAACACAAACCUCUAGCCGCCGAUGCCCCUAUUCUCAAAGAAGUAUAGGAUCCUGGUCCUUUGUUAACACAAACAGAUUUUAAAUCUUUAAGAUGAAUUCCGGAAAUAUUUAUAACAUAUUGUAUAAACGCAUGCAAUUUUUCGGAAUGAAAAUAAUCUUCUGAAGAUUCUUCUACAGAAGUUAAACAUAUUCCAUUUUUAGCAAUACUAACUGAACAAUUUUUAGUAGAAGUUUCUAAAUUUAGGAUUAAAGACAUAUUAAAAAAUUUUAUUUAAAUAAUGUAUUCAUAUCAAUCAAAUGAUAAAAUAGAAAAAAUAAUUAGAUAUAUUGUUUCUUGGUUGAAAAAAUAUAUUCGAAGAUCUCAAUCUAAUGGUUUUAUCAUUGGAAUAUCUGGAGGAAUUGAUUCUUCAGUCACUUCUUUCUUAGUAGCUAUGACAAAAUAUCCCACUAUUAUAUUAGAAAUGCCCAUUAUAGAAAAAAAAAAAAAUUUUUUACCUAUAAAACAUGCAAACUUUUUGAAAAAAAAAUUUUCGAACGUCCAUUAUUUUGAAAAUGAUUUGUCUAUUUUAUUCAAAACUUUUUGUAAUACAACAAAUGAUAUUCAAAAAAAAUCGAAUCUUCCUUUAGCAUUAGCUAAUGUAAAAUCCCGUAUUCGUAUGUUAACUUUAUAUUAUUAUGCUAAUAUCAAAAAUUAUCUUGUUGUUGGAACUGGAAAUAAAGUGGAAGAUUUUGGAGUCGGUUUUUUUACAAAAUAUGGAGAUGGAGCUGUAGAUUUACACCCUAUAGCCGAUUUGACUAAAAGCGAAGUCCGUAUUUUGGCUAAAAAAUUAAAUAUUAUUGAUGAAAUUCAAAAGGCAAAACCAACGGAUGGACUUUGGGAAGAUCAAAGAUCAGAUGAAGAGCAAUUAGGAAUAACUUAUGAAGAAUUAGAAUGGGCAAUGAAUUUUGUGGAGAAAAAAAAAUAUGCUUUUUCUGAAAUAGAAUAUAAAAUUUUAAAUAAAUAUAAAAAAUUACAUAAAAAAAAUAGACAUAAAAUGAUUCCUAUUCCUAUAUGUAAAAUACCUGAUAGUAUAAAAAAAAAUUAAAAAUACUAUUAUUAAAAUAUUAAAUAAUAAAUCAUAACAAAAUCGUUUUUGUAACUUUGUUUUUCAUGUAUUAAGUUCAUUUUAUGAUGGAAGGAAAACAUAAUAAAAUUUUAAAAAAAAAAGAAUUAAAUCAAAAAUAUAAUUCUAUUUUAAAUCAUUCAACUAACAAUCCAAAACUUAUUUUACAUAAUAAUAUUUUUUUUAUUUAUGAGUGAGGAAAAGAAAAUUGAAAAAAUAGAAAAACAUUUUUUUCAUAUUAUGGAAAUUUUAGGUUUAGAUAUGAAUGAUGAUAGUUUACGAAAAACACCAAAACGAGUUGCAAAAAUGUUUAUACGAGAAAUAUUUAGCGGACUGGAUCCAAAAAAUACACCUAAUUUUUCCAUUUUUGAAAAUAAAUAUAAAUACAACCAAAUGUUAAUAGAAAAAAAUAUAACAGUUUAUUCUACUUGUGAACAUCAUUUUCUUCCCAUUAUAGGAAAAGCACAUGUAGGUUAUAUUUCUAAUGGAAAAGUUGCUGGGCUUUCUAAAAUUAAUAGAAUUGUAAAUUUUUAUGCAAAAAGACCACAAGUUCAAGAACGUUUAACUAUACAAAUUGUUCAAUCUUUAAAAAAGAUGUUAGAAACAAAGGAUGUUGCUUGCAUUAUAGAAGCAAAACAUUUAUGCGUAAAUUCUCGUGGAAUAAGAGAUACAGACAGUAGUACGAUUACUACUGAGUUAAUAGGGGCCUUUAAAAAGGAUUCAGAAAUUAGAAAAGAAUUUUUGCAUCAUAUUGGAAUUUCUUAAAUGGAAAAAAUGGAAGAAAAAAAUUACCAAAAAGAAAAUAGAAAUCAUUUAAAAAUAUAUAACUCUUUAACAGAAAAAAAAGAAUUAUUUUAUCCAAUUCAUAAGAAAUAUGUUGGAAUUUAUGUAUGUGGACCUACAGUUUAUAAUUCCUUACACUUAGGAAAUUGCAGAACUUUUAUAUCAUUUGAUAUCGUUUUUCGUUAUUUAAAACAUUUGGGAUAUAAAGUACGUUAUGUGAGAAAUAUUACAGAUGUUGGACAUUUAGAAAAUGAAGAUUUUGACAUAGAAGAUAAAAUUUCAAAAAAAUCUCGUAUAGAAGGACUUGAACCAAUGGAAAUAGUUCAAAAAUAUACUAUUUCUUUUCACAAUUUAUUAAAUGUUUUAAAUCUAUUACCUCCAAGUAUAGAACCUACGGCUACAGGUCAUAUUAUAGAACAAAUAGAUAUGAUUCAAAAAUUAAUUCAAAAAAAAUUAGCCUAUGAAAUAAAUGGUUCUGUUUAUUUUAAUUUAACAGAAUAUAGAAAAUUUCAUUCUUAUGGAAGAAUAAGCAAAAAUAAAGUUGAUCAACUUUUUUAUAAAAAAUUAAAAUUUACUGAAGAAAAACGUGGAUUUCAUGAUUUUUCUCUUUGGAAAAAAGCUCAUUCUAAUCAUAUUAUGAAUUGGAAUUCUCCAUGGGGAAAAGGAUUUCCUGGUUGGCAUAUAGAAUGUACUACAAUGAGUACAAAAUAUUUAGGAGAAACCUUUGAUAUUCAUGGUGGAGGAAUAGACCUAAAAUUUCCUCAUCAUGAAUGUGAAUUAGCACAAGCUAUAGGAAUUUAUGAAAAAAAUGAUUUUGUUCAUUAUUGGAUGCACACAAAUAUGCUUACUUUAAAUGGAAAAAAAAUGAGCAAAUCCACAGGAAAUUUUUUGGAAUUACAAGAUAUUACUUGUAAUAAAAAUUUUUUUCCUAGUAUUUUUAGAUUUUACAUUUUACAAACUCAUUAUAGAAAUAUUAUGAAUUUUUCCAAUAAAGGACUAGUAGAAGCUGAAAAAGGAUAUCAUAAAAUUAUGAAAGCUAUAAAAAUAUUAAAAAAUUCAGAACCUGAAAUAUCAGAAAAUUGUGAUACUUUUAAUGUUUAUCACUGGAUAGAUAUUUGUUAUAAAGCUAUUAAUGAUGAUUUUAAUAUUCCUUUAUUGAUAACUCAUUUAUUUCAAGUUUCUACAUAUAUUAUCAAUAAUAAUUCCAUUCAAAAUUUACCUCAUUUUCAUCUAUUAAAAAAAUAUAUGAUUUAUUUUGUUUUUGAUAUUUUAGGAAUUCAAGAAAUCAAUUAUCAUGAAGAAAAUUCUAAAAAAUUCAAAACCCUUAUAGAAAAAUUAAUUAAAAUUCGUAUAGAAGCAAGAAAACAAAAACAUUGGAUCAUUUCAGAUAAAAUUCGGAAAGAAUUAUAUCAUAUAGGAAUUUCAUUACAUGAUAAAAAAUUUUCUUCAUAGAGCUUUUAAAGCCUGAUCGAGGUCUUCUAUAAGAUCGUCUACAUUUUCUAUUCCAAUAGAUAAACGAAUCAUAGAAUCUUGUAUUCCUGCGUUAAUCCUGAUAUCUAAAGGAGUUGAUUUGUGAGUCAUAGUUACCGGAUGACAAAUUAAACUUUUUGUUCCUCCCAAACUUUCUGCUAGUUUAAAUAAUCUUGUAGAUGUUACAACUUGUUUUGCGGAUUCUAUUGUAUUUUUUUUUAAACUAAAAGAAAUAAUCCCUCCAAAAUAUCGUUGUUGUUUUACUGCAAUAAAAUGGUUUUUAUGAUGAGAUAAUCCAGGAUAAUAAAUUUUAUCUAUUUUAUCACUAUUUUUUUUAUCCUUUAAAAAAGAAGCGAUUUUAUAUGCACUUUUAGAUUGUUUUUUAAUACGUAAGUAUAACGUUUGGACUCCUCUUAUAGUCAACCAACAAUCGAUAGGAGAUAAAACACCUCCUGUUGCAUUUUGAAUAUACUUUAGUUUUUCAUAUAAAUCUAUAUUUUUCACAGUAAUCAAUCCAGCUAAUACAUCCGAAUGUCCUGAUAAAUAUUUUGUUGCACUGUGAACAACUAUAUCUGCUCCUAGUUUUAAAGGAUUUUGAAUAGCAGGAGAAGCAAAUGUAUUAUCUACAACAACUAAAACAGUUGGAUUUUUCUUUUUUGAUUUAUUACUAAUAAAUUCUAUAUCAGAUAUUUUUAAUGUAGGAUUAGUUGGUGAUUCUAACCAAAUUAAUUUUGUAUUAUCAGAAAUAGAGGAUAUAGUUUUUUCUAUAUCUGUCGUAUCUACAAAAUUAGUACUAAUUCCUAAUUUUUUGUAUAAAUUAAGUAAACGGAAUGUUCCUCCAUAAAUAUCAUCCACAGCUAUGAUUUCAUCUCCAAUUUUUAGUAAUUUUAAUACGGCAUCUACGGAUGCUAAUCCAGAAGAAAAUGCUAAACUAGCAUAACCGUAUUCCAAAUUAGUUAUUAAUUUUUCUAAUAUUUUUCUUGUAGGAUUAUUAGUUCUAGUAUAAUCAAAUCCUUUAUGUAUACCAGGAGAUUCUUGUACAUAAGUUGACGUUUGAUAUAUUGGUGUAGAAAUAGCGCCUGUAAGAGGAUCAGAUAAAAUAUUUUGAAUAAUUUUUGUUUCUUCCUUCAUUGUAAGAUUUAUUUCAUAUAAUAUCGUAUACAAAUGUACUUAAAAUGAAAAUACAAUUUUUGGGAUUUUUUUUUAUAAGAAAAGACAUUUUUUUUGAAAAAAAUAUAAAUUUGUUUUCUAUUUUUCUACUAUUAGUAUAAAAAUGAAUACAAGAAAGAAAAUAAUAUAUUUAUUAUUCUUUUUUUUGUUUUUAUUUUUCUUUUUUUUUGUAGAAUCUUCUGAUAAGAAAAAGAAAAAUCGUGAAAUAAAAAAUGAAAAAAAGAGUAUGGAUAUAGCUCAUACUAUUUUGGAUCAUGUCAGUGAUUCUCAUGAAUGGCAUAUUGCAGGUACUCCAAAUCAUGGAAUUAUUUUUCCUCUACCAGUUAUUUUAUGGAAUAAUGGAUUUGAAUUUUUUUUUUCCUCUAAUUUUUCAUACGGUAAUGUAGUGAAAGGAAAACAUGGAUAUUAUAAAAUGUUUAGGCAGACAAUAUAUAAAACUAAUAAUAUAGGAUCAUUACAUAUGGAUUCAAAAGGAUAUCCAAAAAAUGAUAAACCUUUGGAUCUUUCUAUAACCAAAAAUUUGGUCUCCAUUUUCAUAUCCUCUUUUUUAUUGUCUUAUCUUUUUAUACGGAUGAAACAUAGUUAUAAAAAUCAUCAAACAAAAUGGCGUCUAGGAAUUUUUUUAGAAUUUUUCAUCUUAUUUAUAAGAAAUGAAAUUGCAAUUCCUAAUAUUGGAAAAAAAUAUAAAAAAUUUCUUCCUUUUUUGUUAACAUCCUUUUUUUUUAUAUUAAUUAAUAAUUUAAUAGGUAUUAUUCCAGGGUUUCCAAAUGUAACAGGAAAUAUAAAUAUAACAUUAGUAUUAGCUACUAUGACAUUUAUUGUAACCAAUAUAAAUGCAAAUGUGAGUUAUUGGAAACACAUUUUUUGGAUGCCAGGAGUUCCAAUAGGAAUUAAAUUAUUAUUAGCUCCUAUAGAAUUUAUUGGUAUUUUUAUUCGUCCGUUAACUUUGUGCAUUCGAUUAUUUGCUAAUAUUACUGCUGGACAUAUAAUUAUUUUAAGUUUUGUUUGUCUCAUUUUUAUCUUUAAAAAUUUUUUCGUAACUGGUUUUUCCAUAAUUUUUGGUUUUUUUAUUUCUAUGCUAGAAAUUAUGGUAUCUUUUUUACAAGCUUUUAUUUUUACAACUUUGUCUUCUUUACUUAUAGGAAUGUCUGUUAAAGAUUAUGACAAUGAUAAAAUACAUUAAAAUUAUAAUAAUAUGGAUAUAGAUUUAACAUAUUCAGGUUUAGCUGCUUUAGGAUCUGGGCUCGCAGUAAUAGGAGCAGGGUUAGGGAUUGGAAAGAUUGGAAGUUCUGCAAUGGAUGCCAUUGCUAGACAGCCUGAAGCUUCAAAUAAAAUACAAAAUACUAUGAUCAUAGCUUCUGCCUUGAUCGAAGGAGCUGCGUUAUUUGGAAUAGUUACUACAUUAUUAGCUGUAUUUAAAUAAAAUUUCAAUGGAUUUAGUAACCCCUUCUAUUGGACUCAUUGUUUGGCAUACAAUAAUAUUUAUAAUUCUUAUGCUUUUUCUUUCAAAAUUUGCUUGGAAACCUAUAAUAAGUUUUAUUGAUCAAAGAGAGGAAAAAAUUAAAAUUUCUAUUGAAAAAGCUGACCAAGUGAAAAAAAAAUUGGAAUCGAUAGAAGAUCAAAAAAAUAAAAUUUUAAAAAAUGCUUAUGUAAAAAGAGAUAUCAUCCUGAAAGAAGCUAUUCAAAUUAGAGAAAAAAUAAAAUCAAAAGCAAAAAAUGAAGGAAUGAUAGAAAAGAAAAAAAUUAUAGAAGAAACAAGAAAAACUAUUCAAAUAGAAAAAAAAGUAGCUAUACUUCAAUUAAAAAAGAAAAUAGGAGAUAUUUCUAUUCAAAUAUCCGAAAAAAUAUUAAAAAAAGAAUUAGAUCAAUACAAUAAACAAGAUCAAUUAAUAAAAGAAUUAGUAGAUAAAUUAUACUAAUUUUAUUGAAAUGUUAUCAAAUAAAAAUCAAAAAAUCAUUCAACAUUAUGCAAGAGUUUUUUUCGAAUAUUCUAUUACGAAUAUGAAUGAUAAUAAUAUUGAAUUUUUUUAUCAAAAACUAAACAAAGUAUCUACAUUUUUAAAAAAAAAUACAUACAUACAUACAAUUAUUAACACAGAUCUAUUAUAUACUGAAAAAAAAAUAGAAAUUUUCAAAAAAAUAUUCUAUAAUUUUGAUGCUUUACUUUUUAAAUUUACUAAAAUUCUCAUCCUAAAAAAGAGAGAAUCUUUUUUAAAAGAAAUUUUUUUAGAAUUUAAUAGGAUAUACGAAGAAAAUCGAAAAGGAUUUGUUAAAUCUAUCGUAAUUUCUGCUUUUCCCUUGAAAGAGGAAACAAAAAAAAUGAUUGCACAUAAAUUAUAUAACAAAAAAAACAAAAAAAAAUUUUAUAUCAUUAAUAAAAUAGAUAAAUCUAUUAUUGGAGGUUUUAUAUUUCGUAUAGGAUAUAAAGAAUGGAAUUUCAGUGUUCAAGAACAGUUAUUAUGUAUUCAAAAAUACGUAUUUCAAAAUCAUAAAUAUAAUUAGUUAAACAAAAUUAAAGUUUUUAUCCUCAUAUGUCAGAUUUAAAAUAUUCUGAAAUAUCUUCAAUUCUUAAGGAAGAAUUAUCAAAUUUUCAAUUUGAAUCAAAAUUAACUGAAUCUGGUAUUAUUGUUCAAAUAGGAGAUGGAAUUGUUCGGGCCUUUGGAUUAAAUUCCGCUUUUUAUGGAGAACUAGUGGAAUUCCAUUUUGGAAUUAAAGGAAUGGUUCUAAACUUAGAAGAAGAUCAUGUUAGCAUUGUUUUAUUUAGUUCAUCAAAAAAAUUGAAAGAAGGAGAUACCGUAAAAAGAACUGGAAAAAUUUUUUCGAUUAAAGUAGGAGAAAAUAUGUUAGGACGUGUUGUAGAUGUAUUAGGAAAUCCUAUAGAUGGAAAAGGACCUAUAGAAGGAAAAUUAUUUGAAAUGCCGUUGGAAAGAAAAGCUCCAGGAGUAAUUUAUAGAGAACCGGUUCAAGAACCUCUUCAAACAGGAAUAAAGUUUAUAGAUUCUAUGAUUCCUAUAGGAAAAGGACAAAGAGAAUUAAUUAUUGGAGAUAGACAAACUGGAAAAACAACCAUAGCUAUUGAUACAAUUAUUAAUCAAAAAAGAUUUUUUGAAAAAAAUCAUCCUGUUUAUUGUAUUUAUGUAGCUAUUAGUCAAAAAGGUUCUACUAUAGCAAGGAUUUCAAAAAUAUUACAAGAAAAAGGAGCUAUGCCUUAUACAAUUAUAGUUUCUUCUACUUCUUCUGAUCCCGCUUCUAUGCAAAUUUUUGCUCCUUUUUCUGGAACUGCAAUCGGAGAAUACUUUCGGGAUACAGGUCGUUCUUCUUUAAUAAUAUAUGAUGAUCUUUCAAAACAAGCAGUUUCUUAUAGAGAAAUGUCCCUAUUGUUAAGACGUCCACCUGGUAGAGAAGCCUAUCCAGGAGAUGUUUUUUAUUUACAUUCUCGUCUUUUAGAAAGAUCAGCUAAAAUUAUAAAAGAUCAAAAAAUGGCUGAAAAAAUGAAUGACAUUCCACUUUCUAUUAGAAAAAAAAUAAAAGGUGGAGGUUCUUUAACCGCUUUACCUAUUAUUGAAACUCAAUCUGGAGAUAUAUCUUCUUAUAUUCCUACUAAUGUUAUUUCUAUUACAGAUGGUCAAAUUUUCUUAGAAAAAGACUUAUUCCACUCUGGAAUUCGUCCUGCAAUUAAUGAAAGUAUAUCUGUUUCUCGUGUAGGAGGGGCUGCACAAAUUCAAUCUAUGAGAAAAAUAUCUGGAACUCUAAAAUUAGAUCAAGCUCAAUUUAGAGAAUUAGAAUCUUUUUCAAAAUUUGGGGCUGAACUAGAUUCAUCUACUAUGAAUAUUCUAAAAAAAGGAAGAAUUAAUAUAGAGAUCUUAAAACAAACCCCUCAUACUCCUUAUGAUAUAGCAGAUCAAAUAGCGAUUAUUUAUGCUGGAACUAAAAAUUUACUUAAAAAUAUUCCUUUUAAUAAAAUUUCAGAUUUUGAAAAAGAAUAUCUUUUUUAUUUAAACGAAAAAUAUGAAAGUGUUUUAAAUUCUAUAAGAAAUGGAAUUUUUGAUAAAAAAAUAUCUGAUAUUUUAGAAACAGUAGCCUUAAAAUUAAAUGAUAAAUACGUUUCUUAAUUUUUAUUUUAUGUCUAAUCCAAAAGAAAUCAAGAGAAGAAUAUUAUCUACAGAAUCAGUUAUAAAGACUACAGAAGCAAUGAAAAUGAUUUCUAUAGUAGAAUUACGAAAAACAAAAAAAUCGCUAGAAAAGGUAAGAAAUUAUUUAGAUUCCAUAAAAUCAAUUUUUUUCGAUCUUCUAUUGAUAGAAAAUAAAAAAAAUAUUGAAAAAAAUCAAUUUUUUUCAAAAAAAGGAAAAAUAAAAUUAUUUAUUGUAUUUACCUCUGAUCGUGGAUUAUGUGGAACUUUUAAUUCUUUAAUUUUUUCAAAAAUUAAUUCUCUUUUUAAAAGAGAAGAAAAAUUACAUAAUGAAUGUUUAUUUUUUCCUAUUGGAAAAAAAGGUUUUGAUUUUUUAUGUAAAAACAAAAAAUAUAAUAUAUACGAUCAAAAUUGGAUAGAAAGUAAUUUAUUCUAUAAAAAAGUACAAUUUUUAGUAUCAGAGUUAAUUUUUAAUUUUUUAAAAAGAAAAUUUUCUUCUAUUUAUUUAAUAUAUAAUCAUUUGAAAAAAUCAUUUCUACAAGAAGUAGUAAUAGAAAAAUUUUUACCAAUCGAUUUCAAAAAUUUUAGAAAAAAAACACUAGAAUUUUCCUAUAUUCUAGAACCUUCUCAAGAAGAAAUAAUUAAUUUUAUAAUUCCAAAAUUUUUAAAUACAAAAUUAUUAAAAAUUUUUUUUGAAUCUAUCAUAGCAGAACAUACAUCCCGUAUGAUAUCUAUGCAUAAAGCAACAGAAAACGCUUCCGAUCUUAAACAAGAUCUAAUAUUAAAUUAUAAUAAAGAAAGACAAACUGCCAUUACUAAAGAAAUACUUGAAAUUAUAAGCGGAUUAGAAUCUUUAAAUUAAAUUAAAGAAAAUAAAACAUUUUGAACGAAAUAUCACAUAAUUUUUUUAUGGAAAAAAAAAUAAUGUUAACAGGAAUUAGAAGUACAGGAACUCCUCAUUUAGGAAAUAUUUUAAGUGUUAUUAUUCCAUCUGUAUCUAUAGCUAAUAAAAAUGCAAAACAUUCUUCAUUUAUAUUUAUAGCGGAUUUACAUUCUAUGAUUCAAAUGGAAAAAGAAAGUAUAAGUACCAUUAAAAAUUAUACUUAUCAAAUUGCAGCAGCAUGGUUAGCUUUUGGAUUAAACAUAGAUAAUUGUUUAUUUUAUAGACAAUCAGAUAUUUCUUCCGUUACCGAAUUAGCUUGGUAUUUUAAUUGUUUUUAUCCAUAUAAAAGACUUACAUUAGCACAUGCUUUUAAAAAAGAAAUAAAAGAAAUAGAUAAAAAAAAAAUAAGUGUUGGUUUAUUUACUUACCCUAUUUUAAUGGCUGCUGAUAUUUUACUUUAUAACGCAAAACUUAUUCCAGUAGGAAAAGAUCAAUUACAACAUAUAGAAAUAGCUCGUCGUAUUGCCUAUUAUUUUAAUAAAAAAAUAGGAAAACAAUUAUUUGUAUUACCUAAUGCUUUUUUACAAAAAAAAAUGUUUGUAAUAGGAACAGAUGGAACAAAAAUGAGCAAAUCUAAGAAAAACUGUAUUAAUAUUUUUUCUUCAGAUGAAAUUUUGAAAAAACAAAUUAUGAGUAUUCGUACAGAUAGUAAGUCUGUAAAAGAGAAAAAAAACCCAGAAACUGAUUAUAUUAUUUCUUUAUAUAGUUUGAUAGCUCCUGUAGAUAAAAUAGAGAUUAUGAAAAAAAAAUAUAUGAAAGGAGGAUAUAGCUAUUUCGAGGCAAAAAUUGCAUUAUAUGAAUACAUCAUUCAUAAAUUUUCGUCGGAAAGAAAAAAAUUUUUUUCUUUCAUAAAAAAUAAAUCUUUAUUGGAUCAUAUUUUAGAUUCAGGUGCUAAAAAAGCAAAAAAAAUAGCUGAAGAAAGAUUAAAUUUCAUUAGAAAACAUUUAAAAUUCAAUCCUAUAAUUUGAUUUAUCAAAUAUUUUUUGUCAUUAUGACACAAUUAUAAUUUUUGGCAAAUCUUUUGCUAAUUACAGUCCAUAGAAUUAUUUUGAAAAUAUUUUUAUAUUAUGAACAUUAAUCAAAAAAAUACUGAAGAACAGUCAAAACCAUAUUCUACUAAUGAAAUAAAUAAGAUAAAACCUUCUUUUUGUAAAAAAAAAGAAACUUAUGAUCCAUUGAAAAAAGAAAUUGAAUUUCUGAAAAAAGAAUUCGAAAAAGAAAAAGAUAAAUUCUUACGUCUUUUUGCAGAAUUCGAAAAUUACAAAAAACGGAUCCAAAAAGAAAGAUUUGAUAUUUUUAGAGAUGUUCAUGAACAAAUUCUUAUAGAUUUAAUUCCAAUUUUAGAUGAUUUUGAAAGAGGAAUUAAAGAAUUAAAAAAAUAUCAAGAAGAACAUCCAGUAAAAGGAAUUUUUUUGAUACAAGAGAAAUUCAUUAAUAUUUUAAAGGAAAAAGAAUUAAAUAAAAUAAAGAUAAAAAAAGGAGAUGAUUUUAAUACAGAUUUUCAUGAAGCUAUAACACAAAUUCCAGCUGUUACGGAAGAUUUAAAAGGAAAAAUUAUAGAAAUCAUAGAAGCGGGAUAUAUUCUAAAAGGAAAAGUCAUACGACACGCUAAAGUCAUUAUAGGAAAAUAAUUAAUUUUAUCUUCAUGAUGAAAAAAGAUUAUUACGAAGUAUUAGGAGUUUCUAAAAAUGCUUCUCCAGAAGAAAUAAAAAAAGCUUAUAGAAAACUAGCAAUAAAAUAUCAUCCAGAUAAAAAUUUAGAUAAUAAAAAGGAAGCAGAAGAAAAAUUUAAAGAAGCGGCUGAAGCUUACGAAGUAUUAAGUAAUUCAGAAAAAAGACAACGUUAUGAUAAAUUUGGACAUUCCGGAAUAAAAGGAAGUAGUUCGGGUUCAGGAAUGAAUAUGGAAGAUAUCUUUGAUAAUUUUGGAGAUAUUUUUGCAGAUGCAUUUGGUGAAGGAUUUUCUAGUUUUGGAUUUGGAAAAUCAAGUAGACACAGAACUAUCAAGGGAAGUGAUUUAAGAAUAAGAGUAAAACUUUCAUUAGAAGAAAUAGCUAAUGGAAUAGAAAAAAAAGUUAAAGUUAAAAGAUUAAAAGUUUCUAAAGGAAUCAAAUUUAAAAAUUGUUCAUCUUGUAAUGGAACUGGUCAAAUAAUCCGAAUCACUAAUACUAUUUUAGGAAGAAUGCAAACUACUUCACAAUGCGGGAUAUGUAAUGGAACUGGAAAAAUUAUAGGAAAUAUUCCUUAUGGAGCCAAUAAACAUGGAUUAAUUAAAGAGGAAGAAUUAGUGAAUAUUAAGAUUCCAGCAGGUCUUACAGAAGGAAUUCAAUUAAAAGUAUCUGAGAAAGGAAAUGAAGCCCCAUUUGGUGGAAUUUCUGGAGACUUGAUUGUAUUAAUUGAGGAGAUUCCUCAUCCUAAAUUAAAAAGAGAAGGGUGUAAUCUUCAUUAUGAUUUGUAUAUAUCAUUUCCAGACGCAAUAUUAGGAGCUUUAAAAGAGGUUCCAACUAUUAAUGGAAAAGCAAGAAUAAAAAUAGAUUCAGGAACACAAUCAGGAAAAACUCUUAGAUUAAAAAAUAAAGGAUUACCUAAUAUUGAAGGAUAUGGAUAUGGAAGCCUUUUUAUUCAUGUUAAUGUUUGGACUCCAAAAAAAAUUAAUGAGGAACAAAGAAAAUUCUUUGAAAAAAUAAGAAAAAAUGAAAAUUUUCUUCCCCAUCCCGGAAAUUCAGAAAAAUCAUUUUUUGAUCAUGUAAGAGAAAUGUUUUCUUAAAAAAUCCUUUAUUUUUUCAUUUAUUGAAUAAUUAUUAGUUCCUCUACAAUUCUAUUUUUAUUUUAAUAAGAUUCUUUAUUAUUUUAUCAAUUUUUAUUAUGAUGCAAAAAGUAGUAGUUGGCCUUUCAGGUGGCGUAGAUUCAAGUGUUGCUGCAUUAAUCCUAAAAAAUAAGGGUUAUGAAGUUAUUGGUUUAUUUAUGCAUAAUUGGGAGGAAGAUGAUUUUAAUCAUCAUCAUAAAUGUUCUUGGAAAGAAGAUAGCAUUGACGCUAUGUUAGUAGCUAAGCAAUUAGAUAUUCCUUUUCAAAUAAUCGAUAUGAAAAAUGAAUACAAAAAACAUAUUAUAAAUUAUAUGUUUAAUGAAUAUAGUUUAGGAAAAACUCCUAAUCCAGAUAUUUUAUGUAACAAAAAAAUAAAAUUUAACAUUUUUUUGAAAAAAUCUCUUAAUUUAGGAGCUAAUUUUAUUGCUACAGGACACUAUGUUAAUAAAGAAAAAAUUAUAAAAAACAGAAAAAUAAUUUAUCGUCUUUUGAUUGGAAAAGACUUUAAUAAAGAUCAAUCAUAUUUUUUAUGUCAAUUAACACAAUAUCAGUUAAAAAAAUCCCUAUUUCCAUUAGGUUUAUUAACUAAAAACCAAGUAAGAAAAAUAGCAGAAGUGCAUAAAUUAUGGAAUGCUCAUAAAAAAGAAUCUCAAGGAUUAUGUUUUGUAGGUAAAAUUCAUUUAUUUAAUUUUCUUAAAAAAAAAAUCACUCCAAAAAAGGGAGAAAUAAUAUAUAUUAAUUCUACUGCUUCAGUAUAUCAUGAAAAAAAAAAUUUUUUUUCUAAAGAAGAAGAAUUAUUUUUUCUAUCGAAAAAAAAAAUAUAUAAAAAAUCAGAUGGAAAAAUAAUUGGUUAUCAUCAAGGUGCCUAUUAUUUUACUAAAGGACAACGUAAGGGAAUAGCAUUAGGAGGCUAUAAAGAACCUCUUUUUGUUAUAGAUACUGAUGUAAAAAAAAAUAUCGUUUAUACAGGAAUGGGAAAAAAACAUCCAGGAUUAUAUAGAAAAUCUUUGUUUAUUCAGGAAAAUAAUAUUCAUUGGGUUCGAAAAGACCUUUCAAUUUUCGAAGGAGAAAAAAUGAAUGUUCUUUGUAGAAUUCGUUAUAGACAGCCAUUACAAAAAUCAAAAUUAUAUAAAAUAAAAAAAGGAAUGUUUAUCGAAUUUGAAAAUAUGCAAUGUGCUAUAACGGAGGGGCAAUUUGCUGUUUGGUAUCUUGGAAAAGAAUUAAUCGGAUCAGGAAUCAUCUCUAUGAUUUUAUAUUCCUUAAUUUUUUAAAUUGAAAAUAUAUAUCCACAAUAAUUUAUUAUAUUUUUAUUAUUAUAAACUUUAUAAUAUAUUUAUUAAUAAAUUGAAAAAAUAAUAAUAUUUUAAAAUAAAAACAUAAAAUCCUCUUUUAUAUAAUCUAUUUUUUUCAUAUUUUUGCAUAUUACAUAAUUAAAAAAAAUUUCAGAAUUCACUCUCAUAAAGCUAUUCAAAUUCGGUUUUUUUAUCCCCACUUUUUAUAGCUCGGAGUGAUCUUUUAUUUUUAAUAAAAAUUCAUGAAAAAAAAAAUUAACAAUUUUAGCCAAAAAAUUACAAAAGAAUCUAAUUUACCAGCAGCACAUGCUAUGUUAUAUGCUACAGGAUUAAAAGAAUUAGAUUUUUGUAAGGCCCAAAUAGGAAUUGUUAGUAAUUGGUAUGAAGGAAAUCCUUGUAAUAUGCAUUUAUAUAAAUUAUCCGAAAAAAUAAAAUCAUCGGUUAUAACUAAAGAUCUAGUAGGAUUUCAAUUUUCUACUAUUGGAGUAAGCGAUGGAAUUACCAUGGGAACUUCAGGAAUGAGGUAUUCACUUCCUUCUAGAGAAUUAAUAGCAGAUAGUAUAGAAACUGUAGUAGAUUCUCAUCAUUAUGAUGGAGUAAUAGCUAUACCUGGAUGUGAUAAAAAUAUACCAGGAGUUAUGAUUGCUUUACUGAGAUUGAAUAGACCAUCUAUUAUCGUAUAUGGAGGAAGUAUUUCUUCUGGAAAUUAUAAUGGAAAAAAAUUAGAUAUAAUUUCUUCUUUUGAAGCUUUAGGAAAAAAAAAUACUUUUCAAAUUUCCGAAAAUGAAUACAAAAAUAUCGUAAAAAAUUCUUGUCCAGGUCCAGGAGCUUGUGGAGGUAUGUAUACGGCAAAUACUAUGGCUUCUGCCUUAGAAACUAUGGGAAUGAUGCUUCCUUAUUCUUCUUCUUCUCCUUCAACAAGUGAAAAUAAAAAAAUAGAAUGUAAAGAAGUUUCUAAACAUAUUAAAAAUCUAUUAAAAAAAAACAUUAAACCAAAAGAUAUAGUAACUAAAAACUCUAUAAAAAAUGGAGUGAAAUUGGCAAUGUGUUUAGGUGGAUCUACUAAUUUAGUCUUACAUUUUUUAGCUAUUGCUAAAUCAGCAAAUAUUGAUUUCUCUUUAAAAGAAUUUCAAAAAAUUAGCAAUCAAGUCCCUCUUAUUGGAAAUUUGAAACCUAGUGGUUUAUUCUUAAUGGAAGAUAUUCACAAAUAUAUAGGAGGAAUGCCUGUUAUUAUAAAAUAUUUAUUAAAUGAAGGAAUAUUAUAUGGAGAUUGUUUAACUGUUACUGGAAAAACAUUAUAUGAAAAUAUGAAAAAUAUUCCUAAUAUAACUUUUAAUCAAAAAAUUAUUCAUUCUUUAGAUAAACCCAUAAAAAAAAAUAGCCAUAUCAGAAUUUUGUAUGGAAAUUUAGCUCCUGAAGGAGCUAUAGCUAAAAUUACUGGAAAAGAAGGAACAAUUUUCAGAGGAAAAGCUCGUGUUUUUAAUUCGGAAAAAGAAGCAAAUUCAGCUAUUAUAAAUAAUGAAGUUUUACCUGGAGUUGUUAUUGUAAUACGAUACGUAGGACCAAUAGGAGGACCAGGAAUGCCAGAAAUGUUAAAACCAACAUCGUACAUUAUGGGAUCUGGUUUAGGCAAAAAAGUCGCUCUUAUUACAGAUGGUAGAUUUUCAGGAGGAUCACAUGGUUUUGUCGUAGGACAUAUUACUCCAGAAGCACAAUCUGGAGGAUUAAUUUCUUUAGUACAAAAUGAUGAUUUUAUCAAAAUAGAUACGGAAAAUAAUAUUAUUACUCUUGAAGUAAAAAACGAAGAAAUCCAAAAAAGAAGAAGAAUAUGGAUUCCUCCUUUAUUAAAAGUUAAAAAAGGAUAUUUAUAUAAAUAUGCAAAAACGGUAUCUUCAGCUUCUGAAGGAUGUAUUACAGAUUAAUUCUAGUUUUUUUUUGAUUUUAGUAUGGAAAAAAAGUUAUUCUAUGGUUCAGAAAUAGUAAUAAAAGCACUUUUAUACGAAAAAGUAGAAUAUAUAUUUGGAUAUCCAGGAGGAGCGAUUAUGCCGAUAUAUAAUUCCUUACACGAUUACUUAAAUUCCAUUUCGCAUAUUCUUAUGCGUCACGAACAAGGAUUAAUUCAUGCAGCACAAGGUUACGCCAGAACAACUGGAAAAAUCGGUGUAUGUUUUACAACUUCGGGUCCAGGAGCUACUAAUUUAAUUACCGGAUUAGCAGAUGCUUUAAUAGAUAGCACACCUAUUGUUUGCAUUACUGGACAGGUUUCCUCUCAUUUAUUAGGAACUGACGCCUUUCAAGAAACAAAUAUUAUAGAUAUAUCUAUUCCUGUAACAAAAUGGAAUAUUCAAGUUUUAAAAGCUAAAAAUAUCUGUAAAUCAAUCCAAAAAGGAUUCUUUAUAGCUAAACAAGGAAGACCAGGACCUGUAUUAAUAGAUAUUACUAAAGAUGCUCAACUUCAAAAAACUGUAUUUCAUUAUACACGUUGUAAAUAUAUAAAAAAUUUUCAUCCAUAUCCUUGCAUAGAAAACAAAAAAAUUAUGGAAGCGGCAAAAUUAAUUAAUUCGGCUAAAAAACCCUUGGUACUUGUAGGUCAAGGAGUAAUUUUAGCAGAAGCAGAAAAUGAAUUUAAAAAAUUUGUUGAAAAAACAGGAAUUCCAGUAGCUAGUACUCUAUUAGGAUUAGGAGUGUUAAAUAGUAAUCAUCAUUUAUAUGUAGGAAUGUUAGGAAUGCAUGGAAACUAUGCUCCUAAUAUUUUAACUAAUCAAUGUGAUAUUCUUAUUGCAGUAGGAAUGCGAUUUGACGAUCGUGUAACUGGAGAUAUUAAAAAAUAUGCUAAGCAAGCUAAAGUUAUUCAUUUAGAAAUAGAUUCUUCCGAAAUCAAUAAAAAUAUCUUAUGUCAUGUCCCAAUUUUGGGAGAUUGUAAAUUAUCUUUAAAAAAAUUGAUUUUCUAUGUUAAUGAAUCUAUUCAUACAAAAUGGAAAGAUAAAUUCUUUCAACUUAAAAGAAAAGAAAAAACUAUAGUAAUACAAAGAGAUCUUUAUCCAAAAAAAAAAGGAAUCACCAUGGGUGAAGUAGUAAAAUGGAUAAACCAAUAUAAAAAAAAAAAUGCAGUUCUUGUAACUGACGUAGGACAACACCAAAUGAUAGCUUCAAGAUAUUUCAAUUUUACUUGUAAAAAAAGUCAAAUAACUUCUGGAGGAUUAGGAACUAUGGGUUUUGCUUUACCGGCUUCUAUAGGAGCUCAAUUAGGAGCUAAAAAUAGACAAAUUCUUUGUAUUGUAGGUGAUGGAGGUUUUCAAAUGACAAUUCAAGAAAUGGGAUCUAUCUUAGAAUAUAAAAUUCCUAUUAAAAUUGUAUUAUUAAAUAAUAAUUUUUUAGGAAUGGUACGUCAGUGGCAACAGCUUUUUUUUGAUAAACGUUAUUCAUGUACAGAAUUAGUGAAUCCAAAUUUUAUAAAACUAGCUCAAGCUUAUAAUAUAAAAGCAAAAAAAGUAAAUAAAAGAGAAGAGCUAGAAAACUCAGUAAAAAAAGCAUUAAAUCAUAAAAAAGCUUUUUUAUUAGAAGUUAUAAUUGAAAAAGAAGAUAACGUGUUUCCUAUGAUUCCUUCAGGAGCAUCUGUAGAUGAAAUUCGUUUAACAUGAAUUAAUGAUAAUUAUAAAUAAAAUAUAAAAAUAAUAUAUAAAAAAAUAUUAUGAAAAAUAAAUUCAGAAUAAUAAUUUUAGGAGAAAAAGAAACAAGAUUAUUAAGUAGGAUUCUUAUUAUUUUCAAUCGAAAAAACAUUAAAACUGAUCACAUUAAUAUAUCUAAUAAAAAUAAAAAAAAACCCAUUGAUACUAAUAACCAAUAUGUUAUAGACUUAAAAUGUAAAGAAGAUCAAUUAUUUAAAAUCAAAAAAUUAAUUGAAAAAUUAAUUGGUAUUAUUCAUGUUUAUUCUUACAAAUUAAAAGAAAAAAUUUAUGAAAAAAAAUGGAUUUACCAUUAGAUACAACAUAUUAAAAUUAAAUAAUAAAAAUUAUGAAAAUUAAAUUCGGAUCAAUAGAAGAAACUAUCAUUACAAGAGACGAAUUUCCAUUAUCUAAAGCUAUAGAAAUUUUAAAAAAAGAAACUAUUUCUGUUUUGGGAUAUGGAAUUCAAGGUCCUGGACAAUCUCUUAAUUUAAGAGAUAAUGGUUUUAAAGUUAUAGUAGGACAAAGAAAACAUUCUCUUUCUUGGGAAAAAGCAUUAAAAGAUGGAUGGAUAGAAGGUAAAAAUCUUUUUUCUUUAGAAGAAGCCUCUGAAAAAGGGAGUAUACUUAUGUAUUUAUUAUCAGAUGCAGGUCAAAUCUCUUUUUGGCCUAUUCUUAUAAAAUAUUUAACUGAAGGAAAAUCUUUAUAUUUUUCACAUGGAUUUGGAUUAACUUUUUGUCAUCAAACAAAAAUUUCUCCAUCUAAAAAAAUAGAUAUUUUUUUAGUAGCACCUAAAGGAUCAGGAACCAGUUUAAGAAAACUUUUUAAAAAAGGAAAAGGAAUUAACUCUAGCUAUGCUAUUUAUCAGGAUUAUAGUGGAAAUAGUUUAGAAAAAACUUUAUCAAUUGGAAUUGGAAUAGGAUCGGGAUAUUUAUUUGAAACAAAUUUUAAAAAUGAAGUGUAUUCUGACUUAGUCGGAGAAAGAGGAACUUUGAUGGGAGCUAUACAAGGAAUUUUUUCAGCACAAUAUCAAAUAUUAAGAGAAAAAGGACAUUCUCCUUCAGAAUCUUUCAAUGAAACUGUAGAAGAAUUAACUCAAAGUUUGAUGCCUUUAGUAUCGGAAAACGGAAUGGACUGGAUGUAUGCUAAUUGUUCUACUACGGCACAAAGAGGUGCUUUAGAUUGGUGGAAAAAAUUUAGAGAUGCUACUCUUCCAGUAUUUCAAGAAUUAUAUCAUGAAGUUUCUUCUGGAAAUGAAGCAAAAAGAAUUAUUAAAUCCAAUAGUGACAUAGAUUAUAGAAAAAAAUUACAAAAAGAAUUACAGGAUCUUAGAAAAAGUGAAUUAUGGAAAGUAGGAUCUAAAAUUCGAAAUCUUAGACCUGAAAAAAAAAGACAAAAUUAACUUAUAAUAUUUAUUCAAUAAUUUAUUUUAAAAGAUUGAAAAAUGAAUUUAAAGGAUACUUUCCUUCUUCUAAAGAAAUAAUUAAAGCUAAAAAUAUAUUAAAAAAUAUUAUUUAUGAAACUCCAUUACAAAAAAAUUUCAUUUUAUCAGAAAAGUAUAAAGCAAGUGUUUUUCUUAAAAGAGAAGAUUUACAAAUUAUACGUUCAUAUAAAAUUAGAGGAGCUUAUAAUAAAUUAAAAAGUUUAUCUCAUUUAGAAAAUCUAAAAAAAGGAAUCAUUUGUGCUAGUGCAGGAAAUCAUGCACAAGGAGUUGCUUAUUCUUGCAAUAUCCUAAAAAUACCGGGUAAAAUCUAUAUGCCGAAUACUACACCCAAACAAAAAAUAGAAAGAGUAAAAAUGUUUGGAAAAGAAUAUACAGAAAUUUUAUUGAUCGGAGAUACUUUUGAUGCAGCUAGUUAUGAAGCAAUAAAAGAUUGUAAAAAAAAUGAAAAAAUUUUUAUUCAUCCUUUUGAUGAUAUUAAAAUUAUAGAAGGGCAAGCCACUGUUGGCUUAGAAAUUUUACAACAAUCUAUUUCAGAGAUAGAUUACAUUUUUAUUCCUAUUGGAGGAGGAGGGUUAGCUUCUGGUGUAGGAAGUUAUUUUCAAGAAAUUAGCCCUAAAACUAAAAUUAUAGGAGUAGAACCUAAAGGAGCUUCAUCCAUGAGUUUUUCUUUAAAAAAAGGAAAAAUUGUUGAAUUAAAAACAAUAGACAGAUUUAUUGAUGGUGCUUCAGUAAAAAAAGUAGGAAAAUUAAAUUUUAAUAUAUGUCAUCAAAUAUUAUUUGAUAUUAUAACCAUUCCAGAAGGAAAAGUUUGCACAACAAUUUUAGACUUAUAUAAUUCAGAUGCUAUUGUAGCAGAACCUGCUGGAGCUCUUUCAAUAUCUGCCUUAGAUUUUUAUUCUGAUAAAAUAAAAGGAAAAACUAUUGUAUGUAUUUUAAGUGGAGGAAACAAUGAUAUUACAAGAACGGAAGAAAUUAGAGAAAGAUCCCUUCUGUAUGAAAAAAAAAAACAUUAUUUUAUUGUAAAAUUUCCUCAAAGGGCUGGCUCUUUAAAAGAGUUUGUAAACAAUAUAUUAGGACCUAAAGAUGACGUUACUUAUUUUGAAUAUUCUAAAAAAACUUCUAAAGAAGAAGGUCCUGCAAUAAUAGGAAUCGAAUUAGCAGAUAAAAACGAAUUUUCUGGAUUGUUAGGAAGAAUGAAAAAAUAUAAAGUUCAUUUUCAAUAUUUAAAUAAAAAUCCAGAUUUAUUUCGUAUUCUCAUAUGAAAAAAUUUUGUACCCACGACUGGAUUUGAACCAGCACAUCCUAUACCGGAUACCACCCCCUCAAAGUGGCGUGUCUACCUUUUCCACCACGUGGGCUUAUAUAAUAAUUAUCUAUUCUUUUUUAUUUUAUUGUUUUCAUAUGAUAACAAUUAUAUAUAUAAUUUAUUUAAUUGAAAUUAUUUUUUUUAUAUUCAUUUUUUUAUUCAAAUAUAAAAUUAAUUGAUAUUUCAUCAAAAAAAAAUAUAAACUAUCUUUUUUUGAAUGAAUUAUGAAUUCUAUUCAAAUUAAAAUAAUAUGAAUAUAGCAAUAAUAGGAUAUGGAAAAAUGGGAAAAUCUGUAAAAAAAAUUGCAGAAAUUAGAAACCAUAAAAUUUCAUUAUGUUCUGAUAAAACUCCUUCUUUACAUUUAUUGAAAAAUUCAAAUUCAGAUGUAGCGAUAGAAUUUAGUCUACCUAAUUCUGCAUUCAAAAAUGUAAAAAUUUGUAUAGAAAAUAACAUUCCUAUUGUAAGUGGAACUACAGGAUGGAUUGAAAAAAUCCAAAUUAUUAAAGAAAUCUGUAAAAAAAAAAAUGGAUCUUUUUUAUAUUCUUCUAACUUUAGUAUUGGAAUGAAUAUUUUUUUCGAAAUCAAUAAAAAAUUAUCUAAACUAUUACAAUUAUACUCUAAAGAUUAUGAAGUAACAAUAGAGGAAAUUCAUCACAAAGAAAAAAUAGAUAAACCUAGUGGAACAGCUAUAUCUCUAGCAAAAGAUAUAGUAAAUAAUAAAAUGAAAAAAACAUGGAUUUUAGAUGAGAAAAAAACAAAAAAUCAAAUUUUGAUUUUAUCAAAAAGACUCGAUCAUGUGCCAGGAAUACAUAUCGUAAAAUAUAAAUCUCAAAUAGAGGAAAUAAAAAUUAAACAUCAAGCUUAUAGUAGAGAAGGAUUUGCUUUAGGAGCUGUUAUUGCAGCAGAAUGGAUUCAAAAUAAAAAAGGUAUUUUUUCUAUGAAAGAAGUUUUAGGAAUAUAACAUAUUUUUAUGUAUCAAUAUUUUAUAUUUAGUGUAAUUUUCUUAUUUUUUGAACAUGUUAUUCAUGUUUUAGGAACAUGGAAUUUUUAUAAAAAAUUUGGUAUAAAAUCCUGGAAGAUUCUUCUUCCUAUAUAUAAUAUUUUUAUUCUUUUAAAAAUUUAUAAAAGAUCUAUAUGGUGGAUUUUUCUAUUACUCAUACCAUUAACUAGUAUCAUGUUAAUUUUUACUUUAUGGAUGGAUUUAAUCCAUAUUUUUUUUAAAAAAAAUAAAAGAAUUUUUAUUUUAUUUUUUUUAUCUGCCGGAUUAUAUAUUUUUUAUAUAAAUUUUUUUAAAAAAAUUCCAAUUUUUAAAAUUGAAGAUUUAAAAAAGAAAGAAAAAAAUAUAGGAAUUUUUUUAGCUAUGGUUUUUUCUUUUAUUACUCAUACUUAUAUAGUUCAACCUUUUGUUAUCCCUACUUCUUCUAUGGAAAGAAAUUUACUAGUAGGAGAUUUUAUACUAGUUAGUAAAAUUCAUUAUGGAUUACGAAUGCCUAUAUCUCCAAUAUAUAUUCCUUUUACUCAUAAUAAUAUUAUUGGAAAUAUAAAAUCUUAUAUUUCUAUUUUUCAAUGGCCUUACUUUCGUUUUUCUCCUAUACAAUCUAUAAAAAGAAAUGAUAUAGUUGUUUUUAAUUUUCCUAAAGAUUCUAAUCAUAAAAUAAUAGAUCGAAAAAAUCAUUAUAUCAAACGUUGUGUAGGAUUACCAGGAGAUUUAGUUUCUAUUAAAAAAGGGAUCUUAUUUGUAAAUCAUAAAAAAGAAAAACCUUUUUUAGAAAAACAACAAGCUUAUUUUAUUAAAACAAAAAAUAUUCCUUUAAAUACAGAAUAUCUUGAAAAAAAUAUGGAUAUCAAAGAUAUUGAAUAUUUUGGAGAAAAAAAUAAUGAAUAUUUUUAUCAAAUUAUGUUAAAUGAAAAAAAAGCUGUUUCUAUAAAAAAUUUAUUUGAAAAUAUAAUUUUUAUAGAAAAAAGUAUCCUUCCUAUUCAUUUUAAAGAACGUUAUAUAUUUCCUAAUCAUUCUAAUUGGAAUAGAGAUUUUUUUGGACCAUUACACAUUCCUAAAAAAGGAGAAUUCAUUAAAUUAAAUUCAAAAAAUAUUCACAUUUAUAAUGAAAUUUUCAAUUAUGAGAAAACUAAAAAAUUUGAUAUUUCUUUAAAAAAAUAUUAUAAAGUAAAAAAAAAUUAUUAUUUCAUGAUGGGAGAUAAUAGACAUAAUUCAUAUGACUCUCGUUAUUGGGGUUUUGUUCCAGAAGAUCAUAUAGUAGGAAAACCUAUAUUUAUAUGGAUGAGUAUAAAUUGGGAUAGAAAAAAUCCUAUAAAUAUAUUUAGUUGGAAAUUUCGUUGGGAUAGAAUAAUGAAAACAAUAGAAGGAAAACAUUCUUAUUUAUCCUUAUUUUUUUUAUUUUCAUUUGUAUAUUUAAUUUAUUUUUUAUUUAAAGCUGAAAAGAAAUCAUCAGUUCAAUAAAUCAAUAAAAAAUAUUUUUUUUAUUUCUCAUAAAAAAACUUCCUAUAAAAUAACCAGAUAAAACUCCUCCAAUAUGGGCAAAGUGAGCUACUCCAGGUGCUAAAUUAAAAAUAGAAGAAAUAAAACUUCCAAAAAUAAAAAUAACAAGAGCUUUUCGAACUGCUAUUGGAAAAGGAAAAGGAAGAAUGAAAAUUUUAUGAUUUGGAAAAAAUUUAGCAAAAACCCCUAAUAUUCCACUUACGGCUCCGGAAGAACCCAUCAUAGGAGAAUACAUAGAACUAUAAAGAUUCAUUUUUUGUUCUUCAUUUAAAUAAUCUAAUAUUUUAUAUGCUUGUGAAAAAUCUAAAGUUUUAACAAAAUAAUACAAAACACCGGUAUUAAAAAUAAUUUGAAAUAGCGCGGCCAAAACUCCUGAUAAAAAAUAUAUAAUUAUAAAUUUUUUAACUCCUAAUAAAGUUUCUAUUUGUCCUCCAAACAUAAAUAAAGCUAACAUAUUAAAAAUAAUAUGUAAAAAAAGUCGUUUGGAAUGUACAAACAUAUGAGUAAAAAUUUGAUAUAACUCAAACCGCUCGUCUAAAGGAUGAUAUAAAGAAAGCAAACUAUCUAUUUUAUAUUGUGAAAAAACAAAAGUAGCUGUAUACACAAGUAUAUUAAUACUAAUUAAAUGUUUUACGGCGUCUGAAUUGAAAUUUUUACAAAAAUUCACUUUUUAAAAAAAUUUUUUGUUUAAAACAAAAAAUAUGGGAUCUCCUGAAUAUGUAUAAUUUGGAUUAUGACAAGAAAAUAAAUCUUUUAUUAUACACUUCAUUUUUUCAGGAUAUAAUUUUAUUCCAUAUUUUAUAGAUGCGUAUUUAGAUAUAACUUGAAUAAGUUUUUUUUUAUUAUUUUUUUCUCCUUUAAUAAAAUUAUAUGUUAUAAUUUUUUGAAUAAUUUCAAUCAACAUAUUUUUUUGUAUAUUUUCAGGAACAGAAUAUAAAUAAACCGAUUUUUUACAAAAAUAUAAAUGAAAACCAAAAUUGGUUAAAUCAUUUUUUAUAUUUUUUAAAGAAAUAGAUUCUUCUUUUAAAAGAUUUACUUUUAUAGGAAAAAGAAAUUGUUGACUGAUUAAAUUUUUUUUUCUAGAAAAAAAUUCAAAUAAUAUAUUUUGAUGUGCUCUAUGUUGAUCCACUAAUAUCGUAUGCUUAUUAUUCAAAAUACAAAUUAUAUAUUUUCUCCUAAUCUGAAAAACAUUCAUUUUUGUCUUAUGAUAAACAAAACGAUAUAGUUCAUUUUUUAAUAAUUGAAAAUUACUUUUAUUGUUAAUAUUAUUGAAUAAUGGAUCAUAACUAUUGAAUUUUUGAUAAAAAUUUUCUAGUUGAAUAAUUUUAUCUUUAUCUUUAUGAUAAAGUUUAUCAUACAAAUUAUUUGAUAAGUAAUUUGUUUUGAUUGAUUUACAGGAAAGAAGAACAUCAUAAUUUUUUAAAUCUCUAUUUUUUAUUUUAUAUUGAGAAAAUAGAACACUUUUAAUUUCUUGUUGAAUCAUAACGCCAAUUUUCUCUUCUUCUUCUAUUUUUACUUCUUUUUUAGUUGGAUGUAUAUUCCAAUUUAUUAAACUAGAAUCUAAAAAAAUAAAAAUAAAAUAAGAAGCAGUUUUGAAACUUUUCAAAAAACCAUCAUAAGCAUGAGUAAUUUUUUUAUGUAAAGAAAAAUGAGUAAUACAACGUUGAUUAACAAAUAAAAAUUGAUCUCCUUUUUUUAUAGAAAUAUCGGGAAUACUAACAAAACCUUCUACAAAAAAAUUAUUUUUUUUUAUCAGGAUAGGAACUAAAUUUUUUUUUUCAUUUUUAAAAAUUUCUUUGAUUCUUUCUAUUAAAGAUGUUUUUUUGAAAUAAAAUAAAAUUUUAUCAUUGUGAUAAAAACGAUAUGUUAUAUUUCUAUGUGCUAAAACAAUUUUAUAAAAUUCAUAAAUGAUAUGUUGGAAUUCUAUUCUAGAAGAUUUUAAGAAUUGUCUUCUAACAGGAUAUUUAUAAAAAAUAUUUUUAACAGAAAUUCUUGUUCCUUGAAGCAUAUUUAUAGGAACUUUUUUUUGUAUUUUUCCUUCUUCCACAAAAAGAUGUAUUCCUACUGCAUUUUCUCUAUUUUUAGUUUGUAUUUCUAAUUGAGAAAUAGAUGCUAUAGAAGAUAAAGCUUCUCCUCUAAAUCCUUUUGUUUUAAUUUUGAAAAUAUCAUCAAUAUGUUUAAUUUUAGAAGUAGCAUGUUUUUGAAUACUCAUUUUAGCAUCAUCAAUAUUCAUUCCUGUUCCAUCAUCUAUCAAUUGAAUUAAUAUUUUUCCUGAAUCUUUUAUAAAAAUAUCAAUCAUUUUUGCGUUUGCAUCUAUAGCAUUUUCUAAAAGUUCUCUUAAAACAGAAGAAGGACGUUGUAUAACUUCUCCUGCAGCUAUUUGAUGAAUCACUUUUUCAGGUAAAAAUUGAAUAACAUUUUUCAUUUUAUAGAUUUUCUAAAUAAAGACAUAUAUAUAGCUGUUUUAGCACAUUCUAUUCCUUUAUUUCCAUUUUUUCCACCUGAUCUAUCAAAAGACUGUUGCUUAUUUUUAUCGGAUAAAACACAAAAUAUAACAGGAACAUCAUAUAUUAUAUUGAUAUCUUUAAUUCCAUGCGAAAUUGCUUGGCAUAAAUAUUCAAAAUGAGGAGUUUCUCCUUGUAUCAAGGAUCCAAUCGCGAUAAUUGAAUCAAAAUCGUAAUAAUGAGCUAUUUUUUUAGAAGAAUAAAUUAAUUCAUAACUUCCAGGAACUUCCCAAGUUUUAAUUUUAUCUUUUAAUAUACCUAAUUGAAUUAAGGUAUUAUAAGCUCCUUUAUAUAAUCUAUUUGUAAUUUCUUUGUUCCAUAAAGAAACAAGAAUAGCAAUUUUUAAAUUUUCAUUUUUUAUUUUUUUUGAAUCUAAUGAAUAAACAGGAUUUUUCUUCAUAAAAGAUAAUUUAUAAUUUAUUUUCAAUAAACGUAAUAUAUUUUUCAACGUUUUUUUUAUAUAAAAAAGAAGGGUAUUUUUUUUCUAUUUUUUUUAAAAAAAAUUUAGAAUUACUAUAUUUUUUCAUAUAAAAAUUCAAUAAUGCUGCUUUAUAAUAAUAAAGAGGUGUUGUGAUUUCAUUUUCCGUUACAUUUGCUGCUAUAACAUAAUUUUUCAAGGCUUCUUUUUUUUUUUUCAUUUGACUAAAAGCGUCACCUAUAAUUCCGUAUUUUAUAGAGGAUAAAAAUUCAUCUUUCGCAGAAAAACUAUUCAUUAUUUUUAUGGAUUUUUUGUAAUCUCCUAAUUUAUAAUAGCAAAUUCCUGCAUAAAAUUUAGAUAUAUUACCUGCUUUAGUAAAAGGAUAUUUAGAAGCUAUUCCUGAAAAUCCUAAAUUAACUUUAAUAUUUUUUUUAUUUAAGGCUUUAUCUAUCUCUCCUUGAGAAAGAUAUUGUUGAGCAUAACUUAAUUCUUUCAUAGAUUUUUCUUCUGAUGGAUACAAAAAUAAUUUCUUGAAAAAAAAAUAUGAUAUAUAUGAUAUAAUUAUUAAUGUAAUAGAAAAAAAAAUUAAUUUUUUUUUCAUGCUAUAAUAUUUAUUUUAUUUUUUCUACAAUAAAUUUAUUAAAUUCAUUUGAUUUCUUUAAAAAAUCAAGAUAUAAUUCAUUUUUUUCUUAUUACUUCUACAAUUUUUAUCCUUUUAUGAUCAAUAUUUUUUAUAAUAAAAGAAUAAUUUAAAAAAUUAAUUUUUUGUUUUUUCUUAGGAAACUCUUUAUUUAUUUCCAUAAUAAAUCCCCCUAAAGUAUCUGCAUCUCCUUUUUUAUUUUCAAAAAAAACCUCUUCUUCAACAUCCAUAAUACGAUAGAAAUUAAUUAAAGAUGUUUUUCCAUCAAAUAAAUAAUUAUUUUGGUUCAAUUUAGAAUAAGACAUAUCUUCUUUAUCAAAUUCAUCAAUAAUAUCUCCUACUAUUUCUUCAAUUACAUCUUCAAGAGUAACUAAUCCACAUGUUCCUCCAUAUUCAUCUACUACAAUUGCUAAAUGUAUUUUUCUUUUUUUAAAAUCACUUAAUAGAUUAUCUAUCUUUUUUUUUUCUGGAACAAAAAAAGGAGGAUGUAUAAGUCUAUUCCAUUGAAAAUGUUUAUGAUAAAUAAAUGGAAGAAGAUCUUUAGAAAAAAGAACCCCCUCUAUAUCAUCAAUACUAUUCUUAUAAAUAGGAAUACGAGAAUAUCCUUGAUCACGAACUAAUUCUAAAACAUUAGAAAAUUUUAUAUUUUUAUUUAAAGAAAACAUAUCUAUUCUUGGAGUCAUAAUUUGAUGUGUUUCUGUAUUUCCAAAAUCAACAAUUCUUUGUAAAAAAUUACGUUCUUUAACAUUUUUUGGAUUCGAAGAUGUAAUUUUUAAAGCCUUUGAUAAUUGAUUUACAGAAAUAACAUUCUUUUUUUUUUUUAUUUUUUCAUCUAUAGAUUUUGAAAUUAAAAUUAUAAUUCUACUAAUUGGACUUAAUAUUUUACUAAGAAAUAAUAAGUGUUUUGCCAUAAAAAUAGCAAAACGAAAGUUAUUUUUACUAGCAUAUAUUUUAGGAAUUAUUUCUCCAAAUAAAAGUAAAAUAAAGGUAAGAACCACUACUUCUAAAAGAAAAUGAAUAGGAAGAUGAAAUUGUUUAUAAAUAAAUAAAUUUUUUUUUUGAAAAAAUUCUGUUAUUAAAUAAGAACUUAAUAUAACAAUUCCAGUAUUAGAAAAAUUAUUAGAUAUUAAUAUUGUAGCUAACAGUUUUUUUUUCUCUCUUAAAAUUUGAAAUACAAUAUUUCCUUUAUAGGAAUUUUUUUUUCUUUCUUUAUCAAGAGUUUUUUUUUCAAUACAAAAAAAAGCAGUCUCUGAUCCAGAUAUUAAUGCAGAAAAUAACAACAAUAUUAUUAUUAAGACAAGAUAAAAAACUAAAUAUAAAGUUUUUUCUAAAAAAAUAUUCGUCGAAGAUUCUUUUUCCAAUAGAUUAAAUUUUGAUAAUAAUUUUUAGAAAAGAAAAUAUAAAAAUUGAUAUGAUCAAAAAUAAAUCUAAAAUUCAUAUUAUAUUAGAAUUAAUUUAUUAUCGGGAAUAAACUAAAUAAUUUUUUCAUGUUUCAAAAAUAAAACAAUAGGACGAGGAAAGGGGUAUUUUUUUAUAUGAUUUGUAGGUAUAAAGAUAAAAUUAUUAAAAAAUAUGGAUUUCUUAAAAUCUUGUAAAAUCUCACAAUUAAAAAAUUGAAUUGAUAAAAUUUGAUGAGUAAGUUUUUGUUUUAUUUUAUAAACUAAAAUAUUAUUAGCUUUCACUCUAAACUUUUUAAAAAUUUUAUCUAUAAUUUCAUGAAUUAAAAGAUUUUGUUUUGAUUCUAUUAAAGGAAAAUCAUAAAGACCUUUCCAUAUAUCUUCUGUUGAUCUUUUAUUUAAACAAAUAUUUUUAUUACGAUCAUAUAUAAAAAGAUAAUAAAAAAAUCUAUGUUUUAUAAAUUUUUUUAUUUUUCUUAUAGGUAAUUUAUAUACAGUUCCAUUUUUAAUCGAAAAACAAGUAUCUUGAACUGGACAUAAUAAACAUUUAGGAUUUUUUGAAGUACAUAAAAUAGAACCUAAAUCCAUAAUUGCUUGAUUAAAAGUUCCUGGAUGUUCAAAAUCCAUUAUUCUUGAAACCAUUAUUCGUAAUUUAUCUUUUAUAGUAGUAGAUGUACUAUCAUUGAAAACCCCAAAAUAUCUAGAAAAUACUCUACAAGCAUUUCCAUCAAUGGCAGGAAUAGCUUCAUGAAAACAUAUAGAAGCCAUAGCUGCUCCUGUAUACGGACCAAUCCCUUUAUAUUUUAUUAAUUCUUUAUACUUUUUUGGAAAAGAUUUUUUAUCAUUUUUUAAUUUUUUAGCAAAAGAAUGCAAGUAUUUUGCUCUAAAAUAAUAACCCAAUCCUUCCCAUUUUUUCAAUACAUCUUUUUCUUUUGCUUCAGCAAGUUUUUCUAAACUCGGAAAUUUUUUUAUAAAGUUUAAAUAAUAUCUUAUAGUUGUUUUUGAAACUUUUGUUUGUUGUAACAUAAAUUCCGAAACUAAAAUAUAAUAUGGAUUUUUAGUUUCUCUCCAAGGAAGUUUUCUAUAGUUUUUUUUAUACCAAUUUAUUAUUUUUUUGGAAAAAUUCAUAUGAUUUUAAUUUUUAAGCAAUUUUAUAAAAAAUGGGUAUAUUUAAGAAACCGAAUUUUGUUAUUCGAUAUUAUAAUGAUUUAACAUGACAAAAGCAGAUAUAAUAACAGAAAUCAUAUCAGAAACUGGAUCUGAGAGAAUUGAUACGCAAAAGGUGAUAGAAACAUUUAUGGAAAAAAUAAAGAAAAGUUUAACAUCGGGAGAAAAUGUUUAUUUAAGAGGAUUUGGAUCAUUUAUUAUUAAAUAUCGAGCGAAAAAACUUGGACGUCAUAUAUCCAAAGAUAUGUCUAUUGUAAUUCCUGCACAUAAUAUACCAGCAUUUAAACCUUCAAAAUCUUUUACGGAAUUAGUAAAGAAAAAUGUUCCUAUAAAUAAAAAUGGAAAUACAAUGAAUUAAUCAUUAAUCGUUUAAAAUUAUGCCAAACGGAAAAAAAAGAAAAAGACGUAAAAUAGCAACUCAUAAAAGAAAAAAAAGAAAUAGAAAAAAUAGACAUAAAAAGAAAUAAUAAUUUCUAAAAAAAUGUGAAUUAUAACUUAAUUCCUUGUUUUUUUUAUAUAUGAAUAAAGAGUUAAUUAUAGAUGUAGAAGAAAAAGAAGUAAAAAUAGCUCUUUUGGAAAAAGGACAAUUACUUGAACUUCAUAUAGAUAUUAUGAAUAAAAAAUUCUCCGUAGGAGAUAUUUAUUUUGGAAUAGUUAAAAAAAUUUUAUAUGGAUUAAAUGCUGCUAUCAUAGAUAUAGGAUAUUCAAAAGGUGCUUUUUUACAUUAUGAUGAUAUUGGAUUUCAAAUUGAUCAAAUGUUAGAUUUAAUAUCAUCUUAUAAUCAUCUUAAAAAAAAAUCGGACAAUUCCGAAAAUCAAGAAAAAAAAAAUUCUAUAAAUCAUAUACUACAUAUUGGACAAAGAAUAUUAGUUCAAAUUUCUAAAGAACCUAUUUCUAAUAAAGGACCAAAACUUACUACAAAAAUUUGUAUUCCAGGUAGAAAUUUAAUACUUAUACCUUUUUCAGAAAAAAUUUCUAUUUCUAAGAAAAUCAAAAAUAUAAAAGAAAAAAAUAGAUUGAUUUCUUACAUAAAAAAAAUCAUUCCAAAUAAAUAUGGAAUAAUUAUCCGUACAGCUGCUCAUAACGAAAUGGAAAAAGUUUUAAAUGAAGAGCUUCUUUUUUUAAUAAAAAAAUGGAAAAAAACAUUAAAUAAUUUAAUAAAAUUUAUUCCACCAGUUUGUGUAUUGAAUGAAAAUAAUAAAAUUUAUUGUUUAUUAAGAGAUAUAUUCAAUGAUGAUUUUAAAUCUAUUCUUUGUAAUAAUGAAUUUCUUUGCAAAGAAAUUCAUUCAUAUUUAUCUUUCAUUUUUCCCAAAAAAACCAAUAUAAUUAAAUAUUAUAAAGGAAAUAUUCCCAUAUUUGAAAAAUAUGGGAUAGAAAAACAAAUACAAAUUUUUUUAGGUAAGAAUGUACCUCUUGAAAAUGGAGCUUAUCUUAUUAUAGAACAUACUGAAGCUUUACAUGUUAUAGAUGUAAACAGCGGAAUGAUUAAUCAUAUGAUGAAAGAUUGUACAAAAUCAGAAAGAAUUAAUAAUAUAUUUAAAAUUAAUUUAAUAGCAGCAACAGAAAUUGCAAGACAGCUUAGAUUAAGAGAUAUGGGAGGUAUAAUUGUAGUAGACUUUAUAGAUAUGUAUGAUUCCAUACAAAAAAAAAAGUUGUAUGAACAUUUAAAAGAAAAAAUGAAAAAUGAUAGAGCAAGACAUCAAAUUUUGCCCCCCAAUAAAUUUGGAUUAGUUCAAUUUACUCGUCGUAGAAUAAGACCUGAAUUAAAAAAAAUAAAUAUAAACAAUAAAAAAUAUCAAAAUUAUCCUGAAGAUUAUAUUCAUCAUUUAGAAUUUGUUAUAGAAACUAUUAUAAAGAAUAAAAAUCAUAAAGGAAUCCAAUUACAUAUUCAUUCUUUUGUAUCAGCUUUUUUAAAAAAAGGUUUUCCUUCUAUUCAACAAAAAUGGUUAUUGAAAUAUAAAAAAUGGAUUAAAAUAAUUCCAAAAGAUUCAUUUAGAUAUACAGAAUAUAAGUUUUUAAAUAAAAAUCACGAAAUCUUAUUAUCUUCUUUUUAUUUUCAUUAAAAUUUAUUAUAACUUUCAAAAAAAAGAUAAGUGGGCGUGGUGAAACCGGUAUACACGUCAGAAUUAGGAUCUGAUGCCUAUUUAGGCAUAAGGGUUCGAAUCCCUUCGCCCGCACUAAUUAUUUUAUAUUUCUUUUUUUAUAUCCUGUAUAAACUUGUCUAGGUCUACCUAUUGGUUCUUUAUUUAAUUUCAUUUCUUUCCAAUGAGCCAUCCACCCCGGUAAUCUUCCUAAAGCAAACAUAACAGUAAACAUAUCUUUUGGAAUACCUAUAGCUUGAUAAAUAAUUCCGGAAUAAAAAUCAAUAUUAGGAUAAAGUUUUUUUUCUAAAAAAUAAGAAUCCUGAAGAGCUUUUUUUUCAACAUUUUUUGCCAAUUUCAAUAUUGGAUCAGAAAUUCCUAAUUUUUGAAUUACAUUUUCAGCUACUUUUUUAGCUAUUUUAGCUCUAGGAUCGAAAUUUUUAUAAAUCCUAUGUCCAAAACCCAUAAGUCGAAAUGGAUCUUUUUUAUUUUUUGCUUUCUCUAUCCAUUUUUUUAUAUUUCCCCCACUUUUUAAAAUAUCUUCUAACAUUUCAAUUACAGCUUGAUUUGCUCCUCCAUGUAAUUUACCCCAAAGAGCACUCAUUCCUGCAGAAAUAGAUGAAAAUAAUCCAACAUGAACAGAUCCCAAUAAACGAACGGUAGUUGUAGAACAAUUUUGCUCAUGAUCAGCAUGUAAUAUUAAAAUCUUAUUCAAAGUAUCCGAAAUAAUUGGAUUUGGUUCAUAAGAUUUAUUGGGAACAGAAAAAAACAUUUUUAACAAAUUUGAAGUAUAAUCAAGAUAAGGAUCUGCACAAACAGGAGGUAACCCCAUUCUUUUUCUAUAAGUUAAAGCUGCUAAAAUAGGUAAUUUAGCUAACAAAUGAAGAUAUAGAUCUUCUUCCUGUAUAGAAUUCAUAAAUGCAUCUAAAAUAUAGGUUAAAGAAGAUAAAAUUCCCAUUGGAUGAUAAAAAACUGGAAUGUUAUCAAGUAUUUUAUUUAUAUCCUUAUGAUGAAUAAAACUAAAUUUUUUUACUUUUUCAGAAAAAGAUUUUAAUUGUGCAGUAUUAGGUAGUUCUCCAUUUAAAAUAAGGUAACUUGUUUCUAUAAACGAACAUUGAUUGAUAAUUUGUUCAAUAGGAUAUCCUCUAUAUAAUAGUUCUCCUUUUUCUCCAUCUAUAAAACUAAUAGAACUUUUAGUAAUUCCUGUAUUUUUUAAUCCUGGAUCAAAUGUAAUCAACCCUGUACUUUCCCUUAAUUUAGAAAUAUUAAUAGCUUUUUCAUAAAAAGUUCCAUAAAUAACAGGAAGUUUAUAAUGGGAUCCAUUAAUAUUAAAAUUCACGAAACUGCACAUAAUAAAUAAUUUUUAUUAUUAAAUAUAAUAUAAUAAUAUAAAUAAAAUGUUACUUUUAUUUUUUAAAAAUCAUUUCAUCAAAUGAAAUAAGAGUAUCAAAUCCUUUAUUAGAAAAGUAAUUUUUCAUUCCUUUUCUAGAACUUAUCAAAACAAAAUCCCCUCCCCAAGCACCUAAACUUUUAACAAUCCCUAGAUAAUCUGGAAAAUGUGUUUCUUUAAUAGUAGGAAGAUUUAAUAUUUUUGAUAUAAUUUUUUCAUGUUUUAAUAACAAUUCUUCAAAUUCUUUUAAUGUUUUACAAAAAGGAAUUUUUUGAGUUAUGUAAGAUAUAGUAUUAAUAUUUUCACUAGAUAUAUUAGAUAUAUUAGAUCGAAAAUAUCGUAUUUCAUUACAAGUAUUUUGUUUUUUAUUAAGAUGCAGAAAAAAAAGUUGAUUUUUAAAAGGUGGAUUAAAUUCUAUGGGAAUAAUAUGAGGUUUUUUAUUCCAUAAUUUAUAAAUUAUAGGUUUCGAAAUAGAAACACAAGCAAUAUCAUAUCCACUACCUUGAAAAUUAUUUCCUAAUAACAAAUAAGGAUCUAUUUUAGCCCAUUUUGCUAUGUUAUUAAUUAAUGUAGAACUACUACCUAAUCCCCAAUUUCUUGGAAAUUCUAAUUUUGUUUUUACGUUCAUUCCUAAUGAAUUAGGAAAAAAAUUUUUUUGAAUUUUUUUAGAUUUCAAUAAUAAAUCUCUUAAUUUAAGAGCUGUUUUUCUUUCUGUUUCAUAACAAAUAUCUAAGGAAGGAAGUUUAAAAAUUCCUUCAAACCAAAGUUGAUUGAUUUCAUCAUAACUUUUCCAAUGUAAAACAGAAGAUAGAUUAUGUCUAAAAAUAGUUAAUGAUUGCCCUUUAAUUGUCGGAAGAGCUAAUCCACAAGCUCCACAGAGAAUAAAAUAUUCUCCUGUUAACAAUAGUUUUCCAUGACUAUAAUAAAAAAAACGUCUAUGUCGAUCCAUUAUGGAUUUAUAUUUUUUUAGGAAAAAUUCUUUGAAAUUUUUUUAAUUAACCCUUGUAAAAUAUUUCCUGGUCCUAUUUCUGUAAAUGAAACAGCUCCAUGAGAAAUCAUAUUUCUUAUAGAUUGUUUCCAUUUAACUGGAUAAGUCAAUUGUUUGACUAGAUUCUUUUUUAUAUCAUAAGAUUUUAUAGCAGGUAAAGCCGUUACAUUUUGGUAUAUUGGAUAUUUAGAAUCUUUAAAAAAAAUUUGAUUUAUAAUAUUUUGAAAUUUUUUUUGAGCUGGUUUCAUAAUUGGAGAAUGAAAGGCUCCAUGAACGGGAAGAAUAAAUAUUUUUUUAGCACCUAUUUUUUUUAGAAAAAAACAAACUCUUUUCAGGGCUUUUGUUUCUCCAGAAAUAACUAAUUGUUUAGGACAAUUGUAAUUAGAUGGAACUAUAACUCCAUGAUCGUUUUUACAAACAUUUUCUAUAAUAGAAUCUUCUAAUCCAAAUAUAACAGCCAUUCCUCCGUGAGUUUUCUCACAAAUAUUUUGCAUUAUUGAUGCUCUUUGAUUUACUAAUUUUAAACCAUCUUCAAAAGAAAAUACAUUAAUUGCAGCUAAAGCAGAUAGUUCGCCAAGAGAAUGUCCAGCUACCAUAUCAGGAUCAAAAUUAUUUAAUGUUUUUGCUUUUAUAACUGAAUAUAUAUAAAUUGCUAAUUGUGUAUAUUUUGUAUUUUUUAAGGUUUCUAUAGUUCCAUCAAACAUGAUAGAUGUAAUUCUAAAACCUAGAAUAUCAUCAGAUAAUUGAAAUAAUUUUUUUGCUAAAUGAGAAUUUUUGUAUAAAUCUUUUCCCAUUCCUACAAAUUGAGAUCCUUGACCAGGAAAUAGAUAAGCUUUCAUAAAAAUAUUUUGAUUUAAAAAUUAAAAAUUCAUUUUUUACAUGAAAAUUACUGAUACUCAUACUCAUUUAUAUAUGAAAGAAUUUGAUGAAGAUAUUAAUUAUGUAAUACAAAAUGCCUUUCAUAAAGGAAUAAAUAGAUUUUUACUUCCUUCUAUAGAUAGUUCUAAUAUUCCUAAUAUAUUAAAAUUAGAAAAAAAAUAUCCCAAUAUAUGUUUUUCCAUGAUAGGAUUACAUCCUAAUAAAGUAAACCCAUAUAGUUUAGAAAAAGAAUUACAAAAUAUAAAAACAUGGUUAUACAAACAUUCUUUUAUUUCUAUAGGAGAAAUUGGAAUGGAUUUAUUAGAAAAUAAAUUUAUUUAUGAACAAGAAUACGCUUUUCAAACUCAAAUAAAAUGGGCUAAACAAAGAAAACUUCCUAUAAUUAUACAUUGUAGAAAAGCUUUUGAUCAAGUUUUUCAUAUUUUAUCAAAAGAAAAAAACUCCUUCCUUAAAGGAGUUUUUCAUUGUUUUUCAGGAACCCUAGAACAAGCGAGAAAAAUUAUUGAUUUUGGAAUUAAGCUAGGUAUUGGAGGAAUAAUUACUUUUAAAAAUAGUGAUAUUAGUAAAUUUUUACAUGAAAUAAGUUUGAAUCAUUUAGUAUUAGAAACCGAUUCUCCUUAUCUUUCUCCACAUCCUUUGAGAGGAAAAAGAAAUGAACCAAAAAAUUUAAGAAUAAUUUUAAGAAAAUUAUCAAAAAUUUAUUCUAUGUCAGAAGAUAAAAUAGCCGAUAUCAUUCAUUGGAAUGUAGAAGAAUUAUUUUUCACACCAUUUUAGAUGGGUUCACAAAUUUUUCAAAUUCUUCAAUAGUUAAAUAUCCUAAUCGAAUUGCUUCUUCUUUCAAUGUAGUAUUAUUUUUAUAAGCAAAUUUUGCAAUUUCUGCUGAUUUUUCAUAUCCAAUAUGAGUAUUUAAUGCUGUAACUAGCAUCAAGGAUUUAUCCAAAAAUUCUUUAAUUCUUUUAUAAUUAGGUUGUAUCCCCAUUACGCAAAAAGAAGAAAAAGAAACACAAGCAUCUGCAAGAAGUUGAGCAGAUUGCAAAAAAUUAUAUGCCAUUAAUGGUUUAGAUACAUUUAGUUCAUAAUUUCCUGAAGAUCCAGCCAUAGAAAUAGACAUAUCAUUCCCUAUAAUUUGAGUGCAAACCAUAAUAAUAGCUUCGCAUUGAGUAGGAUUUACUUUUCCAGGCAUCAUAGAUGAUCCAGGUUCAUUUUCAGGGAUAUAAAUUUCUCCAAUUCCUGAACGCGGACCAGAAGAUAAAAAACGAAUAUCAUUUGAUAUUUUAAUCAAGGAAACAGCUAUUUGUUUAAUAGCACUAUGAGAUUCUACUAUAGCAUCAUGAGAUGAUAUUGCUUCAAAUUUAUUUUUUGCUACUUUAAAAGGAAAACCAGUUAAUUCACAUAUAUAUUCAGUUAUUUUUUUAUCAUAUCCUUUAGGAGUGUUUAACCCUGUUCCUACAGCUGUCCCUCCUAUUGCUAAUUCAGAAAGAUGAUCUAAAGUUUUUUCUAUAACAUUUAAUCCAUGAUCUAUUUGAGAAACAUAUCCUGAAAAUUCUUGUCCUAAAGUAAUAGGAGUUGCAUCCAUAAGAUGAGUUCUUCCUAUUUUUAUAAUAUUUUGAAAAAAUUUAGAUUUUUUUUCAAAAUUUUUUUUUAAUUCUUGAAUUGAAGGAAUAGUUUUUUUUACUAGUUUUUGAUAAGCAGCAAUAUGCAUUGCUGUAGAAAAAGUAUCAUUAGAUGAUUGAGACAUGUUCACAUCAUCAUUAGGAUGAAUAAGAGGUUGAAAUUUUCCUAAUUCUUUACCCAUCAAAACAUGAGCUCUAUUAGAGAUAACUUCAUUAAUAUUCAUAUUAGUAUGAGUUCCUGAUCCUGUUUGCCAUAUAACUAAAGGAAAUUGAUCAUUUAGUUUUUCGUUUAUAAUUUCGUCACAAACUAAGGAUAUCAUAUCUUUCUUUUUUUUGGAUAAAAAACCAAACUCAAAAUUAACAUGAGCAGCCGCUUUUUUCAAAAAACCAAAUGCAUGAAUAAUUUCUAUAGGCAUAGAAGCUUCUGGACCAAUUUUAAAAUUUUUUCUAGAUCUUUCUGUUUGUGCACCCCAAUAUUUAUUGAUAGGAACUCUAACAACUCCUAAAGUAUCUUUUUCUAUUCUAGAAUGUGUCAUUUUUCUAUUUUUUUACGAAAUUAUAUAAUAAUAAAUAAAAUUAGAAUUAAUCUUUAUGAUUAUUAAAUUUAUAGGAUUUUUGUUUUUUUUUCUUAUAACUAUAUCUGGUUUUUGGUGUAUAAUUUUUUUAUCUUUUUUUAGUGUUUAUUGGAUGAUAAGUAUAUUUUCAAUAAUGUUUAUAACCUAUUUAAAAUAUGAUAAAAAAAAAAUACAAAAUCCUACUAAAAAAUAAAUAUUUUUGGAUUAGUAUCUUUUUCUUUAUAUGGAUGUCUUUUUUUGAUUCUAAUUCUUUUAUGUUACACUAUAAAUUUCGAAAUAGUAUUCAAGAAAUGACAUCCAAUAGAGAUUUUUUAAGAAAAAAAAUUUUAUUAGAAGGAAUUCAAUUAAAAAAACUAACUACAGAUUCUAUGUAUCUUGAAAAAUUAGCAAGAGAAAAAUUUUACAUGAAAAAAGAAGAUGAAGACUUAUUUAUUAUAUCUAUAAAGAAAAAAAAUCGAAAAAACAAGAAUUUAACGUCCCAUAUAAAUAAGUAAAACACUUAAAUCUGAAGGAGAAAUUCCACUAAUUCUUGAAGCUUGAGCUAAUGAUAUUGGACGAUAGUAAUUUAAUUUUUCUUUUGCUUCUGAAGAAAGAGAUUUAAUUGAUUUAUAAUCAAAAUUAUUUGGAAUUUUAAGAUUUUCUAAUUUCAAUAAUUUUUUUGCAUUUUUUUUUUCUCUAUCUAUAUAUCCUUUAUAUUUAAUCCUAAUAAAAACUUGUUCCAAUAUUUCAUGAGUAAAACCAUUUUUUUUAAUUUCUUCUAUUAAAAAUGGAAUGGACGUGAUAUCUUGAAUAUCAAUUUCAGAACGAGACAAAAUAGUUUCUAUUUUUUUAUUAUGAUCUAUUAUAGGAGAUUUUUUAGCAGAUAAUACAGGAUUUAUAGUCUUUGGAUCGAAAUUUUUAUUCUGAAAUAAAUACAUACAUUUUUCUAUUUUAGAUUUUUUUCUAUCUAAUAUUCUCAUUUUAUUUUCUGAAAUUAAACCUAUAUUGUAUCCCAUAGGAGUUAAUCUUUCAUCAGCAUUAUCUUGUCGUAAUAACAUUCUAUAUUCUGCUCUUGAAGUAAACAUUCUAUAAGGCUCUUUUGUUCCUUUUGUUACUAAAUCAUCUAUUAAAACCCCAAUAUAAGCCUGACUUCUUUUAAGAAUAAAUGGUUCUUUUUUACGAAUUUUUAAAUGAACAUUAAUUCCUGCCAUUAAACCUUGUGCUGCUGCUUCUUCAUAUCCAGUUGUUCCAUUAAUUUGUCCAGCAAAAAAAAGAUUCUCUAUAAUUUUACUUUCCAAUGUCGCCUUUAAUUGUUCUGGUGGAAAAUAAUCAUAUUCAAUGGCAUAUCCAGGUUUUAAUAUUUUUACUUUUUCAAAUCCUGAAACUUGUUUCAAAGAUUGAUAUUGUAUUUUUUCUGAAAAAGAAGUUGAAAAACCAUUAACAUAUACUUCUACAGUAUUCCAUCCUUCCGGUUCAACAAAAAUCGUAUGUUCUUUUUUAUCCGAAAAUCGUGAAAUUUUUUCUUCUAUAGAAGGACAAUAUCUAGGACUAAUCCCUUGAAUAGCUCCUGUAUAAACUGGAGAUUGAUUAAAUUUACUUCGUAUAAAAUCAUGUACUUUUUGAUUAGUAUAAGUUAUGUAACAUUUUCUUUGUUGUUUUAGUUUUUUUGUUUUAUAAAAAAAAGAAAAUUUUUUCGGAUCUAUAUCUCCAUUUUGAGAUUUCAUUUUCUCAUAAUUUAAAGAACGUCCAUCUACUCUUGGCGAUGUUCCUGUUUUCAUUCUUCCAGACUUAAAUCCAAAGUUUUUAGUUAAUUGUUCUGUAAUUCCUUUUGUUUCUUGUUCUGAUAUUCUUCCUCCAUUAAUCUUUUUUCUCCCAAUAUGUAUUUUUCCAUUUAAAAAAGUACCAUUUGUAAGUAUUACUGACCUUCCUUUAAUUUUUAAACCAAAGAUAGUUUUGACUCCUUUUACUUUAUGUUGUUCUAUUAUUAAAGACGAUACUGUAUCCUGGUAUAAAUCUAAUUUAUAAUUUUUUUCUAAAAAAAACCUCCAAUAAUAGGAGAAUAAUUUUCUAUCACAUUGAGAUCUAGGGCUCCACAUGGCAGGUCCUUUAGAUUUAUUUAACAUUCUAAAUUGAAUUGUACUAUAAUCUGAAAUUCUUCCAGAAUUUCCACCUAAGGCAUCAAUUUCUCUAAUUAUUUGACCUUUUGCGAUUCCUCCUAUAGCCGGAUUACAUGACAUUUGACCUAUAGUUUGAAAAUUAGUGGUAAUAAGUAGAGUUUUAGAUCCCAUAUUAGAAGAUGCAGAAGCAGCUUCAAUCCCCGCAUGUCCUCCUCCAACUACAAUUACAUCGUAUAUAUCUAGAAACAUAAUUUUCUAAAAUUGAAAUAAAAUUAAAUAAAACUCUUCUUUUUUUUUCAUAAUCUUUUUAUCUGUAUGAUUAUGGUCAUCAUAUCCUAAAAGAUGUAGAACAGCAUGUAUCAUUACACGUUUCAACUCAAGCAUGAAAAAUUGAUUCCAUCGCUUAGAAUUUUCAUAAAUACGAUCUAUACUAAUAAAUAUAUCUCCAGAUAUAGAUCCAUUGAUAGAAUAAUUAAAUGCAAGCACAUCUGUAUAAAAAUUAUUUUUUAAAUAUCUCUGAUUUAAAUCUAAAAGAAAAUGAUCAUUACAAAAAAUAUAAUUAACAUUUCCAAUAUAUAUACUUUCAUUGUUUAGUAAAAUACAAAUUUCUUUAAUUAAAAAAGAAUCAUUUUUAAUGUGAAAAUCAGAUAUUUCAUAAAAAAAAUUAAUCAUUAUAAAAUAAUAUUUUCUAUUUAUUUUAAAAAAAUUUUUUUAUAUAUUAUACAUUUUACAAUGAAAAAAAUAAUUCCUAAUAUAUUCACUUUAAUAAAUUUAUUUUGUGGAUGCAUUUCUAUUAUACUUCUUCAAUCUAGAAAUUUUAAUUAUUCUUACGUUUUUACUUUAUUUUCAAUAAUUUUUGAUUUUUUGGAUGGUUAUUUUUCUAGAUGUAUGAAAAUAAAAAAUAUCUUUGGAAAAGAAUUAGAUUCUCUAGCAGAUAUGGUUUCUUUUGGAGUAGUUCCAUCCAUAAUAGUUUUUUUUUUAUUGAAAAACAAAAGUCAAAUUCCAUUUAUUGAAUAUUUGUCUUUUUUAAUUUCCAUUUUUUCUGCAUGUCGUUUAGCUAGAUUUAAUAUUUCUUCUAAUAAUAAAAAUCAUGUUAUAGGAUUAACUACUCCUAUAAAUACCUUAUUUUUUUCUUCUCUAUCUAUUAUAAUUACAAAUAAUAUAAUUCCUUUUUUUCUUAUAAAAAAAGGAAUUAUAUAUAUCAUUGCAAUGUUUUUUAUAAUAUUCUUAUCAUGUUACCUUUUGGUAUCUCAAAUACCAAUGUUUUCUUUUAAGUUUGAAAAUUUUUCUUAUAAAAAAAAUAAAACACGUUAUAUUUUUUUAUUGAUUAGUACAUUUCUUUUAUUAACUUUACAUAUAGUCGCUUUGCCAUGCAUUAUUAUUUUUUAUAUUAUAAUCUCAAUUUAUUUUUAUAAGAUUAAAAAAAUCAAUAUUAAAUAAAAAACAUGAAAUUAAAACUUCAUCGUCCUAUUUGUUUUUUUGAUAUAGAAGCAACAGGAAUUAAUAUAGGAAAAGAUAGGAUUAUAGAAAUAUCUAUAUUAAAAAUAUUUCCUCAUGGAGAACAAGAAGAUAAAACUUGGUUAAUAUAUCCUGGAAUUCCUAUUCCUCCACAAUCAACGGCAAUUCAUGGAAUUAAAGAUGAAGAUGUAGUAGGAAAGAUGAAAUUUAAAGAUAUAGCUUAUUAUAUUUUUAAAAUGAUUGAAAAUACAGAUUUAGCAGGUUAUAACUCUAAUAGAUUUGAUAUUCCAAUUUUAGCAGAAGAAAUGCUUCGUGCAGGAAUGUCUUUUGACAUUAAAAAACACAGAACUAUAGAUGUUCAAGUUAUUUUUCAUAAAAUGGAACCCAGAACUCUUUCUGCUGCUUACAAAUACUAUUGUAGUAAAAAUAUCAUAAAAGCUCAUAGUUCUAGAGAAGAUACGUUUGCCACAUAUGAAAUACUAUUAGCACAAUUAGAAAAAUAUAAGAACUUAAAAGAAGAUGUAAAAAGUCUAAAUCAAUUUUCCCAUCAAAAAAACAUAGCAGAUCUUGCUGGAUUUAUAAAAAUAGAUGAAGAAGGAAAUGAAGUUUUCAAUUUUGGAAAGUAUAAAGGAGAAAAAGUUUUCGAAAUAUUUGAGAAAUAUCCGAAUUAUUAUGGAUGGAUACAAAAUUCAGAUUUUCCAUUAUAUACAAAAAAAAUAUUAACAGAAAUAAAAUUAAGAAAAUUUAAUGGAUAAAUAAUAUAAACAUAUUUUUUAUUUUUCUUUAAUUAUUCAAUUUUUAUUCUUAAUAAGAUCUUUCAAUCUUUUUGAUAUAAAAUCUGUUAAUUUUUUUCCAUGUAAUAAAUCUUUGGAUAAAAGAGUUAAGUUUAAAACUUCUUGUAUAAAUUCUUUUCUUUUUUCCUCUGAUGUUUCCUUUAAUAUUUUUUUCAUAAAAAUGUGAUUUGUAUUGACUAUUAAUUGAUAAUAUUUGUUUUUUCCUACUAUAUCUUUUUCUAUAGUAGUAGAAUUCAUUUCUUUAAUUCUUCUUAAAAAUUCUGGAAUGAUAAUCAAAAAAGGAUAGUCUUUUUUGGAUAAAUCUUCUAAUUGUAUGGAAAAAUUCAUAUCUUCUAUGAUAUGAUGCUGAAUAAGGUUUUUUAAAAUUUUUUUUUCUUGUUCAGAGAGUUCUGAAUGGGGUUUUUCCUUUUUUUUGAAAUCAAUUAAAUUAUCAAUAUGAUCUGAAUCUACCCGGACAAAACAAAUAUCUUGAUAAGAUAAUUCUAGUUUCUGUAUUAAAUGAACAGAUAAUGGACUAUCAAAAAUUAAAACUACAUAUUGUCUGUCUAUAGCUUCUUUGAUAAAACUAUAUUGUUUCUUUUGAUCUGAAGAAUAAAUAAAAACAAUUUUUCCUUCUUUAUUUUUUUGGGUUUCUUUGAUUUUUUCUCUAAGUUCUUUCAAUGUAAAAAAACUUUUAUCUAUAGUAGAAAAAAUGAAAAAAUUAAUAGCUUUCUCAAAGAAAUUUUGCGUACUAAUCAUUCCAUAUUCUAUUAUGAUUUUAAAACUAUCCCAUUUUUUUUGAAAAUUAUCUCUAUUUUUUCUAAACAUAAAAUCUAGCUUAUCCGCUACUUUUCUUGUUAUAUAUUUAGAUAUAUUUUUAACAGAUGUAUCAGAUUGUAAAUGAGAACGUGAUACGUUAAGAGGAAUAUCUAUAGAGUCUAUAACUCCUCUUAAUAAACUAAGAAAAUCUGGAACAAUUCCCUCCAAAUUAUCCGUGAUAUAAACCUGAUUUUGAUAUAAAUGGAUUUUGUCUUUUUGUACUACAUCUAUUCUUUUUUCUAUUUUAGGAAAAUAGAGAAUUCCUGUCAGAUGAAAAGGAUGAUCUAUAUUUAAAUGAACCCAAAAUAAAGGAUUUUCUAGUUGAUUUGGAUAUAACUCAUGAUAGAAAUCUAAAUAAUUUUUAUCAUUUAAUUGAAAUGGAUUUUUUUUCCAAGCAGGAUUAAUAUUAUUGAUUAUAAUUUCUUUUUCUUUAUCAUUUUCUUUUGAUUUUGAAGAUAAAGAAAUUGUAAUGGGCAUGAAUUUACAAUAUUUUUUCAAUAAUUUUAAAAUACGAUCAUAUUCUAAAAAUUCUUUGUUUUCUUCAUUAUUCAAAUAUAAAAUAAUUUCUGUUCCUCUAUCUCUUUUUUCAAUUUCAUUCAUAAUAAAAUUAGGAUCUCCUUUGCAAGACCAAAAUAUAGAUGGAGCCAUUUUUUUAUAAGAUUGAGUGAAUAUUGAUACUUUAUUAGCAACCAUAAAAGAAGAAUAAAAACCUAAACCAAAAUGUCCAAUAAUAUUAGUAGUAGGAUUAUGAGAAGAAUCCGUUUUAGAUAUAUUUUUAUAUUUUUGAAUAAAUUCUUCGGCUCCAGAAAAAGCAAUUUGAUUAAUAUACUUGUCUACUUCUUCUUUAGUCAUUCCUAUUCCAUUAUCCAGAAUAUGAAGCGUUUUAUUAAAAUUAUCUACAAUAAUUUUAACUUUGAAAUCAUCAUCAAUAAUAUCAGAUAAAUUUUCUAAUUUUAUUAGAGUUUGUAAUUUUACAAUAGCAUCUAUCGCGUUAGAAACUAAUUCACGUAAAAAAAUUUCUUGAUCUGAAUAAAGAAAUUUUUUAAUGAUAGGAAAAAUAUUAUCUGAAGUAACAUUAAUUUUAUUCAUAUUCAUAACAUAUAUUUAUAAGAAUAUUAUUUUAUUCCCUCAAUUUUAUUUUACGGAGACUUACAUAUUAUUAUUAAUAAUAAUAUAUAAAUUAGAUAGAUUUAGAUUCAGUUUGAUCCUCAUUUAAAAAAAACAAUUUACAAAUUUUUUUCCAUCAAACACUUUUAAAUCUUGUAUUUUUUCUCCUACUCCUAAAUAUUGAAUAGGGAUUUUAAAUUGAUCCAUAAUUCCUAUUAAUACACCUCCUUUAGCUGUCCCUUCUAUUUUUGUUAAAAUAAUAGAAGAAAUUUUAACAAAAGAACUAAACUUCCGAACUUGUUCAAAAGCAUUUUGACCAGUUGUUGCGUCUAAAAUUAGAAUAAUUUCAUGAGGAGGAGAAAAUGUUAUCUUAUUUAUGACCUUGCUUAUUUUAGAAAGUUCUUUCAUAAGAUUAAUUCUAUUUUGUAAUCUACCAGCAGUAUCAAUUAUAACUACAUCUUUUUCCUUAGAUUUUGCAGACUGCAAAGUAUCAUAAACUACAGAAGCUGGAUCCGAAUUCAUAUGUUGUUUUAUUAAAGGAACUCCAGCUUGAUCUGCCCAUAUUUUAAUUUGAUCAAUAGCAGCCUCUCUAAAUGUAUCUGCAGCACCUAUAACAAUAUGAAAUCCUUUUUUUUUUAAAAAAAAAGCUAAUUUUCCUAUUGUAGUUGUUUUUCCGACUCCAUUCACUCCUACUAUUAAGAUUACAUAUGGUUUUUUUUUAUUAUUUCUGAUUUUUGUUUCUAAACAAACAUUUUCAAUAUCUAUAAAAAGAUUUUCAAUCUCUUCUUUAAGAAAAUUAAAGAUAACUUGCGAAUUUCUGUACUUUUCUUUUUGAACUCUUUUUUCUAAAUUAUUAAUAAUUUUUAUAGUAGUUUUUGUUCCUAUAUCUGCAGACAAUAAUAUUUCUUCUAUGUAAUCAAGAAGGUGAAUAUCAAUUUUUGAUUUUUUUAAAAAAAGAUUUUUGAUUUUUUCAAAAAAAAAUCCUCCAGUUUUUUUUAAUUUAUGAUUGAAUACUUUAUUUUUUUCUUUAUUAUUUUUAUUGGAAAGAAACAUCAUGAUUCAUUUUUUUUUUUAAAAAAAGUUUCUAUUUCUUCAUUAGAAAUCAUUUUGUUUUCAAAGGUAUAAUAACCUGAUUUUUUAGAUUUAACUACUUUUAUGGCUAAAGUCAUUUUUUUAGAAAUCUUUUUUUUUUUAUUCUCUUCUUUUUUUUUAUUUUCUCCUCCUUUUUUAUACAUUUAUUUAUUGUGUAAUUUUUAUUGUUUGAUUUCCUUAUGAAUUGUAUAUUUUUUUAAUAUUGGAUUAUAUUUUUUUAAUUCAAUUCUAUUCGGAGUAUUUUUCUUAUUUUUCGUUGUCACAUAUCUAGAACAACCAGCGAUUCCUGUUUUUCUUUGUUCAGUACAUUCUAAUAUAACUUGUAUUCUAUUUCCUUUUCUUCCCAUUAUUUUUUUAAUAUUUAUACUUAAAACGUUUUAAAACUUUUUCUAUUCCUAUUUUAUUAAUAAGUUUCACAGUAGAAGCACAAAUUUUUAAAGUAAUCCACUUUUUUUUUUGUAUUAAAAAAAAACGUUUUUUACAUAAAUUAAUAUUAAAUCUCCGUUUUUUUUUAUUAUUUGCAUGAGAUACUCUAUUUCCUAUCAUUACUCUUUUUCCUGUCAAUUCACAAAUUUUUGACAUAUACAAUUUUUUUUAAUAAAUUAAUAAAAUGACAAUAUAAUACAUUUAUCAAAAAAAAAUAUAAAAACAUUUCAUGUCAGGACACAGCAAAUGGGCAAAUAUACAACAUAGAAAAUCGAAUCAAGAUUUCAAAAAAUCUAAAAAAUUUUCUAAAGUUAUUAAAGAAAUAUCUACAGCCGUAAAAAAAUCAGGAACAAAAAAUUUUCAUUUUAGAAAUGCUAUUUCAAACGCAAAAUCAAUAAAUAUUCCUAAAAAUACUAUAGAAAAAGCUAUAAAAAAAGCUUUACAAAUCAAAACAGAUAAUUAUAAAAAUUUAAUUUUGGAAGGAUUGAUUUAUGGAGUUAGUAUAAUUGUAGAAUGUAUGACAGAUAACAAUAUUCGAACAAUUUCCAAUAUUAGAACAUUAUUUAACAAAAAUGGAGGAAGACUAUGUCAUAAUGGUGAAUUAAUUCAUUUUUUUAAAAAAAUGGGUGUUUUUUAUAUAAAAAAAAAAGAUGUUCACUUUUCAAUAGAAGAUUUUGAACUUAUGAUAAUAGAUUUUGGAGCUAAAGAUUUAAAAAUAGAUCAAGACAUGAUCUAUUUAUACAUAGAUUUUAAAAAUUUUAGACCUAUAAAAAAAAAUUUUGAAAAAUUUAAAAUACUUUAUGAAUACAAAAUUCAAUAUAUUCCAAAACAAAUUAUUAAAUUUCUUUCAGAAGAAAAAAAAACAGGAAUUUUGAAUUUAGUUAAUCGUCUUAAUAUGAAUGAUGAUGUAAAAAAUAUUUAUUCUAAUUCAUUAUAUGAAAAUAAAAAGUAAAAUGUCCCAUCGCGUUUUUUUAAAUGAGGAAAGUCCGGACACCGUAGAGCAACACAAUGGGUAACACCCAUCCAUCGUAAGAUGAGGAAUAGUGCAACAGAAAGAAUGUACAGAUAUAGAACUAUAUUUCUGUAGUGAAAUCAUGUAAACUCUGUGUGGUGAAAUGCCAUGUAUACCGGAAAACUAGCUCGGUCGAAACCGGGGGGUAGGCAGAUUGAGGUCAUGGGUAACCUAGAUCCUAGAUAAAUGAUAGGGAUAAAAACAGAAUCCGGCUUAUUAUUUUACUUUUUUU